RNAcentral lists this long non-coding RNA (121057 nucleotides) under Triticum aestivum (bread wheat). RNAcentral describes it as "long non-coding RNA (TAES_LNC027878)". The stretch from base 58333 to 58467 matches the Rfam family "MIR1120/MIR1122 microRNA precursor family". Lineage: Eukaryota; Viridiplantae; Streptophyta; Magnoliopsida; Poales; Poaceae. The record is from RNAcentral.
CCAGGAAGGAUGAUGCGGUGAACUUGAUAUGGCGGCAGGUGAGGCACAAAAUCCCCGCAGUUAAUCUUGCGAUUCACAGGAGUAGGAGAUUAAAAGUCCCAGACUGGUGGUGAGGAUUUGGUGAAUCGUGUACAUAUUAUCAUAUUGAUGGCGAACCGGCAUCAUUCAUAUGGUUCACGACGAAGCCAUGGCGGUCAUUCCUUGUGCACCAUGACACUGGAUCCAGGAAGAUGUUCUAACAGGCACUAACAUUUUUGCCCCUUUUCGUUGAUCUUACGACACUGUAACCAUUACCCCCCUUGAGGUCAUGAUAUAGUGAGAACGUGUGCAUUAGAAAACACACUUACAAACAUGUGUACCAAUAGACUGGAUGUUGCAAUGUAUUCAAGUAGAUAUAAUUUUUCUUACUACUUCUUGAGCCCUUUAACAGCCAAGGUAUCUUUUUUUGUUGUUGGUUGUUUUUGAGAUAGCUAACCACUCAUUUCAAGUGGUAACAGCCAAGGUAUCUUUUGAUACGUUCGUUCUGUGUUGUUUCCUGUGAGAAAUGCUCUGGGUGGCUGGGAUCAACUGUUGGCCUGCUUAUCUCAUUGACUUGUUAGUAGUGGUAGCACAGUAGGUUUUCAGGAAGUGAAUCAGGAUGUAAGAAUUUUAUAUGGUGGGGAACAAACUGACUAUGGUGUGGACUGUGGAGAACACUUUUAUCAUGGGCUACUAAUUUUUAGCUUGUCAUGUCUGUCCUGUUUGCAGCAAUUUCUUGGUGGGGAUUGUGGAGAAGUAAUUGGUGGCUGUGUUUCCUCCAACAUCCAGACUGACAAGAAAAAUCCCUGCAGUUAAUUUUGCGAUUCAGAGGAGUAUAUAGGAGAUUAAAAGUCCCAGACUGCUGGUGAGGAUUUGGUGAAUCGUGUACAUAUUAUCAUAUCGAUGGCAAAACCGGCAUCAUUCAUAUGGUUCAUGACGAAGCCAUGGGUGUGCGCCAUGACACUGGGUCACAGGAAGGACUUGCCAAAUUUAUAUAUAUAUAUUCAGAGGGUCAAAAUGGAUUUGAUCAAACCAACUCCACUUUCGAUUUCUAUUUGGAAUUCAGACUACUAAAGCUCGUCUGCAAGAUGGGCCCACCUAGAAGCUCUCAUGGACUGUAAACAGCAAAUGCCAAGGACUAAUUUGCAUAUAUAUCCAGAGGGUCAAAAUUUAAUUUAAGAUUUGGUUGGGGUGCGCCUGCCCAGGCAGUAGUGCAACGCACUGGACGACACCCGAGGGCCCCAGUGGCAAGCCACUGUGGUGGGCCCUCCCCCACAAAAAAUAAAUUUAAUAUCGUUAUGGGCACAUGGCCCACAUAUCAGAUAUUAAACUGAUAAGAACAGAUACUACACUUGAUCUUAGCCAAAAGGCCGAGAAAGGUAUGAGUUGCAGCGUUGCUCUGCCCCUCUAUUUGUAGCCUACUCGCCCUCCCGUCCCCUCUUCGCUAGGCGAGGUGGUACUAAACGAGUCGCCUCUCUCGCGCGGCUGCGGAGCGCGGACGCUGCGCUGCGUGCCCCCCGACCCCGAGCCAGCCUCUUUGUUGCAUGGGCCUCAAGCGAGACGGCCUUUCCGAUGAGGCCUGUAUUAUGGGCCUGAUUUGCUCUCGGCUCUUGGAGGCCGGGCCCUGUCGGAGCGUGUUCUGAAGCCUGACGGUCCUGCAUGUUAUAUGUAUGGCUGGCUGAGGCGCUGCACUGCACUGCACGGUGAGACGAGACAACCGGCGAGGCGGACUCGAUCGACCGGCAAACUCCCCGGGAAUGCAGUCGUCGUGAUCGAUCGUUAUGUGCGUUCUUUUGCAGAAUAUAUACUCUACUACUAGUGUGUAGCUCUGCACAACAGAAGCGACGUUUGAAGAUGCAAGGUAGCAUCCAUCCAUCAAGGAAUAGUAGUAAAAUGUGCAUGCAAUAAAUAGAAAAACACCGCAGAUAUAUAACAACAACAACAAAAUGCACUCCUAAUAGUUAUCCCCUUCCCCACGGAUCAUAUUAGACUAUCCCAGAAUGAUUCUCAUCCUCUAGAGUCUAGAUUGUUCUAUAUCAAUGUUUGAUGUCAUACUUCAAUGUGAAUCACCAGUUUUUUUUUCCGAAAAAGAUUCAACUCUAUUAGUUCAUCAAAAGUACAAAGCACCUCGAACAUAAUAGAAAUUUACAUCGAGGUCGGUCUCUAGACCACCGAAUGACAACUACCGCCAUCAGAACGAGCCGCCAACAUGCCGCUCCUCUACUGGAGCCGGCAUGACAUUAUCGAUGACAUUCAGGAAGUCUUCAUGCACGUUCCCCUAAGAACUAGUACCAUGGAGCCGCAGUCGUCGUCGUUGAACUGUCGAACAUAUCUGAAGGAACUGGCACCAAAUCUUGCCGGCGCAUGCACGAGAAGAAACUCUAACCUCGUCGCCCCAAGGAAACGACAUAAAUCUACGUCGAAGCUCUGUCGACUGCGUCCAGAUGGACGAACUCGAGGAGAAUCAGAGGACGGAAAACAAACUCGAAGAAGAAGCAUCGUCAUCCACCAGAGCGCCGCACCAGUGAGGACCGAAGAAAAGCUAACCUAAAAUACUAACCGAAGCAAAGGCACCGGGAGUGAAUCGCCGGUUUAUGAUGUGCUACUGAAAUUAUUGAUCUCACCAACAAAUGAUAUUAACCUACGACAUAUCGACAUAUAAGCUUGUGAUUCAACUAAUAAUUUAAAAAUAACAUAAUUAUCAUAAUCCACAAAUUUGUGCUCGUGUUGAUUGUCACACCUCCCAAGCUUUACCAUGCCUAUUACACAAUAUCAUGGACAUAAGAGAGUAUCUCGUGUUUGCUUCCAUGCUACUAAUGUCUCUUUUUAUUAGAGAAUCCUAUAAGCAUGGGAAAUGAAGCUUCUAGAAUACAUGGGAUGAUAGAGUGGGGGAUCAAUUAGAAGGCGAUGUGGCAGAAUCCUAUGGGUUUAGAAAUUAUCUAACGAAUGGCAAUGCUCAGAUUUUCCAUAUCUCAACCGUUCGAUGGAGCAUUUUCAACACUAAUGUUUGAAGUUAUUGUCACACUACAUAGUAGUAUAGAGGUAUAGAUAUAUGACAAAUCGUUCUUCCCUUCGAUGAGCUGGAUCAAACAUGUGUUUCUUACCUUGGUUCUGAUCAUACGUGGUUGCUUGUUUAUCUCUUGUUGAUGUUUUAAUGGUGGCCAGAAACAUUCAAGAACUAAGAGCAACACUAGCAGGGUCACCAAAAUGUUUGAUUGUCAUAGUAAUCGUCAAUAUGACAAUUUUGAGAAAAACACCACUCUAGCAGAGUCGCCAUCCGACCGAAUCAUCAUAAUUCAUGGAGGGAACUCCAUACUAAGUUAGCGAUUACCUAUAUUUUGAGGUUGUGGGGCUUCGUUUGGAGGGCAGGCGGCCAAACGCCCACCGCGACGCGAGAUAAUGAACUGUGGUCACGACAUGUCCAACUAGUCGCGCCCCUUCCCGCUACCGCGCCCCAUGUUUUCUCACUGCCUGCCGUUGUAAAAAAGCAUGGCUCUCUUUCUCUACACUACCACCAUCCGUGCCUCGCAAACUCUUCUUUCUCUGCACUUACACCCUAUCGGUUCCCCUUGACCAAAAUGGGUUCUGCUCUCGGAGGAGAAGAAAUGAAUGCUCGACAAGGAGGAAGUCGUUGGAAUCGCUGAGGAUGAGUGUGAUCGCGGCGACGCGGAGGAGGCCAUGCAAUAGGAUCCCGCCCUCCUCAACAGGUGCCUAGUUUCUAAUCUGAAACACAUGUUGGUGUUUGGGAUGUCAAGCACGAAUACAUGUAUAUAUCCCGUCUGGGUAGGAGAGGCCUUACACACGCAACUUAUAUCGGCCACCACAUGCUCCUUGAUGCCUCACUAUUAAGGAGGCAUGAGAAGGCAUGAGACGAGCGCUACACUGUCAACGUGUCGAACUUCCACCACAAGAAAUAUUUGAGCAGACCACCGGUUGGCGGAGGCUGACGUUUGAGAGCAACAACACCAUACUGCGAGGAGGCACGAUAAGAUUUCGCAGCGGAGAGCACGAAAGCGCGUCAGAUGAUGCCAAUUCAAUGUCAAUAUUGAGGCGACGACUCAUGCAAUAUUGGUCUUGCCCCCUUGAGAAAGUCAUUGAUGGAAAUAUGCCUAGAGGCAAUAAUAAAGUUGUUAUUAUUAUAUUUCCUUAUUCAUGAUAAAGGUUUAUUAUUCAUGCUAGAAUUGUAUUGAUCGAAAACUUAAAUACAUGUGUGGAUACAUAAACAAAUAUUAUGUCCCUAGUGAGCCUCUACUAGACUAGCUCGUUGAUCAAAAGAUGGUUAAGGUUUCCUAACCAUAGACAUAUGUUGUCACUUGAUAACGGGAUCACAUCAUUAGAAGAAUGAUGUGAUGGACAAGACCCAUUUGUUAGCUUAGCAUUUGAUCAUUCAAUUUAUUGCUAUUGCUUUCUUAAUGUCAAAUACACAUUCCUUCGAUUAUGAGAUCAUGCAACUCCCGGAUACCGGAGGAAUACAUUGUGUAAUAUCAAACAUCACAACAUAACUGGGUGAUCAUAAAGAUGCUCUACAGGUAUCUCCGAAGGUGUCUAUUGAGUUGGCAUGGAUCGAGAUUAGAAUUUGUCACUCCGUAUAUCAGAGAGGUAUCUUUGGGCCCUCCCGGUAAUACACAUCACAAGUAGCUUGCAAGCAAAGUGACUAAGGAGUUAGUUACGAUUUGAUGUAUUACAGAACGAGUAAAGAGACUUGCCGGUAACGAGAUUGAACUAGGUAUGAAGAUCCUGAUGAUCAAAUCUCAGACAAGUAACAUACAGACAGACAAAGGGAGUUACAUAUGUCGUCAUUAGGUUCGACCGAUAAAGAUCUUCGUAGAAUAUGUAGGAACCAAUAUGGGCAUCCAGGUUCCGCUAUUGGUAAUUGACCAGAGAGGCGUCUCGGUCAUGUCUACAUCAUUCUCGAACCCGUAGGGUCCGCACGCUUAACGUUCGUUGACGAUAUAGUGUUAUAUGAGUUAUGUGAUUUGGUGACCGAAUGUUGUUCGGAGUCCCGAAUGAGAUCACGGACAUGGAGCUCCAUAAUAGUCUGGAGGAAAAUAUUGAUAUAUAGGACGGUGGUAUUUGGACACCGAAAAGGUUUCGGAGUGAACCGAUGAAAGGAUCUAGAUGACGACUAGAGGGGAGGGUGAAUAGGCAUUUUUAAACUUUUACAGAUUUGGCUUUAUUCUAAUGAGGAAUUAAACUAACGGAUACUUUUCAAGCACAAAUCCUAAAUAUGCUAGGCACAACUAGGUGCACCAACAACCUACGCUAAACAAGAUAGGAACUUAAGCAAACUAGCAAGCACAAGCUAUAUCACAAGAUAUGGAAAUGUAUGAACAACUAAGCAAUUCAACUAGCACAAGAUAUAUCAAUAUGAGCAAGUAUGAAUUGCAGAAAGUAAAGAGUGUGGGUAUGAGAUAACCACAAGUGAGUCAGGGACGCGAAUUUAUCCCGAAGUUCACACUCGUAAGAGUGCUAAUCUCCAUUGGAGCAGUGCCGAAGCCAAAGCUUUGGGGCGUCACCAAGUGACUCACCGUAUUCUCCCUUUCGAGUCACCCCCAACGGAUGAGACUCGAUCCACUCGGGGUUGGUCUUGAAGGCGACCACCACACCUUUACAAUCUUCUCCGGAGCACACCACAAACACGGAAGCUUCCGGAGGAACUUGACCACCUAGUCCACUUCAACACCCUUCCCCGGAGCACACCACAAAAGGAAGCUUCCCGAGGAAUCUUGGCCACAUAGCCUCUUCACAAUCUUCUCAAUGUAUCACCAAACCGUCUAGGAGGCAGAAGCCUCCAAGAGUAAUAAACUCACGGGCUCUCACUCGAACUAAUCGAUGUGGGGAGCUCAAACCAAUGCAAGAAAUGCAAUGCAAGGUCAAGCAACAAAUGCUCAACUCACUCUCUCAAUCUCACAAGAUGCACUCUCGAAACACUACAAAAAAAUACACUUCCGUGAUGAUACAUGUUUGUCACAAUAGGUUGCGUUUUUUGUCAUGCAUGUACAUCCAUGACGAUUUUAUGACAGAAUCGAGAUAGUCAUACAUAUGCUGUCGUAGAAGUGUUCCAUGACAUUACCAAAAUUAUCAUCACGGAAGUGUCCACUUCCAUGACGAUAAAUCGCGCGUCACAAAAGUGCUUUCGUCAAGGGUGACCGACACGUGGCAUCCACCAUAACGGAACGCCGUUAAGCUAUCGGGUUCGAUUUUGGAUCCCAUAAUCCGUUAACAGCCCAGACCAAUGGGGAUUUUCCACGUGUAAAAUCAUCAUUGGCCGCAGGAAACACGUGUUGCCUCACCGUUGGGACAGAUGUCAUCCACUCAUUGGACAAGAGGCGCCUAUGAUAGGUCGACACGUGGCACGGCCCAACAGUGGCCCAUUCCGGUGAAAAAGGUCGGCCCAGUAAAAAUUAGCAGGCCGGCCCAUAUAAGGCCUACUUGUGUCAGGUCCAUUUAAGCCCACGGCCUUUACGAGAUGUGCCAAUUCGGCCCAUCAACGGCCCGUUAAACAUUUGACACCAUUGCAGCCCAUCGUCAGUUCGAGCCCGUUAACAGCCCGCUAUAUAUUUGGGCUCAAUAUCAGCCCGAUGAGAUUUUGGCCUGUUAACGACCCAUUCAAUGGAUGAGCCAAUUUUCAGGAUGUACAUCUUUCGGCCUUUUAGCGACCCAUUUAAAUGUUGGGCUAAUUUCCGGCCCAGUGUGUCUUUCAGCCUGUUGAUGACCCAUAAAUCUGAUGGGCCAUUUGUAGUUGGACCUGAGUUUUGGCCUUUUAGCGACCCAUUUAAGUGUUGGGCCAAUUCCCGGCCCUAUGUGCCUUUCGGCCUAUUAACGGACCAUAAAUGAGUUGGGCCAUUUGUAGUCGGACCUUAGUUUUGGCCUUUUAACGGCCCAUACCCUUCAUGGUCCAAUACCAACCCGAUUUCUCUUUCGGCCUGCUAAAGGCCCACAACACAGUUGGGCCAUUUACAAUACGACCUGACUUUCGGCCUCUUAGCGGCCCAUGCUCUUCAUGGUCCAGUACAAGCCUGUUGUCUCUUUCGGCCUGCUAAAGGCCUACAGUAUAGUUGGGCCAUAUGUAGACCAAACUUAGUAACAGCCUGUUAACGGCCCAUGAAAUAAAUUGGGCCCACCUGUUGCCCGCUUCGAUGUCUGUCACACCCUAGCUAGUCAUGCAUUAGAGUGUUGCAUCAUGUUUACUUUUUCAUCAGAAACUUGAAAUGGGGAUGACAGAACCCCCAGCCCCGUCUGAAACCAACUAGGGUUACUAAAAUAAUUUUUCAAUGAACCUGAAAUGCCCUUCUAAAAUGUCCAUCAUUUUAGCCUUGGUUCAGAACCUCUGACAAAAGUGGUGCACAUUUUUCUAGGCCAUCAUAGGGUCUUUGAAUUAAAUCAUAGAUAUUUGAAAUUGGGCAUUUAAAAUAAUAUAAAAUAUUUAAAUGCUCAAAUAUCUCCAAACUAAAAUGUUUCAUGUUGGAAAUAAUCCAACUAUGGACCAGGAGUAGUUUGGUGAAUUUUGGAGUUGCCUAGGUAUUUUAAUUAAUUCAACAAAGUUGCAGAUAUAUUAAAUAAAACAGAAAACAGAAAAGAAAGGGGAAAGACUUACCUGUGCGGCCCAGCCAGCUGGCCGGCCCAGCUAGCAACCGACCCAGCCCAACACUGUAGCUCCCCGUCGUCUUCCUCCCCACGCCCCGAAGCUGCUGCGUGCUCGCGCGCGCGCGGCCGCGCGGCCACCUCCUGCUUGCCGACGCCCUCCUGACCGCGUGGACGACGUCCGCAGCCCGUCCCGAUCCCCCCUGCUCUCGCUCACUCUCCCCCGUUUCUCCCUCGCUCUCUCUCGCUCUCGGCCGAAGCACACCGUCGCCGCCGUUCGCCGUAGCCACUGUCUCCGGCCACCCCUCGCUCCCCCGAGUAGCUCAGAAGCUCCGCCACAACUCCCUCUUCCUCCCCACCGCUCCACGAGUCCCCGGAAGCCCUGCAUCGCCGCCACGUCGCCGUUCCCCUCUUCGGGCUCCGACCACCGUCGCCGACGAAUUCGCCGUCUCCAGCGCGUCCCCGAGCCCGCUUCGACGCCCACCGCAACCGCGGUGAGCUACGCCACUGUUUCCCCCUCUUCUCCCCCUCGUUCCCUCACCGUAGCUUCAUCUCCACCACGGCCGAACCUCCGCCGUCGCCGAGCUCGCCGUCGACGCAGCUCCGGUGACCAUUUGGUCACCCCGGCGAGUCCAACGCGUUCACAGAACCCAGUAGAGCAUCCCUAGCGCCCCACUUUGCUCGACUUCGAGCUCCAGCACCACUCCUGUGCACGACCGAACCCCGGCGGCCGCAGCCGAGCUCACCGCCGUCAACUCCGGCCACCCCGACCCCAACGGACUCCGCCAAGAGCCGCGGGUCGUCCUCAGCUUCACUCUGGUGAUCGCCGCGGUCCAUUUGGUGGCCGAAACGACCAAAACCACUAUCGCCGCCGCACUGUUGGUCGCCGCCGGCCAGAACUCCGGCGAGCUGACGUGGCCUAGUUGAUUAACCACUAAUCCACCACCUACUGACGCUGACAAGUGGGCCCCAGGGCUUAGUCAAAGCUAACCAGCCCGGGGUCAACGCGGGAUUAGCCCCUGUGACACUGACGUGUGGACCCCACACGUCAGGUUUGACCCGAGCCAGCCCUGUUGACCUGCUGAUGUCACUGUGAUGUCAGGCUGACGCAGUAAUUGAAUUUCUGGAUUUAAAUUAAAUCAGGAAAUUCUAGAAUAUUAUUUAAACUUCAAAAAUUCAUAACUUUUAUUCUGUAACUCCAAAUUGGACAAAUUAUAUAUGAAAAAUGAUCAGAAAAAUCCAAUCUAUCCAUCUGUACUAUUUUCAUGCAUGAUCAAACAAGUUAAAUUGAUGUUUUAAUCAGAAUAAGAAAAGGCACUUUAAAAGGCCAUAUUUGAAUUUGGAAUUUGAAUCUUUGAUUCAAAUUUGCUCAAACCCUACUGGCUUUAGUUGCAUUAGCCCAACACACUCAUAUUGCCAUGUUUCAUGCAUGCAUCAUAUUGUUGCACAUUGUUUGGUGAUGCCUGUGUAUCGUUAUCCUUUGCGACAGGAUCUGUCCCCGAGGAGUAUCGUGAUUACCCUAACGAAGAGUCGUAUCCGUGCAACGAAUCAUCAGGCAAGCAACCAACCAUUUGAUCAUAUCGAUACAAUCCCAUGUUCUCGCUCCUGCUCUCUUUUACUGCAUUAAGACAACGCGAUUCAAACUGCUGUGUGCUACGGUAGUUGAACCCAUUUCCUCUGCAUGACCUGUCAUUGCCACAGUAACUAGAUGAAACCCACUAGCAUGUGUAGGAGUUGUUUGAGCCAUAUGUAUGUGUUGUUCCUACCUUGCUAUGCCUGCUAUGCUUAGAGUCGUGUCAGGUCUGGUUCAUCUGGGUGAUGGGCUAGAGUGAAAUGAUUAUGUCGGUAAUGAGAGUGGUGUGGUGAACACGAUUUGGUAAAGGUAUCGAUGAGAGGCCAUGUAGGAGUACAUGGUGGGUUGUUUCAUUGAAGCCGACCUUAAGCACUGAGAUCUGUAUGUGUGAUUUAAGAUUCAGCUACUACCAUGCAUUGGGCCCGAAACCAAUGGACCCUCUCGACUUCUUAUUCACCCUAGUUCUCCGUCCAGGAGUUGCAAGUAGUUUCUGGUGUUUGUAGCCUACUGGAGGCCGUGGACAGCGCUGACCGUAGGGGUGGGCUGUGAUGCGGUAGGUACGUGGCCGGGUGUACCGAAUACCCGUUAGGUAUCUCGGGAACCCUGUUCACAUCGUUCGGGGCCGUAUGGGAAACCUCGGCCGGACUCCCUGCGGAUGGAACCUGAAUAGGCGAUAAACCUGGACUGGAGACUUAGGUGAUUAGGUAGGUCGUGGCCGACACCCACGUUGGGCUUCCGCUUGAAGGUUGCCGAGUACAUGUCGUGUAAACGACGGUAAGUGGUGAGAGCGUGUAUGAAGAAGUACCCCUGCAGGGUUAACAUGAUCUAUUCGAAUAGCCGCGUCCGCGGUAAAGGACUACUUGGUUGCCUAUACAGUUCAUAGACAAGUAAAUGGAAACUACUAAAAGCCUCAAGAUAAGUGUGAGUGCCGAGGAUGGCUCUUCCGUAGGAAGACGGAGGUGGAUCCUCGGUAGUGUAUUGAAGUGGUGAAUAGUGGACUCGUGUGCGCAAAACUGUUUCAAAUGGAGUAUCGUAGGAUAGUCUAGCCAAGAGUCAAAGCUGGCUUGCUGCAAUAACUCCACCAACCCCUCUUGAUACUAUGCAUGUAUGUAGGAUCUGAUGUAAGUCUUGCUGAGUACCUUUGUACUCAUGUUGCUAUAAUCUACAUUUUUACAGAAGACGCUGCAACCCCUUCUGAUGGGUUCUAUGUAGACGUUGACAUCAACGAGUAGGCUAAAGACCCAGGUGGUGACCCUGAGCUUGUGAAGGACCACGUAGUAUAGCUAGGCUUUCCAAGCCUCUUUUAUUUUACUAGUUGUCUGUACUCAGACAAGUUACUUCCGCUGUUGGCUUGUAUGAUUGUAUGACUUGUAUGUUGGGUCGUGAGACCCGUACCUUUGUGUGUAUGAUAUGUAUGGCUCCCUGAGCCUUAAAUAAAGUACUUGUGUCGUAGAGUCAUGUUGUGAUGCUUCGUUGUAUUUGCACAUAUCGAGCAUAUUGUGUGUAUGAUUGAAAUGCUUGGUAUGUGUGGGAUCUGACUAUCUAGUUGUUUAUCUUUAGUAGCCUCUCUUACCGGGAAAUGUCUCCUAGUGUUACCGCUGAGCCAUGGUAGCUUGCUACUGCUCUGGAACACUUAGGCUGGCCGGCAUGUGUCCUUCUUCGUUCCUGUGUCUGUCCCUUCGGGGAAAUGUCACGCUUUGAGUACCGGAGUCCUGUUAGCCCGCUACAGCCCGGUUUACCGGAGUCCUGCUAGCCCAGUGCUACAGCCCGGACCCACUUGCUGAUGACCGACAUGUUCGAAGCUGGGUCAUGGAUGCCUGUCCCUGUAAGUCUGUGCCACUUUGGGUUUACGACUAGUCAUGUCAGCCUGGGCUCUUUAUCAUAUGGAUGCUAGCGACACUAUCAUAUACGUGAGCCAAAAGGCGCAAACGGUCCCGGGAAAAGGUAAGACGACACCCGUGGGGAUACCGUGCGUGAGGCCGCAAAGUGAUAUGAGGUGUUACCAGCUAGAUCGAUGUGACAUCGAGUCGGGGUCCUGACAGCGUUGGCAUCAGAGCCGGACUGCCUGUAGGUUCUCUAAGCCAAACUGGUCGAUGUUGAGUCUAGAAAUUCUUAGUUAUAUGUAGGGGAAUUGUUUGUGGGUUGGAACGUAAGGCUCUUUUUACUCCUUAUACCUUAUGACAUUCUGAUCUGAGUCAGUCCAUUCUUCCACCGGGGGUUAAGGAAUUAGGAUCUGUUCUCUCUAUCAGGAUCACGUGUUACUAAUCAGUAGUACCUUAUAAGUUUGAUGGAUACAAGCCUAGUUCAGUUCUACUACCACAUUGUGUUGUUAGAAUGGAUUCAGAACUUGAUAUGAUGAUGUUGGGUGUGUACGAAAUCUUUUGUCAAAUGUCUCAAUAUCCUUUUUGAGCAUUUACAGCUGUUAUGCUGCCGAAAUUUUGCUAGAAAUUCUAAUGCCUUUGCAUUAUAAUUGUGCUUUCAGAUGGCCACUCGCGACCUCAAUCAAGUGGUUCGCCUGACUCGAUGCCUAGAUGUACCCGGCCAUACUGCUAAGUUGGUUAGGGUAAUGACUGAGGCUGGAUACCGCUGGUAUCCUGAGUACACGGUCGAAGAGCAAUUCCGAGACUUUAAUCAAAGCCAGUAUCUCUGCACUGUCAGGAUAUUUCCAUCCUAUCCUGGAUCCACUGAGCCUCUUCACUGCUCCUAUGGACUCGGGAUUACUAUUGAGAUGGCUGUGCAGGACGCCGCCUACUCUAUGAUGACCAUUAUGCGAGUCAGAUCUGGUCUAUUUCGGGACUCUGAUUUCCGGUAUAUGCCAGGAUCACUUCCGGGAGCACAAGGAUAUCUCCAAGCUAUCUAUGCUGAUUCUACUCAGGAGGAUUCACGGACUCGCACCACUGCUGAGAUGCUCGAGGAUAAGGACCGUGAAAAUCGGGCCUUAAGGUUAGAGCUCUUCAAUACCUGUGCCGACCACUGGGCCACUUUGACUCGGUUCGCACCGGCGGUGCAAGCUGGAUAUUCAGAUAUGCGCGAUCUCUAUCCAGUGAGAUCUGCUCUGCCGGACGUGAUGGUUUGGCGUGAUGUAGGAGGCAUCACCCCACCUCGCGGUCCCCGUAGGCCACCGUUUGUUGGUCCAAGGCCUCAUCCUAGCCCCUAUGGUCCACAAGCUCCGCGAGAUCGUCUGUUUCCGGAUGAACAUGUUGAGCUUCCAGGCUAUGGAGGUGACUUCUACGAGGACUACUACGGAUCGGUCUGAGUUAGUAGUAGUAUCACUAGUUCGCACUAGCUGUGUCGUCUAUUGUCCUGCGUGUCUCGUGGGAUAUGACCUAGUUUGUACUCUUUCCGGAGAUGUAGAGAAAUAAUGUAUAGGAGCUUGGGAUGCCUCCGAUGAGAUGUAAUCCUCUUUUCACCGUAUUAGUACUUGCUUGGUCUUGUACUAAACCUGUAUGGUGUGUAUGACGAUGGAAUAAAGAAGCAGUUUCUGUAUCUACCAUGUCAUACGGAUGAUCAUCUUGCAUUCUGAAUUAUUCCUUACAUUGUGUAUCCUAUGUCGGAAUUUUAUCAUUCUGACUAAAUCAUUGUCUUGUUUACCUAGGAUGGUCAACACGCGCGCUAACCCUGCUUCCCAAGAGCAGGCCGAAGGCAGUGAAGCCAGAAAUGAACAUCUGCCUCAACCUCCUUCACUAGCCGAGGUUAUGAUGGAAGCUGAGAGAAACAAGCGGGAGACAAACCGGUUGUUGGAGCGUAUUGAACAGAACACAGCACACCAUCAGAGGGCUAACGUGGUGUCACUCAGUGAUUUUAUCAAAUUGCAUCCACCCACGUUCCACCACUCCGUCGAACCUCUCGACGCUGAUGACUGGCUUCGCAGUAUCUCUCACAAGCUGCGUUCCGGCGCUGGUAGCGGAGGCUGACAAGGUCACCUUGGCCGCAUAUCAUCUUGAAGGCCCCGCCAGUCUAUGGUGGGAGAAUUAUGGAGCUAUGCGCCCAGCGGGCCAUGUCACUACUUGGGCUGAGUUCAGUGAGGCUUUCCGUGAACAUCACAUUCCGGAGGGUCUCAUGGACCGUAAGCGUGAAGAAUUUUGCAAUUUCACCCAAGGCCGACUUUCUGUGGAUGUCUAUAGCAGGGAGUUUGGUAAUCUUGCACGGUAUGCAACCGAGGAAGUUUCUACUGACGCCAAGAAGCAAGCAAGGUUCCGCAAGGGCCUUAGUCCUGAGCUUCGCCGCGACCUCCGUCUGCAUGAGUGCACAUCCUUUUCGAAACUUGUCAACAAAGCCAUCAGUGCUGAAACUGGUCAGACUGACUACGACGCAACACGCAAGCAUGGACGUGACAUGGGUUCCUCAUCCGGUGCUGGUCCUCAGAAGCGUCGCAUGUGGGUACCCAACACCGCCCUGCCACCCAGGUUCACACCGAGGCCAUCUUUCCAGGCGCCUCGCCCCGCUCAACAGUCUGCUCCAGCCAAGCCCUAUGGGGGUCCAACCAAUAAUGCUCCUCCACGUACCAGUUCCGUGACUUGUUUCAAGUGUGGGGAAUCUGGUCAUUAUAUGCGUGAGUGUCCCCAGACCAACCCCAAUCAAUCUGCUAAAGCUGUUGGCCGUGGCAAGCCGACAGGAAAAGUGUUUCAUGCUAAACCGGUCACCGCUUCACGUGGCCAUGUCAACUGUGUCUCUGCCGAAGAAGCUCAAGAAGAUCCCAACGUCGUUCUCGGUACGCUUCUUGUUAAUUGCCACCCGGCAUCUGUUCUUUUCGAUACAGGAGCCUCUCAUUCUUUUAUAUCUGAAAAUUAUGCUCGUUUGCAUAACGAUGCAUUCUGUGACUUGCCAUCCACUAUGGAAAUCUCUACCCCUGGGUCUAGAUGGCAGACCUCUAGGGUAAGUUAUAGGAAUGAAAUCCAAGUCGAUAGACUUGUCUUCCUUGCAUCUUUGAUAGCCCUUAAAUCUUCAGAUAUUAAUAUCAUUUUGGGUAUGGACUGGAUGUCAGCUCAUCAUGCCAAAAUUGAUUGCUUCUCUAGGACUGUUCAACUCACCCACCCUUCGGGCAAGAUAGUCAAUGUCUUGACUCGAAUAGCCAAGCGACAACUAUAUUCUCUUAACGCCAACCCUUUGCCAGACCUUGAGGACGUUCCGGUAGUCCGUGACUUUCCGGAUGUCUUUCCAGAGGAAUUGCCAGGUGUUCCACCUGACAGGGAUGUUGAGUUCGUAAUCGACCUCAUCCCCGGAACCGUUCCGAUUGCUAGAAGGCCUUAUAAGAUGGCACCCCUAGAACUAGCCGAGCUUAAGAAACAACUCGAUGAAUCCUUGAAAAAGGGUUUCAUCCGACCUAGUUCAUCUUCGUGGGCUUGCCCCGUCCUAUUCGUCAAGAAGAAAGAUGGUACGGACCGGAUGGUUGUAGAUUACCGACCUGUCAAUUUGGUCACAAUCAAAAACAAAUAUCCACUUCCCAGGAUCAACGACCUGUAUGAUCAGCUCGCUGGAUCCUCAGUCUUUUCUAAGAUGGAUUUGAGGUUGGGCUACCAUCAAAUCAAAAUCAGAAACGGGGACAUUCCUAAAACGGCCUUUGUUACUCGUUAUGGCCAAUACGAGUACACCGUCAUGUCCUUCGGAUUAACCAACGCUCCAGCCACCUUUUCUCGGUUAAUGAACUCAAUCUUCAUGGAGUAUUUGGAUAAAUUCGUCGUAGUUUAUCUCGAUGAUAUACUCAUCUACUCCAAGAACGAGGAAGAACAUGCCGAACAUCUAAGACUAGUGUUGCAGAAACUUCGUGAGCAUCGCCUUUAUGCCAAAUUUUCAAAAUGUGAAUUCUGGUUGCCAGAAGUGACCUAUCUGGGUCAUGUAAUAUCUGGUAAAGGUAUUGUUGUUAACCCUGAGCGAGUUCAAGCCGUCCUUGAUUGGACUCCACCCGAAUCGGUCAAGCAAGUUCGGAGUUUUCUAGGCUUAGCGAGCUAUUGCCGUCGCUUUGUCGAGAACUUCUCCAAAGUUGCUAAACCUCUAACCGAACUCCUCAAGAAAGAUAAGAAGUUCGAAUGGACUCCACAAUGUGAGCACAGCUUUCAGGAACUGAAAAGACGCCUGACCUCUGCUCCCGUGCUGGUACCGCCAGACUUCUCCAAGGACUUUAUUACCUACUGCGACGCCUCGCGACAAGGACUAGGUUGCAUUCUUAUGCAAGAUCGACACGUAAUUGCUUACGCUUCACGGCAAUUGCACCCACAUGAGGAGAAUUAUCCUACUCAUGAUUUAGAACUUGCAGCCGUAGUCUAUGCACUUAAGACCUGGCGACAUUACCUUCUCGGUAAUCGUUGCGAAAUAUUUACUGAUCACCAAAGUCUGAAGUACAUCUUCACCCAACUGGAUCUGAAUCUCAGGCAAAGACGUUGGGUUGAAUUGAUCACAGACUUCGACUUAGGAAUAACCUACACCCCAGGGAAAGCCAACGUCAUGGCUGAUGCGCUAAGUCGUAAAUCUUAUUGUAACAACCUGAUGUUACAACAAAGUCAACCGCUUCUGCAUGAGGAAUUUCGAAAGCUUAACCUUCACAUUGUACCUCAAGGUUUUCUCUCCACCUUGGUGGCAAAACCUACCCUUACGGAUCAAAUCAUCAAAGCACAGAAGGUAGAUCCGGGAAUCUCCCGCAUCAAGAGAAACAUUCAGAAAGGAAUUGCGAAUUGUUUCUCCGUUAAUGAUCAAGGAGUUGUAUACUUCGGGAAUCGACUAGUAGUUCCCAAAGUGCGCAACCUAAGGCGAUUAAUCCUUAAGGAGGCCCAUGAAUCUCCUCUCACCAUUCAUCCCGGUAGUACUAAGAUGUAUCAGGACCUACGCCAGAGGUUCUGGUGGACUAGGAUGAAGAGAGAAAGUGCUCAGUAUAUUGCAAAUUGCGACGUCUGUCGUCGUGUAAAAGCAGAGCAUCAACGACCUGCUGGCACCCUUCAACCCUUAGCUAUUCCUGAAUGGAAAUGGGAUAAAAUUGGUAUGGAUUUCAUUACCGGUUUUCCCAGAACCAAGAGAGGGAAUAAUGCUAUUUUCGUCGUGGUCGAUCGUCUUUCCAAAGUAGCUCAUUUCCUACCUGUUCGUGAGAGUAUAACCGCUAGUCAGCUGGCAGACUUAUACAUCUCCCGGAUAGUGUCUCUCCAUGGUGUUCCUUUGGAAAUCAAUUCGGAUCGAGGAAGUCUUUUCACCUCUCGAUUUUGGGAAAGUUUCCAAAAUGCUAUGGGAACUCGUCUCUCUUUUAGCACCGCUUUCCACCCUCAGUCAAGUGGUCAAGUGGAACGCGUCAAUCAGAUUCUAGAAGACAUGCUUCGAGCCUCCGUUAUCUCUUUCGGAAUGGACUGGGAGAAGUGCCUUCCAUUUGCCGAAUUCGCGUACAACAACAGCUAUCAAUCUAGCUUGGGUAAAGCCCCUUUUGAAGUUCUCUAUGGACGACGAUGUCGAACACCCCUUAACUGGUCAGAGACCGGGGAAAGACAAUUCUUUGGCCCGGAUAUGAUUCAGGAAGCAGAAGAACAAGUUCGUAUCGUUCGUGAAAAGUUGAAAACAGCCCAAUCUCGUCAAAAGAGUCAAUAUGACCGAAAACAUAAGGCUAUGACUUUCGAGGUUGACGAGAAGGCUUAUCUUCGGGUCACCCCUCUGAAGGGAACCCAUCGUUUCGGUAUCAAAGGCAAAUUGGCUCCUCGUUACAUUGGACCUUUUCGCAUUCUUGCCAAACGAGGAGAAGUUGCCUACCAAUUGGAACUACCUCCGCACCUCUCCAAAGUUCACGAUGUCUUCCACGUUUCUCAACUCAGGCGUUGCUUCUCGGAUCCUAUCCGUGAAGUGGACCACGAAACGCUUGAUCUCCAAGAUAAUCUUACAUAUCAAGAGUACCCCAUUCGUAUCCUCGAUCAAGCCGAACGUACCACGCGAUGUCAUAAUAUCAAGUUUCUCAAGGUUCAAUGGUCGCACCAUUCUGAAGAUGAAGCAACUUGGGAAAGGGAGGAUCGUCUUCGACUUGAAUACCCCGCCUUCUUCUCGGAGGAACCCAAAUCUCGGGACGAGAUUCUUUUGAGUGGGGGUGAGUUGUCACACCCUAGCUAGUCAUGCAUUAGAGUGUUGCAUCAUGUUUACUUUUUCAUCAGAAACUUGAAAUGGGGAUGACAGAACCCCCAGCCCCCUCUGAAACCAACUAGGGUUACUAAAAUAAUUUUUCAAUGAACCUGAAAUGCCCUUCUAAAAUGUCCAUCAUUUUAGCCUUGGGUCAGAACCUCUGACAAAAGUGGUGCACAUUUUUCUAGGCCAUCAUAGGGUCUUUGAAUUAAAUCAUAGAUAUUUGAAAUUGGGCAUUUAAAAUAAUAUAAAAUAUUUAAAUGCUCAAAUAUCUCCAAACUAAAAUGUUUCAUGUUGGAAAUAAUCCAACUAUGGACCAGGAGUAGUUUGGUGAAUUUUGGAGUUGCCUAGGUAUUUUAAUUAAUUCAACAAAGUUGCAGAUAUAUUAAAUAAAACAGAAAACAGAAAAGAAAGGGGAAAGACUUACCUGUGCGGCCCAGCCAGCUGGCCGGCCCAGCUAGCAACCGACCCAGCCCAACACUGUAGCUCCCCGUCGUCUUCCUCCCCACGCCCCGAAGCUGCUGCGUGCUCGCGCGCGCGCGGCCGCGCGGCCACCUCCUGCUUGCCGACGCCCUCCUGACCGCGUGGACGACGUCCGCAGCCCGUCCCGAUCCCCCCUGCUCUCGCUCACUCUCCCCCGUUUCUCCCUCGCUCUCUCUCGCUCUCGGCCGAAGCACACCGUCGCCGCCGUUCGCCGUAGCCACUGUCUCCGGCCACCCCUCGCUCCCCCGAGUAGCUCAGAAGCUCCGCCACAACUCCCUCUUCCUCCCCACCGCUCCACGAGUCCCCGGAAGCCCUGCAUCGCCGCCACGUCGCCGUUCCCCUCUUCGGGCUCCGACCACCGUCGCCGACGAAUUCGCCGUCUCCAGCGCGUCCCCGAGCCCGCUUCGACGCCCACCGCAACCGCGGUGAGCUACGCCACCGUUUCCCCCUCUUCUCCCCCUCGUUCCCUCACCGUAGCUUCAUCUCCACCACGGCCGAACCUCCGCCGUCGCCGAGCUCGCCGUCGACGCAGCUCCGGUGACCAUUUGGUCACCCCGGCGAGUCCAACGCGUUCACAGAACCCAGUAGAGCAUCCCUAGCGCCCCACUUUGCUCGACUUCGAGCUCCAGCACCACUCCCGUGCACGACCGAACCCCGGCGGCCGCAGCCGAGCUCACCGCCGUCAACUCCGGCCACCCCGACCCCAACGGACUCCACCAAGAGCCGCGGGUCGUCCUCAGCUUCACUCCGGUGAUCGCCGCGGUCCAUUUGGUGGCCGAAACGACCAAAACCACUAUCGCCGCCGCACUGUUGGUCGCCGCCGGCCAGAACUCCGGCGAGCUGACGUGGCCUAGUUGAUUAACCACUAAUCCACCACCUACUGACGCUGACAAGUGGGCCCCAGGGCUUAGUCAAAGCUAACCAGCCCGGGGUCAACGCGGGAUUAGCCCCUGUGACACUGACGUGUGGACCCCACACGUCAGGUUUGACCCGAGCCAGCCCUGUUGACCUGCUGAUGUCACUGUGAUGUCAGGCUGACGCAGUAAUUGAAUUUCUGGAUUUAAAUUAAAUCAGGAAAUUCCAGAAUAUUAUUUAAACUUCAAAAAUUCAUAACUUUUAUUCUGUAACUCCAAAUUGGACAAAUUAUAUAUGAAAAAUGAUCAGAAAAAUCCAAUCUAUCCAUCUGUACUAUUUUCAUGCAUGAUCAAAGAAGUUAAAUUGAUGUUUUAAUCAGAAUAAGAAAAGGCACUUUAAAAGGCCAUAUUUGAAUUUGGAAUUUGAAUCUUUGAUUCAAAUUUGCUCAAAACCCUACUGGCUUUAGUUGCAUUAGCCCAACACACUCAUAUUGCCAUGUUUCAUGCAUGCAUCAUAUUGUUGCACAUUGUUUGGUGAUGCCUGUGUAUCGUUAUCCUUUGCGACAGGAUCUGUCCCCGAGGAGUACCGUGAUUACCCUAACGAGGAAUCGUAUCCGUGCAACGAAUCAUCAGGCAAGCAACCAACCAUUUGAUCAUAUCGAUACAAUCCCAUGUUCUCGCUCCUGCUCUAUUUUACUGCAUUAAGACAACGCGAUUCAAACUGCUGUGUGCUACGGUAGUUGAACCCAUUUCCUCUGCAUGACCUGUCAUUGCCACAGUAACUAGAUGAAACCCACUAGCAUGUGUAGGAAUUGAUUGAGCCAUAUGUAUGUGUUGUUCCUACCUUGCUAUGCCUGCUAUGCUUAGAGUUGUGUCAGGUCUGGUUCAUCUGGGUGAUGGGCUAGAGUGAAAUGAUUAUGUCGGUAAUAAGAGUGGUGUGGUGAACACGAUUUGGUAAAGGUAUCGAUGAGAGGCCAUGUAGGAGUACAUGGUGGGUUGUUUCAUUGAAGCCGACCUUAAGCACUGAGAUCUGUAUGUGUGAUUUAAGAUACAGCUACUACCAUGCAUUGGGCCCUGAAAUAUGACCCCGCUCGACUUCUUAUUCACCCUAGCUCUCUGUCCAGGAGUUGCAAGUAGUUUCUGGUGUUUGUAGCCUACUGGAGGCCGUGGACAGCGCUGACCGUAGGGGUGGGCUGUGAUGCGGUAGGUACGUGGCACGGUGUACCGAAUACCCAUUAGGUAUCUCGGGAACCCUGUUCACAUCGUUCGGGGCCGUAUGGGAAACCUCGGCCGGACUCCCUGCGGAUGGAACCUGAAUAGGCGAUAAACCUGGACUAGAGGCUUAAGUGUUUAGGUAGGUCGUGGUCUACACCCACGUCGGCUUUCGCUUGAAGUCUGCCGAGCACAUGACGUGUGCAGACGCUAAGUGGUGGAAACAUGUAUGAAGAAGUACACCCCUGCAGGGUUAACAUGAUCUAUUCGAAUAGCCGCGUCCGCGGUAAAGGACUACUUGGUUGCCUAUACAGUUCAUAGACAAGUAAAUGGAAACUACUAAAAGCCUCAAGAUAAGUGUGAGUGCCGAGGAUGGCUCUUCCGUAGGAAGACGGAGGUGGAUCCUCGGUAGUGUAUUGAAGUGGUGAAUAGUGGACUCGUGUGCGCAAAACUGUUUCAAAUGGAGUAUCGUAGGAUAGUCUAGCCAAGAGUCAAAGCUGGCUUGCUGCAAUAACUCCACCAACCCCUCUUGAUACUAUGCAUGUAUGUAGGAUCUGAUGUAAGUCUUGCUGAGUACCUUUGUACUCAUGUUGCUAUAAUCUACAUUUUUACAGAAGACGCUGCAACCCCUUCUGAUGGGUUCUAUGUAGACGUUGACAUCAACGAGUAGGCUAAAGACCCAGGUGGUGACCCUGAGCUUGUGAAGGACCACGUAGUAUAGCUAGGCUUUCCAAGCCUCUUUUAUUUUACUAGUUGUCUGUACUCAGACAAGUUACUUCCGCUGUUGGCUUGUAUGAUUGUAUGACUUGUAUGUUGGGUCGUGAGACCCGUACCUUUGUGUGUAUGAUAUGUAUGGCUCCCUGAGCCUUAAAUAAAGUACUUGUGUCGUAGAGUCAUGUUGUGAUGCUUCGUUGUAUUUGCACAUAUCGAGCAUAUUGUGUGUAUGAUUGAAAUGCUUGGUAUGUGUGGGAUCUGACUAUCUAGUUGUUUAUCUUUAGUAGCCUCUCUUACCGGGAAAUGUCUCCUAGUGUUACCGCUGAGCCAUGGUAGCUUGCUACUGCUCUGGAACACUUAGGCUGGCCGGCAUGUGUCCUUCUUCAUUCCUGUGUCUGUCGCUUCGGGGAAAUGUCACGCUUUGAGUACCGGAGUCCUGUUAGCCCGCUACAGCCCGGUUUACCGGAGUCCUGCUAGCCCAGUGCUACAGCCCGGACCCACUUGCUGAUGACCGACACGUUCGAAGCUGGGUCAUGGAUGCCUGUCCCUGUAAGUCUGUGCCACUUUGGGUUUACGACUAGUCAUGUCAGCCCGGGCUCUUUAUCAUAUGGAUGCUAGCGACACUAUCAUAUACGUGAGCCAAAAGGCGCAAACGGUCCCGAGAAAAGGUAAGACGACACCCGUGGGGAUACCGUGCGUGAGGCCGCAAAGUGAUAUGAGGUGUUACCAGCUAGAUCGAUGUGACAUCGAGUCGGGGUCCUGACAAUGUCGGCCUGUUAACGACCCGGGAGGUAAGAGGACCGACAAUUAACUUUCGGCCUAGUAACGGCCCAUUAACUUAAUGGUCCCACUAAAGCUCGUACAUGUCUUUAGGCCAAAUUAGAUAAUUUGAGCCCAUUACGACGAGCAAUUAUGCACAGGACCAAAACCGAUCAAGCAAAGGUACGGCAUAUAGGGAAUAACGUUGCACAUCCAGCAUAUAUUAUAGGAAAUUACAUCCACUGGGCAAUCAAAGAUUGAUGCCAGUGCAAAUAAAUGAGCAGAACCUAACCAUCUACAACGUCACAAUCUGCAACCUCAGCAUAGAUGACGCCCAUAAGCAUGUGGGCAAGUUCUUGCUGCUUUGCUACACUGUCUAUGAAAACAUUGAUCAGUUAUUGUGUCGCACGACUCUGCACCUCUGAUUCAUCCACCAUUUCCAUCAUUGCUUCAGCCAUUAAUUGGUUCACAAACAUACAUUUAUUCUGUUGCAUUCGAGAGAGAGGAUACUGAACAGAUUCAGAUGGCGAUUUUUGCAGGCUUGUAUUAUUGAUAGCGGAGAGUGUCUCGACCACUGCAUCAUAACAUAAAUUAGAACGGGAACCAAACAGAUUAAUCAUGAGUUAUUGCCAUAUUACCUGGCCUAGAUUUACUGGAAAGAAACAAUGUGGUUGCCUUGUUGUUUUCAGAGUUUGUCUUCUUAUCUUUAGCAGCCUGCACAAAAUUAACACACUAGCAUUGCUAUCAUUGGCCAAGUUAGAUAAUAGAAAAGCAACAUUGAAACAACGAACCUUUGGGAAACUAGCCUACACCAAAUUAACACAAUAUGGCACAGCGAUCAUCAGCCAGGUAAGGUAAUACGAAAGCAACAUUGACACAAUGAAUAAAUGGGCAACCAGAGAAGCACUACAAUUCAGUAAUGUCCGUGAUAUGAGAUAGUACACUCAUGCAGCUCAGUAUGCAAAACUACCAGACAGUUUUCCUUACAAAAGUCAACAUUGGCGCCUUUAACAUUUUGCUACAACUAAUUUUAGAUCAGAUAAAGGUUAGAUUCACGCCGAUUAACAAAAUACAUGCUGAUGUAAAAAUAUAGUGAUAUACAACAGGUACUUACAUCAGCAUUGGAGCACAGAGAAUUCCCGCAAGAUAUUUUCCUCGAAUACGAUCCCAAUGGAGGAAGUCUUCUAUCGUUUAACCUUAUUUUCUAAAAGAGAGAUGGGUAAGAAACAUGCAGAAAAUAUGAUCAGAAUGCUACAAAAUUUCAUGAUGCGAUGAUACGCACACGCUUCUUAGAAUGGAGUUGACAUUCUUUUGCUGGACUGGAGCGGACUAGUUCUUUGGCCACUGGAAUCUGCUUAUUAUCAAUGGGAGUUGAGUUUCUCUGUGCUGGAGCAGUAUCUAUGAAAAAUGGAGUUGGUUUAUUAUCUCCUGGCGUUUGGAUCUUUUGAAAAGAUUUGGUUUGUAACUCUUCAGAUUCUAACAUAGCCGUCUUCCCCUUGCAUGCCUUAUAUAGAAGAAUGGUGAUUCAGUUAUAAAACAUGCUACAACAGAGAUGGAAUAUGUAUUGAAGAAUAGAAAGGCAUGACAUAUUGACAUGUAUUCCCUCCAUCCGGAAAUAAAUGGAUGGGCCUAGGUGUAUUUCAGUUCUAGAUACAUUCAGUUUUAUCCAUUUCUGCGACAUGUAAUCCGGACGGAGUGAGUAUGAUGUAAGAGCUAGGGAUACGACAGGACAACACAGUAAAAAAAACACUGAAAACCCACUGCAGAACCAAAGUAUUCAAACCCAUUGAUAUGAGAUAGUACACUCAUGCAGCUUAGGAUGCAAAACUACCAGGCAGUUUUCCUUACAAAAAUCAACAUUGUAGCCUUUAAUCAUACAUUUUGCUACAACUAAAUUUAGAUCAGAUAAAGGUUGGAUUCACGCUGAUUAACAAAGUACAUGCUGAUGUAAAAAUAUAGUGAUAUACAACAGGUCCUUACAUCUACAUUGGAGCACAGAGAAUUCCUGCAAGAAUCUUUCCUCAUAAACGAUACCAUUGCAGAAAUUCUUCUAUCUAUUAAGCUUAUUUUUUAAAAGAGAGAUGGGUAAGAAACAUGUAGAAAAUAUGAUUAGUGCGCUAUAAAAUUUAAUGAUGCAAGGAUACGCACACGCUUCUUAGAAUGGAGUUGACAUAUUUUUGCUGGACUGGAGCGGACUAGUUCUUUGGCCACUGGAAUCUGCUUAUUAUCAGUAGGAGUUGGGUUUCUCUGUGCUGGAGCAGUAUCUAUAAAAAUUAGAGUUGGUUUAUUAUCUCCUGGCGUUUGGAUCUUUUGCAAAGGCCUUGUUUGUAACCCUUCAAAUUCUAACAUAGUCGUCUUCCCCUUGCAUGCCUUGUAUAGAAGAAUGGUGCUUUAAUUAUAAAACAUGCGACAACAGAGAGACGAAUAGGUACUGAAGAAUAGAAAGACAUGACAUAUUGACAUGUAUUCCCUCCAUUCGGAAAAAAAUGGAUGGGUCUAGGUGUAUUUCAGUUCUAGAUACAUCCUUUUUAUCCAUUCGGCAACAUGUAAUCCAGAGGAGGGAGUAUGGUGAAAGAGCUAGGGAUACGACAUGACAACACAACAAAAAAAAGCACUAGUUGAAUGUAAAACUGUAUGCUAGUGGAAUACAUACAGAAAUAACUAAGGCAACAUACACGUGCAUGAUUGGGAAACUAAGAUGGCAUUGCAAUAGAGCACUAGAACAACACUUCAAUGUAAAAAAACAUGGUAUUGUAGACAGAUGAAGUACAUACUGAUGAAUAACAAUGCACAAGAUAUUCAGAAGCAUGAUGUCCAAAUUAAGCAGAUGGCAUUGCGAUAGAGUAGAAUGGCGGUACUUGAAUUUGAAAACAUGUUAUCAUGAAUGGAAUAGGUACUGAAAAACAAGAAGGCAUGACAUAUUUACACGCAUGAUCAACAUGCUAAGCACAUGGCAUUGCAACAGAGUAGAUACACUCCAGGACAUUAUAUGCAUGUUGUACCCAUAUCACAUGCCAAUUAGAGCAAGAACCUUGUGGGGUGAAGAGGAUUCAUCAUCUUUCUGCAAGUCUUCUGAAGAACUACCUUUACAUGUUCCAUCAUAUUGGGUAUCAUUGACAUCAAGUUUAUUGGCCUUUACAUUGCUCCGCGAGGUUCUUGUGGAUAUAUCAGUGUGUGCAAUUAUAUCUGACAUGCAUGGAAGACAACUAGUAGUUAGAUUUAUGUAAUGAGUGCCUGUAGGAGACGACAUAAAUAGUAGGACUGGGGUUAACUAGCAGCAACAUGUCUCAUAAACUAAAGGGAGAACACAGAUGAAAGCUACAGAAUAUGUAUCGUUUGUACUCGAGAUUAACUAGAUGGCACACAAAAGUAUUAAAGAACAACAUAGGUAAUACUAGACUGGUAUAAUACUACAAUCACCAGCCUGUGGGAUAGCAUUGGCUGAUGGAUGAUAACUAUGGAACAUCGUUACCUAAAGAACAGGUAUCUUAGCUGAACUAUGGAACAUUGUUAACUCCCAAACAAGACCCGUAAGAGAUCAUCAUGAAUAUACAGUGAAAUGUGAUGAUCUAUUUUCCAUGCUUAGAUGAAUAACAAAGCCAUAAAUGUUGCACAUAAGUAAGAUGAGGGUACAACCUAUCUGGCUGCCAUCCAUAGGAGUGAGCAUCAUGUGCUGACUUGUCGAUGGCCCUGCAGUUGUUGUGGUUGUCCAUGUCGGGCACGCGCAUUCGAUGCAGGGAACUGUUGAGUGGGGACUACAGCUUCCUUUUGGUGUAUGCUUCCCUUGUUGGAGCAGCUGCGGUGAGUCGGAAGAUGGUGUGUCUGAAGAUGUAGAUAACACAUAAUGUUAAGAACGACAUAUCUCUUUGAUAUGAAGAAAUACACUAAGAGAUCAACAACAAGGCACGAGAGUGGUCACACGUCUGUUGACUGAAGACUAAAUUGGGGUCACAUGAUUUUAUUUUAUUUUGGUACUGUCCGAUCUACGCCGGAUGGCUUGAUGGCCGUCUUGUGCCUCCCGGCUCACACUGUUCGGAAUCUUCCCCGAAGAGCCAGCAACAACAACAAAGCAGCCUACCUCCGCCUUCCGUGGCCCUGGCCAAAACCCCGCUCCCCGCCCACCGCACUGCCAUGGUUGCGCUGCCCCCGGGCCAAUCCACAAAGACUCCCCGUCAUCCAGAUCCGGCGGCGGCAGUACCUUCAACCCACACAACUCUAAAAGAUAUCCAUCCAAGCGCUGCUUCCGUGGAAAACUUGCGGCCCCGCACCCUUCCAUUAGACACCAGCCAACCGACAGCCUAGGAGCUCCGCCGCCUCGAGGGGCGCUGCUUCCCAUUGGGAAUCGAUUGGCCCAGAAUAAAAAUUCAGACAACUGACGCCUAAAUAAGGUGAUUUGAGAUGAGGGUGCGACCUAUCUAGCGGCAUGGUGAAGUAGGCAGGUCCAGCUGCCGAGUCGGUGAGGCCGGUGCGAUUGCGGUGGCGACCGGCGGCAGGGAAACAGCAAUGUCGCGACGGUCAACGGCUACGGGAAAGCAGCGCCAGGACUCUGGAUGAAUCCGAAGUUGGAGCCGCUCCGGCGUCGUGAACAACGAUGGGGGUGAAUCGGCUCUGGUACGGUUCACGCGGCCAUCAUCGAGGCAGCACCGGCAACACUGAGUAAGAGGCAUACGACCCAGUGCACGACGGCAAAUGGACAGCGUCUCCGGCAUUAGCGAGGAGGGCGGCUUUGAAAAUUGUGCGAUGGGGGGCACCAUGGAGGUGUGCUGUGGUUUCGUGGCUCGGGAGAAGGGAGCUUCCCGGGGAGAAGGUGAUUUGGCGCCCAUGAGGUAUGAAUGGGGGGGCGGGGGGGGGGAUUGGGAGGGGAGUGGAACCAUGUCUUACGGACGCAUUUGUCUGAAAUGUGAGGGGGAGUUACAGUUCUACCCUUGCCUUUAGGCUUCUCGGCUUGGGUCUGUGUACUGAGGGUCGGGGAUAGUAGAGUAACUUUGCUUCUCCCCAAAUAGUGGGCCGGAGCGAUUUCGGGCGAGGAGGGCGUGUUUUGAACUAUAGUGGGCGCGAGCGAUUUCGGGCGAGGAGAGCGUGUUUUGAAAUAAUGGGCGCGAGCUAUUUCGGGCGAGGAGAGCGUGUUUUGUCGACCAUGGUUUAUGAAUUAUUCGACACAUGUCAUUUCGGCCGAGGAUAAGGCGCGCUUGGAUGAAGUUACGAACCUACCCUUGAUGUACGACAGGCCAAUUGAUGUGUGUCCCACAUAGGACGGUAAUUUCGCGUCUCCCAUUUAUUUGCUUGGGAGAAUUCCACCGAGCAGAGAGGAUGUUUAACGGUUCAUUCAAAUUUUGGGAGAACGAGCAUCCACGUCUACCUUACCAAGUCGAUUCGAAUCAAAUUUUCAAAUAUUAGCUUGCCACUUCUUUUUUAGAUGGAGAGAUGAUGCUCGGGAGUAAUGUGUUUUUACAUGCUCGUUGCUAGCGAUUUACUAUAUGACAAAUAGUUGACCCACUAAAAAACGCGAAUCAAACCCAAAAUAAAAUAUCUCGAUUCAAUGAAAUAGCUCGUUCACUAGGUCAAAAUAGUGAACUAAAUCCAAAAUUGAACACCUCAAUCGAGUAGCAUGUUGUACAGUAUUAUGGUACUCCAUGAACAUGUUGAAAGUCAAAUUAAUGAACUUGUUUGAUAUACACAUAUAUCCGUUCAUGUGUGGAUUGCACACAACAUGUUCUCCAAUUUAAAUAUUUGAAUGCAAGUUUAUAUCGAAACAUGGUUUAUAUCAGUCUUUGAUGCAUAAAACGCGACCUCCCCCUCUCCCGGACUCCUGUUCUCUCUCUCUCUCCCACGCGCGCUGACAAUCUUCAAUUCUGUCGCACGCAUCCGACACAAAAACCUUGUUGGUCCCUCUCCCUUUCUCUCCAUCUCUCUCUCUCUCUGUAUGUGUGUGUGUGGGGGGGGGGUCUUUCUAGUUUGCAUGCAUAUAUACACCAUCUAUAGGUCUAUCUCGCACACUAUGUAUGAUACUCUAGCUAGUACAAGCAGAUAUCUUGGGUGCACUCAUCGUACGCACACAAAUUCCUUGGCUCUUUGCCCGUAACUCUCUCACGCACCACUCUGUCGUCUCAGAGCUCUCCCCCCCUCUCUCAAACUCUCCAUCCACCUGGGUUACACAUACACAUGCAUAUCUCACUCGCACUCAAUAGGCCCAUCUAAAACUCUAUCUCUCUCCCUCGUUCUCUCUCCAUCUCACACGCACACACACACACACAACCUCAUGCCUAGCUAGCCAAGUAUGAUGGUCUCUCACUCAAUUGUAGGCACAUGCAGUCCCCCUAUAUGUAUAUGACUAGCUACUCUUAGUCUCCAUCACAAACAUGUGCAUGGUCUAUCUCGAUUUCUCUUGGGGCAUCUUUCUAUCGUGCACGCACCUCCCUCGAUCUCCCACCCAUAUAGUCCCCUCACGAUCUCGAGGGGACCUAUCUAUCACAAACACACCCUCUCUCCCUCCCCAUGCGUCCAUGUCCUCCAUGUGUCCCUCUCGACCUUUGUUCCUUGUUGGCCAGACCUCUAUUGGACAUGUGCUACAGGGGUGUCUCUCUCCAUUGCAAACAAUCACACACUAGCUAUCUUCGUGUAUCUCCUCGCCUCAUGAUACGUCUCCGUCAUAUCUAUAAUUUUUUAUUGUUCCAUGCCAAUAUUAUUCAACUUUCAUAUACUUUUGGCAGCUUUUUAUACUAUUUUUUGGGACUAACAUAUUGAUCCAGUGCCUAGUGCCAGUUCCUGUCUGUUGCAUGUUUUAUGUUUCGCAGAAACCCCAUAUCAAACGGAGUCCAAACGGUAUUAAAACGGACGGAGAAUUAUUUUGGAAUAUUUGUGAUUUUUGGGAGGAAGAAUCAAUGUGAGACGAUGCCCGAGGUGGCCACGAGAUAGGGGCCCAUGCCCACUUAAAGUGGGCGCGCCCCCCACCCUCGUGGGCCACCCGUAAGGCGGUUGACGCUCUUCUUUUGCCACAAGAAAGCUAAUUUUAUGAGAAAAAUCUGGGCGAAAGAUUCACCCCAAUCGGAGUUACGAAUCUCCAGAUAUAAAGGAAACAGUGAAGGGGCAGAAUCCGAGAAUGCAGAAACAGAGAGAUAGAUCCAAUCUCGGAGGGGCUCUCGCCCCUCCCAUGCCAUGGGAGCCAAGGACCAAAGGGGAAACCCUUCUCCCAUCUAGGGAGAAGGUCAAGGAAGAAGAAGAAGAAGAAGAAGGGGGGCUCUCUGCCCCUUGCUUCCGGUGACGCCGGGGCGUCGCCGGGGGCCAUCAUCAUCACUGCGAUCUUCACCAACACCUCCGCCAUCUUCACCAACAUCUCCAUCACCUUCCCCCAUCUAUAUUCAGCGGUCCACUCUCCUGCAACUCACUGUACCCUCUACUUGAACAUGGUGCUUUAUGCUUCAUAUUAUUAUCCAAUGAUGUGUUGCCAUCCUAUGAUGUCUGGGUAGAUUUUCGUUGUCCUAUCGGUGAUUGAUGAAUUGCUAUGAUUGGUUUGAGUUGCGUGUUUUAUUAUUGGUGCUAUCCUAUGGUGCCCUCCGUGUCGCACAAGCGUGAGGGAUUCCCGCUGUAGGGUGUUGCAAUGCGUUCAUGAUUCGCUUAUAGUGGGUUGCAUGAGUGACUGAAACACAAACCCGAGUAAGGGGAUUGUUGCGUAUGGGAUAAAGGGGACUUGAUGCUUUAAUUCUAUGGUUGGGUUUUACCUUAAUGAAUCUUUAGUAGUUGUGGAUGCUUGCUAGAGUUCCAAUCAUAAGUGCAUAUGAUCCAAGAAGAGAAAGUAUGUUAGCUUAUGCCUCUCCCUCAAAUAGAAUUGCAAUAGUGAUUACCGGUCUAGUAACAUAGUCAAUGGCUUAGGGACAAUUUCACAACUCCUACCACCACUUUUCCACACUCGCUAUAUUUACUUUAUUGUUUAUUUAUCUAAACAUCCCCUACUUUUUAUUUACGUGUUCUUUAUUAUCUUGCAAACCUAUCCUAUCACACCUACAAAGUACUUCUAGAUUCAUACUUGUUCUAGGUAAAGCGAACACUAAGUGUGCAUAGAGUCGUAUCAGUGGCCUAUAGGACUCGAGAGAGUAUGUGUUCUACCUUUAGCUCCUCAUUGGGUUCGACACUCUUACUUAUUGAAAGAGGCUACAACUAUCCCGUAUACUUGCGGGUUAUCAAGACCUUUUUCUGGCUCCGUUGCCGGGGAGUCAUAGCGUGGGGUGAAUAUUCCUGUGUGUGCUUGUUUGCUUUAUCACUAAGUAAUUUUUAUUUGUUGUUCUAAGUUGUUCUCUAUCUUUAGUUAUGGAUAUGGAACACGAAAUACCAAAAAAAUUAGGUGUACUUGCUACUCAUGGAGAUGGGGUAACUCCUAAAACCCUCGAUUCUCAUUAUGUGAAAGAUAUUAUGUACUACUUUGAUAAUCCCGAGAAAACCCCAUUCAACUUUAUAAUGGGAGACACGUUGGAUCACGUGAAUACUUUAGGGAUUAUCGCUCGACACAAAAAGGGAAACUAUUAUGGGAUCAAUUUAUUAUGUUGCGUUGGUAUGCCCGGGAUCUAUGCUUGAGAUAUGAUAUUACUUGUUGCUCUAGGAUGUAGGCUCCACACCUUCCCUUUUCAUGCAAAUUUAAUGACAAUGAAACCUUAGAUUCUUAUGCUAAUGGUAUAUAUGAUUACUAUGAUGUGGAACAAAUAGAAGAAUUUGUUGCUUUUAAGGCUGCUUAUGAAAUUGAAUCUUUGUUUGAAAAGUAUGAAGCUUUUGAUGAUGAUGGUGUUUAUAGGCCUGAAAAUCUUGCUAUAAUUAGAUAUUGCUAUGAAAAUUAUGAAUACAAUUACUAUAUUAAUGCAUUUAUUAAGAAAGUCUCCGCUGUCCAAGAAGAGACUAAUAUUUUGCAGGAAGCUAUGGAAGAAGAAAUUGAUGAAACUGUGAGCUCAUUGGAUGAAAAAGAUGACGAGGAGAGCGAAGAACAAAAGGAGGAAGAGCGGAUUGAUCACCCGUGCCCACCUUCUAAUGAGAGUAACUCUUCAACUCAUACAUUGUUUAAUUCCCCUUCGUGCUUACCGAAGGAUGAUUGCUAUGAUCCCGUUGAUUCUCUUGAAAUAUCCCUUUUUGAUGAUGCUUGCUAUGCUUGUGGCCAAGAUGCCAAUAUGAAUUAUCCUUAUGGAGAUGAACUUGCUAUAGUUCCUUAUGUUAAACAUGAAAUUGUUGCUAUUGCACCCACGCAUGAUAGUCCUAUUAUCUUUUUGAAUUCUCCCGACUAAGCUAUAUCAGAGAAGUUUGUGCUUAUUAAGGAUUAUAUUGAUGGGUUGCGUUUUACUACUAUACAUGAUAUUUUUGGUAGAUAUAAUAUGCAUGUGCUUGCUGCUCCUACUUGCAAUUAUUAUGAGAGAGGAACUAUAUCUCCACCUCUCUAUGUUUCCAAUAUGAUAAGAUUGCGAGAAACUGUUUAUACUAUGCGUUGGCCUUUACUAUGUGUGCAUGAAUUGUUCUUUUAUGACAUGCCGAUGCAUAGGAAGAGAGUUAGACUUCGUUGUUGCAUGAUGUAUGUUACUUUGUGCUCACUACUAAAUUACAAAUCAUUGUUAAUUAAAAUUGGCUUUGAUAUAUCUUGGGAUUCGGGUGGAUUCAUUACUUGAGCACCAUAUGCCUAGCUUAAUGGCUUUAAAGAAAGCGCUGCCAGGGAGACAACCCGGAAGUUUUAGAGAGUCAUUUAUUUCUGGUGAGUUCUUUUAUAUAGUUUAAAAACAAAUAAAAUAAAUAGGGGAACCUAAAAACUUUUCAAAAAGGAAAGUGAAAGUGAGAGAGACAAGCAUUGUUGAAGUGGGAGAGCUCCUUGAACUUUGUUCAUGCUCACGGAAACUUUGUGAAUCUUGAUUACAGAAAUUUUUCAUCAAAAAUAAUUAUCCCCUUGUACAAUUACAAUGUAUUAUAAAAAUAAUGUGCAAGGUUUGCCUUUAGGAUGUUUACAAUGCUUGUUGGUUUGUACGGUGCAUGACAGAAACUUUGGCUGUAGUGCGCGAUUUUACAUUUUUAACUGGAACAUCAAACGGUUCUGAUUCUUUUUGCACUGUCUUUACAACUUGUUCAUUUUUCCUAAUUUUGGUAGAAGUUUUGGGGUACCAGAAGUAUGGUGGAUGGUCAGAUUGCUACAGACUAUUCUGUUUUUGACAGAUUCUGUUUUUGAUGCAUAGUUUGCUUGUUUUGAUGAAUCUCAAUUUAUAUCAGUGGAUUAAGCCAUGGAAAAGUUAUAUUACAGUAGACACAAUGCAAAAACAAAAUAUGAAUUGGUUUGAUACAAUACUUAGAGUGGUGAUUUGCUUUAUUAUACUAAUGGAUCUUACCGAGUUUUCUGUUGAAGUUUUGUGUGGAUGAAGUGUCUAAACAAGGAGGUCUCGAUAUGAGGAAAAGGACGAGAGGCAAGAGCUCAAGCUUGGGGAUGCCCGAGGCACCCCAAGUAAAUAUUCAAGGAGACUCAAGCGUCUAAGCUUGGGGAUGCCCCGGAAGGCAUCCCCUCUUUCUUCAACAAGUAUCGAUAUGUUUUCGUAUUCGUUUCGUUCAUGCGAUAUGUGCAAGUCUUGGAGCGUCUUUUGCAUUUAGUUUUCACUUUUCUUUUAUGCACCAUGCUGGUAUGAGAUAGUCCUUGGUUGAUUUAUAGAAUGCUCAUUGCGCUUCACUUAAAUCUUUUGAGUAUCACUUUAUAGAAUGCUUCAUGUGCUUCACUUAUAUCAUUUGAAGUUUGGAUUGCCUGUUUCUCUUCACUUAGAAAACCGCCAUUUGUAGAAUGCUCUUUUGCUUCACUUAUAAUUGUUAGAGCAUGGGCAUAUCUUUUGUAGACAGAAUUAAACUCUCUUGCUUCACUUAGAUCUAUUUAGAGAGAUGACAGGAAUUGGUCAUUCACAUGGUUAGUCAUAAAAUCCUACAUAAACUUGUAGAUCGCUGAAUAUGAUAUGUUUGAUUCCUUGCAAUAGUUUUGCGAUAUAAAGAUGGUGAUAUUAGAGUCAUGCUAGUGGGUGGUUGUGGAUUGUAGAGACACUUGUGUUGAGCUUUGCAAGUCACGUAGCAUGCACGUAUGGUAACCAUUAUGUGACAAAUUUGAAGCAUGGGGUGUUUCUUUGAUUGUCUUCCUUAUGAGUGGCGGUCGGGGACGAGCAAUGGUCUUUUCCUACCAAUCUAUCCCCCUAGGGGCAUGCGUAGUAGUACUUUGCUUUGAGGGCUAAUAAACUUUUGCAAUAAGUAUAUGAGUUCUUUAUGACUAAUGUGAGUCCAUGGAUUAUACGCACUUUUACCUUUCCACCAUUGCUAGCCUCUUUGGUACCGUGCAUUUCCUUUUCUCACCUCGAGAGUUGGUGCAAACUUCACCGGUGCAUCCAAACCCCGUGAUACGAUACGCUCUAUCACACAUAAGCCUCAUUAUAUCUUCCUCAAAACAGCCACCAUACCUACCUAUUAUGGCAUUUCCAUAGCCAUUUCGAGAUAUAUUGCCAUGCAACUUCCAUCAUCAUCAUAUACAUGACUUGAGCAUUUAUUAUCAUAUUGCUUUGCAUGAUCGUAAGAUAGCUAGCAUGAUGUUUUCAUGGCUUGUCCGUUUUUAAUGUCAUUGCUACGCUAGAUCAUUGCACAUCCCGGUACACCGCCGGAAGCAUUCAUAUAGAGUCAUAUCUUUGUUCUAGAAUCGAGUUGUAAUAUUGUGUUGUAAGUAAAUAAAAUUGUGAUGAUCAUCAUUAUAGAGCAUUGCCCCAUGAAAAAAAGAAAAAAAAGAAAAAAGGAAAAAAAAGGGGGCCAAAGAAGCCCACCAAAAAAGAAAAAAAAAGAAAAAAAGAAAGAAAAGAAAAGGGGCAAUGUUACUAUCCUUUUUCCACACUUGUGCUUCAGAGUAGCACCAUGUUCUUCAUAUAGAGAGUCUCCUAUGUUGUCACUUUCAUAUACUAGUGGGAAUUUUUCAUUAUAGAACUUGGCUUGUAUAUUCCAACGAUGGGCUUCCUCAAAUGCCCUAGAUCUUCAUGAGCAAGCAAGUUGGAUGCAGGAUGCACACCCACUUAGUUUCUUUUGUUGAGCUUUCAUACAUUUAUAGCUCUUAGUGCAUCCGUUGCAUGGCAAUCCCUACUCCUCACAUUGACAUCAAUUGAUGGGCAUCUCCAUAGCCCGUUGAUUAGCCGCGUCGAUAUGAGACUUUCUCCCUUUUUUGUCUUCUCCAUAUAAACCUCCACCAUCAUGUUCUAUUCCACCUAUAGUGAUAUAUCCAUGGCUUGCGCUCAUUAUUGCGUGAGGGUUGAAAAAGCUGAAGCGCGUUAAAAAGUAUGAACCAAUUGCUCGGCUUGUCAUCGGGGUUGUGCAUGAUGGGGGCAUUUUGUGUGACGAAAAUGAAGCAUGGCCAAACUAUAUGAUUUUGUAGGGAUAAGCUCUCUUUGGCCUUGUUGUUUUGAAAAGACGUGAUUGCUUUAUUGGUAUGCUCGAAGUAUUAUUGUUUUUUAUGUAAAAUUAUAGACUAUUGCUUUGAAUCACUCGUGUCUUAAUAUUCAUGCCAUGAUUAGACAUAUGAUCAAGAUUAUGCUAGGUAGCAUUCCACAUCAAAAAUUAUCUUUUCUAUCAUUUACCUACUCGAGGACGAGCAGGAAUUAAGCUUGGGGAUGCUGAUAUGUCUCCGUCGUAUCUAUAAUUUUUGAUUGUUCCAUGCCAACAUUAUUCAACUUUCAUAUACUUUUGGCAAAUUUUUAUACUACUUUUUGGGACUAACAUAUUGAUCCAGUGCCCAGUGCCAGUUCCUGUCUGUUGCAUGUUUUAUGUUUCGCAGAAACCCCAUAUCAAACGGAGUCCAAACGGGAUAAAAACGGACGAAGAAUUAUUUUGGAAUAUUUGUGAUUUUUGGGAGAAAGAAUCAAUGCGAGACGAUGCCCGAGGUGGCCAUGAGAUAGGGGCCCACGCCCACUUAAAGUGGGCGCGCCCCCCACCCUCGCGGGCCACACGUAAGGCAGUUGACGCUCUUCUUUUGCCGCAAGAAAGCUAAUUUUAUGAGAAAAAUCUGGGCGAAAGAUUCACCCCAAUCGGAGUUACGGAUCUCCAGAUAUAAAGGAAACGGUGAAGGGGCAGAAUCCGACAACGCAGAAACAGAGAGAUAGAACCAAUCUCGGAGGGGCUCUUGCCCCUCCCAUGCCAUGGGAGCCAAGGACCAGAGGGGAAACCCUUCUCCCAUCUAGGGAGAAGGUCGAGGAAGAAGGAGAAGAAGAAGGGGGGCUCUCUCCCCCUUUCUUCCGGUGGCGUCGGGACGCCACCGGGGGCCAUCAUCAUCACCGCGAUCUUCACCAACACCUCCGCCAUCUUCACCAACAUCUCCAUCACCUUCCCCCAUCUAUAUUCAGCGGUCCACUCUCCCACAACCCAUUGUACCCUCUACUUGAACAUGGUGCUUUAUGCUUCAUAUUAUUAUCCAAUGAUGUGUUGCCAUCGUAUGAUGUCUGAGUAGAUUUUCGUUGUCCUAUCGAUGAUUGAUGAAUUGCUAUGAAUUGUUUGAGUUGCAUGUUUUAUUAUUGGUGCUGUCCUAUGGUGCCCUCCGUGUCACGCAAGCGUGAGGGAUUCCCGCUAUAGGGUAUUGCAAUGCGUUCAUGAUUCGCUUAUAGUGGGUUGCGUGAGUGACUGAAACACAAACCUGAGUAAGGGGAUUGUUGCAUAUGGGAUAAAGGGGACUUGAUGCUUUAAUGCUAUGGUUUGGUUUUACCUUAAUGAAUCUUUAGUAGUUGCGGAUGCUUGCUAGAGUUCCAAUCAUACGUGCAUAUGAUCCAAGAAGAGAAAGUAUGUUAGCUUAUGCCUCUCCCUCAAAUAGAAUUGCAAUAGUGAUUAGCGGUCUAGUAACAUAGUCAAUUGCUUAGGGACAAUUUCACAACUCCUACCACCACUUGUCCACACUCGCUAUAUUUACUUUAUUGUUUAUUUAUCUAAACAGCCCCUACUUUUUAUUUACGUGUUCUUUAUUAUCUUGCAAACCUAUCCUAUCACACCUACGAAGUACUUCUAGUUUCAUACUUGUUCUAGCUAAAGCGAACACUAAGCAUGCGUAGAGUCGUAUCAGUGGCCGAUAGGACUUGAGAGAGUAUUUGUCCUACCUUUAGCUCCUCGUUGGGUUCGACACUCUUACUUAUCGAAAGAGGCUACAACUAUCCCGUAUACUUGCGGGUUAUCACCUCACUUUUCUAUCUCAGAGAUGCAUGCGUAAUAUGUUCGCAUAAGAAACGAAAAAACACACACUCUGUCUAAUUUAUUGUUUGUUGUCACUUUCUCUUUCACACACAUACUCUUUUUGCACACUUACUCAUUCUCCUUCACAUGCACUUGAUUUGUCUCGACUUAGGCACUCUCCUCGGUCCAUAGCAUAUAGAUUUAUUGAAAAGUCAAACAUCACAAAGUUUGACCAUGUACAUGGAGAAAAACAAUUACAUCUAGUAUGGCAAACAUAUACCAUUAGAUUCACCAUGAGAUGUAGUUUUGUAUGAUGUAUCUUUGGUAUUGUAGAUAUAAAUAACAUUUGCGUAAACCUGAUCAAAGUUUCCAAAGUUUGACUUCUAAAAACUUUACAUGCAGUGCAUUAUCGAGCGGAUGGAAUAUCUCUUUCCCCCGCUCAGCUAUCUGACGCACCACUCAGCCUUAUCGGGGCUCCUCAAUCUCUCUCGAACUUUAUUGGUCAGUUUGGUUCGUGACCUGGCCCUCAUGCCUUGAUGGCCAAUACUGCCUGGUGUGGACGUGAGAUGUAAAAUAUUUCUGCCUGGCCAGGCUUGUGUGGUGCUGAAGCGUUUGGUUAAUGCCUGGGCCAGGCAAAGCAUCAACGUCCCAUCAAUCAAUCCAUGCAACAAUUAUUUAAUGCUAAUAUCCAUCCAUGUUGCUGUUAGCCUCAUGGCCGCACGACGAAGCACGGCUAGGCGUUCAAAAUCGGUCGCCUGGGCCAGGCUACUUGCAGUGUCUGGAGUCCAGCCAGGUUAAUUAAAGUGCAAGGGAACCCAUGCCAGGCGGGCUUUCUUUUUCACAUGGUAGCAACCAAACAAGCAUGCAUGAAAUCCAUCUACUACCCCAGGCAAGGCAAAGGAUGCUCUUGACGCAAGCCAAACUGACCUUAUAUCUCCGUGGUUCACACAUACACAUGUCUCGCUCGCGCUAUACAUAUAGACCCAUCCAACACUCUCCGCCCUUGUUCUCUCUCCAUGUGACACGCACCCCCUAAGUACCAUAAUCCCUCACUCCAUCAUAGGCGCAAGCACUCCCCCCCUCCUAAGUAUGAUUAUCUCUUACUAGCCAUCAGGAACACACGUAUUGUCUACUUCCAUCCAUACGUCUAUCUCGAUAUCUCGCGAGGCAUCUUCUAUCACGCACACACCUUGUCACUCGAUCUCCCACCCAUGUAGUCCCAUCACGAUCUCCAGGGGAUCUCUCUAUGACAAACAUACACUCUCUCCUCCCCAUGUCUGCAUUUUCUCCGUACGUCUCUCUCGACCUCCCUCCCUUGUUUGUCAGACCCCUCUUGGCCACGUUCUAGGGGUCUUGCUCUCUUGGUUCCAAACAACCACACACUAUCUCCUCACCUUGCCUCCGUUGUCGAAGAUGCAUGUGUGAUAUGUUUGCAUAAGACACACAUGCUUUUUCUCUACUUUUAUCGUGUGUUGUCCAUGUCUGUUUCACACACACACACACACUUUUUUCACUCACUCUUUCUAUCUCUCUCUCUCUCUCUCUCUAGUUAGGGACUCUGUCACGUCCAUAAGCAUAUGGAUGUUUUGAAAAGUCAAACCUCGGAAAAGUUUGACUAGGUAUAUGUGGAUAAAAACAUUUACAUCUGGAACGAUCAUUAGAUUCAUCACAACAUGUACUUACUUCAUACUAUCAUUUAUGUUUGGUAUUGUAGAUAUAAGUAAUUUCUUUAUAAACUUGGUCAAAGUUUCAAAAGUUUGACUUAAAAACAAUGUUGGAACUACAUUAUCGAACGAAGGGAGUAGCUCUUUCUCUCUCUCUGCUAUCUCUCACGGGCCUCCCCUCUCACUCAAACUCUCUAUACCGACGGAUUAUACGCUCACUCUGUCAGCGUAUAGCUCCGUAUAUUGUUUAGUUGACCGGUCAACCAUUCCACAUGCUACCUUGUCAGCUCGUGUUCUGUAUCUUCGUGUGCUAGCCCAUGUGGCAGUGGGUGAAAAUAAGUAAACUAGAGGUCCAUCUGACACGCGGUGAAGUAAACAAAGUUGAAACCACUCGGGGUAGCACCCCGCUCGCUAGUAAAUUGAGGGCGCAUUGAGGACACACUUCUUGCGCGUGAAGGAUGCACUCGAGCACAACUCACCACUACGCGUCGGCAUGCACAGAAGGACGCACUCGCGCACACCCAGCACACAACACACACCAUCACACAUGUACACCACCGUUGCCGCCGGUUGAGAUGGAUGGUGAGGCAGCCAACAAGCGGAGGCGGCUUGAGCCAAAACCGCAUCCGACGAGCCUGGACUUCAUCAGCAGCCUCCCCGAUGACAUGCUUCUCGUCAUCAUCGGCCUCCUCCCCACCAAAUCUGCCGUGCAGACCGCCCUGCUCUCCCGGCGGUGGCGCCCCCUCUGGAGCUGCAUCCCUCUCAACCUCAUCGUUGACAGCUGCCUCUGCGACGGGGAUUGCAAACGCAUGGCCGCAGUCUCCAAGAUCCUUUCAUCGCACCCUGGGCCAGCCAAACGCCUUGACAUCCGCAUGUUCAGUACCAACUGCAAGGUCCAACCCAAGUUCGAUGAGUGGUUCUUAUCCCCCGCCCUAGAUCAGCUCGAGGAGCUCAGCUUUGAAGCUGGAUGAUGUCGCUCUCUGCCGCCGUCCGCGCUCCACCUCACGCCAACGCUGCACCGCGCCAGCUUCAGCUCCUGCUAUCUUCCCCAGAUUAAUGCCGCGCCCGCCCUUCUUCUCCCUCAACUCAAGCAGCUCGACCUCUUUGACAUUGUCAUCUCAAAGAAGGCUAUGGAGCACCUGCUUCGCACCUGCUCCGCAGCUGUACUGCGCUUGAGUACCUUCGUCUUGAGCAGAUCCACGAGUUCAUUAGCCUCCACAUCGCCUCGACGAAUCUCCGAUGGAUUUAUGUGUCUUGCUGGCCCCGCAACAAGACAUCAAUUGGGAAGAGAUCACUCCAGCUAUUCCACUUUAUGGUCAUUGAGAAUGCGCCUUUCCUUGAGAGAUUGCUUGUAUCGGAUCUAGAAGGUCCAACAAAAAUCAGGGCCAUUGACGCGCCGAAAUUGACAGCGUUGGUGUACUCAUCUGCCAAAUUCUCCGAACUCUUUAUUGGAUCCGUAAUUGUUCAGGUACAACACUCAUCUUCUUCUCCGUCUUCUUGAAAUUCACAUUUUUAAAUUUCUUCUUGAUGUAUUUACGACCGUGUUCCAGAAAAUGAUUCCCACAAGCUUGACCCAGUCCAUGCACAGAGUGAAGAUCUUGGCACUAAAAUCUAUCGGCCCCAAUCUGGAUCAAGUUGUUGGAUUCCUUACAUGCUUUCUGUGCACGGAGAAGCUACUCAUCGAGGUGAAACUUCUUUCCUAUAAGUAAACGGUAAUCACAACGUAGCUCCAUUUUUUUGUAAUUCUCCCAAAUUACGAUGACAAGUGUAGUGUUCAAAACUGCAUCUACGCACUGCACCGAAAGAAAUGUUUUUAGUAUUUUUUCUCACGUGAUCACCUGCAUCGUUUUUAUGCUGUACUACUAUAGUAGCCUAGGCUAGUCAUAGUGGAAAGUAACUUAGACUACUCCAGUAACUCUAUGGUUACCCUAAGAGCAAGUACUACCUUCGUCCUGGUUUACUCUUCCAAUUUUGUAGUAUCAAAAUUUGACCAUAUAUUUAACUGACAAAAUGUUAAUGCAUGUCCCUAAGAACUAUAUUGUUGGAUUCGUAUUUGAACAUAAUUUCAAAUGGUGUAAUAUUUAGUGACAUGCAUUGGCAUUUUCUUAGGUAAAUCUAAGGUCAAAAUUUUAUACUAAAUACGAGGUAGUAUUCCCUCCGUCCCAAAAUUCUUGUAUUACAUUUGUUUAGAUACGGAUGUAUCUAACACUAAAAUGUAACUAGAUACAUCCGUAUUUAGACGAAUUUAAGACAAGAAUUUUGGGACGGAGGGAGUACAAAAGUGGGCUUGUAGGCCAAAACACGUGCCAAAUUCAGUUGUGAUGCAUUUGGCAUUGAUGCCCCUCCAUUGCUCACCUGGUGCCCCAAUCUAGAUCACCUACUUUGCUCCGGUGCCAAAUUAACUCACGCAAUGAAAAAACACUGCGUGGGAGAGAGAGAGAGAGAGGACUGAGGCAAUAAAAAACACUUGUUUGGGAGAGUGAGAGGCUGGUGUAGUUGGUUUCAUUGAUUUGUUUAUACAUGUGGGUCUGUGUACACAGCGGUGCCAACUCUCUCACAUCGUGAGAGCGGUGCCAAAAUCUUUUGAUUUGACAUUGAUGCGUAUUAUGUGGCAUACUUUUGCGAAAUAUGGCAUCGGCCACAUAGUGGAAGGCAACAAAUGCCCAAGCUCUUCACGUGCUCCUAGUUAAAUGAGAGGAAACAGAGAGAGAGAGAGAGAGAGAGAGAGUGAAAAAAUAUCACUAGCGAGCCAACCCUAUCGUAUGAGCGAAUGAUAUUGGUACCUCUUGAUGACACGGCAAUCUUAUACAGCCAGCUGCUCUAAUAUGUUCUCUUCUUUUGCAGAUAAAAAAAGACCCGAAAGUGAAAAAUGUGCUGCACUAUAACAAUCUCAUCGAAUGCCUUGAUCUCCAUCUUACAGAAAUUGAUUUGAUCGACUACCGAGGCAGCACAUCUGAGAUUAAAUUCGCUAGGUUCUUUGUUCUGGAGGCAAGUGUGCUCAAGGUAAUGAGGUUUGGCGUUCUCUGGCGCAACAAUGAAUGGCGUGCUAAUCACAGCAAGUGUCUAAGCCUAAAUGACAAAGUCUCCACAGAAGUUGAAUUUGCUUUUGAAACAUCAAGUGGCCAGAGACUGGAAAACUUAUUUUCCCAUUAGUGACUUGUCAGGGCGGUGGAUUUUAGUUUGUACGAUAAUGCUGCAUCCACCUAAAGUAAUGAAAGUUCUUACGUAAACUUCCUAGUAAUUCCCUCUUCGUAGGUGCAACAUUACUCCUAACAUUUGUAAUAUCAGUUUGAAACUAAUAUUGCCGUGUCCUAUUCCUGCAUUUUCAAAAUCCUGCGAAUCAAACAGGUCCUGAGUUGGUGAUGAUGUUGUGCCUCCCAUCUUUCACCAAUAGCCGUCGGAUCUAGAUCUGACGCAUACAAACCAAGCUUCUCCAUUUUUGCAAAGAUAUGCCCGCACUUGUUCCCUAUUUACAAACAACUCCUUAUCUCUCACAAUCAGCCUUAUCUCCUCCCCACCACAUCUAGAAGGCCGUGGAAAAAUCUGGCGUGAUGGCCGCUACCGGCACUGUCCACCCCCAAUCUUGGUGUUCCGUGCAAUGCACGUGCAUCUAUGCAUUGGAAAUUAUGUCGAACAGGGCUAGUUGCAAGCAGGCUAGCUCUAUAACCAUGAUGAUAGUGACUGCAGACGGUGAGGCUGACUACGGUAUGCCAAACACGACGCCUAUACUCAGGUGUCAUCUCCGGCGCAGGGUCGUGUCACUUCACUGUGAGGAGCAGCGCGUAAUAAUUUGACCAAUGGGUAGUACAGUGCUAGUAGUCCUACUACAUUGGUAGUACUACUACUAGUACUAGUAGCACCACCGUCUGGAUUUAGGAGUACUACCACGUCCAUCUGGAUUUUAGUAUUUGACUAGCAAUAUCUAGUAAUGCAUGUCACAAAAAAUGUACUACUCCCUUUGUAAAUAAAUACAUGGUGUUUUAUUCCUAUCGGCGAGAGAACUUAAUGUCUUUUUGCUAACUAGAGUAAUAGGAUUACAUGCAAUGAACUAAACACUGCAUGUCAUGUUGGGUAGUCUCAAGUCAUUGAAGGCAUGCACGACCCACAUCUCUCAUUGGUUGAUAUGUCACGAAAUAAGAAACAAGGAGUGAGUUAAUGCACCGUGCCUAAGUGUUUUGGGAUUAUUUGGUUUUCGUAAGGUGACUUACACAACAUUUUUGUUUACAUGCAAUAACAUUUUAUUAGUUAAAUCAAAGGUCAAAACUUGGCGCAAAAUGCAAAGGGGACCAAUAAACCAGUAAACAUCAAACUUCUCUCGUUUGGCCCCAACUAGAGGUCCGGCGAGAUGACUAUGCUGCACCAGCACGGAGGGGGAUGUAGCUUCAUUGACUUACUGCAACUGCCUUUGGGUGAAUGACACGUGGGCCCAAGGGUUGGCUGGCCCACCUAUCAUACAGGCUAAGGCAGGUGCAGUAGAGGGCCGAGGAGUAGUACAAAGUACGAAAUCCUAUGCACCUAUGCAUGCUAACCAAGGGCAAGAGUGAUCACUCGGAUCGCAAGAUCAGUUGACUAGAAUCUAAGCUAGACCCACGGAGGCGAUGAGCGCGAGCAUCAACCGGCUGUGCCAGAUGGUCCACGACGCCGGCCUGCGGCCCGGCACCGAGGAACGCCUCCAGGUAUUACUUGAGGCCGCCAGGGCAAGGGGCCGCUUGGACGACAGCUUCGUCUCCUUGUUCGACGAGGUCCUCGUUGGUUUCCUCGACAAGUUCACCGUCGUCAAGAAGCUCACGGACGACUUUGACGUACGCCUCCAGCCGACGCGCCCAGGCUCUGCGAUGCCCGCCACCCUCAGUGGCCACUAUGGUGACAACCUCUUCGACGCACUGGUGGCCCUGCGACUGCCCACCGUCGCGCCGGAGAAUGUCCACCUCGAGGUCGUGCUCGCCGUGCAGCGCCUAGCGCAGCAAGACACCAUCGACAUAAUCACCCACGUCUAUGCACAAAUCGUCCACAAGGACUACUACAUGCAAGAGGAGGACGAUAGGACGCUGGCCUUCUUGGACCGUAGGGCAACCUUGGACGGCAUUGUUCAGAAGCACGUUGAGCUCACCGCCGCUGCUCCUCACACGUCGGUUGGUGACCCGGCGCACUAGGGCGUGAGGAUGUCGUUGAUUGAUCCGUAUGUAUUUUUAUCUUUCUGUCAAAUCCAUGUAGUAGUAUAUGGUACUACUAGUAAUUAUCUUACCUUUCGCAUCAACUUCAUAAUUUUCGUACGUACUCCAUGCAUGAACGGCGCCAGAACCAAACUUCUCAUUACUCUAGGCAAAAUCGUUAUUUUCUAUCUAUCGGUCGCGCCAUGGAGCAGAACCAAAUUUUACAAGUUACGAGUUCAAAAGGAAAAGCCUGCCGUGUUCGUGUCACACCCCCACACGGUUGGUCCGGCACGUCGCUCAAGGGGGAAUGCGUGCGGUGUUGCAUUUUCACUUACAAGUUGGACCCCAGUUGAGCAAACCGACUAUCAGCAAACCCCCACCCCGCCCACCGCGCGAUGGCUGAGAAAAUAGGAGGGAGAAGAGAUGGCUGUAGCAUGGACUCCAAGAAAAUUGGUGUCAGAUGGGACUCAUGUGGGUGGCGUGUGCCGUACUGCUAGAUGUGAAUGCUAGUUAUGGCCCAUGCCACCCCACUAUAUCGAGCCUAUAUCAAGGUACGUAGAACAAAUUUCCUGGAGUCCGUGCUCAACCCUCCUCUAUCUCUCUUCUCAGCUAGCCAGAGGACGCACGGAGCCCAUCGUCUUUUUGCUCACAUGCGGUCCCACAUGUCAGUGAAAAUGCAAGAUGACCCACUGAGCCUGCACAUCUUUCACCUUGAUGUGCUGGUGAUAAAAAACAAAUCCAAUAAAGAUCUUCGGUGGCCGCUUUUGGAGUUACUCAAGAGUAGUAAGAUUCUAUUUACAGUUUAACCCAAGAUGCACAUCACGUGGCUUCAACUACCACUCUAUUUUCUUGCAUGACACGUCCUGGAUGCUGGAUGUCCCAUGUGUCGACAAAAGGAGGAAGAACCCGACCAAAUCUUCGGUUGUGCUAUCGGAUUAGACUAGUUGUGCUAACUUAAAAAUUUUAUUGUGUACUCCCUCCGUUCCAAAAUACUUGACUUCCAUUUGUCCAAAAGUGGAUGUACCUAUAUACUAAAACAUGUCUAGAUACAUCUAUAUUUUGACAAAUAGAAGGCAUGUAUUAUGGAAUGGAGGGAGUAGAAUGGAUGCAAGUUUUGGUAUUGGGAAGAAGAGUACAUCGAUAUAUUGAUAGAGCGUAAUCUAGUAGAUGUUCUAGCACUUUUAGCUAGCAUAGAGGCUAGAGAUGAGACUAGUGCACUUGUUGAUACUCCUACUAGAAUAAAGGCUAGACAUGAGACUAGAUGCGAGGAAGCAACAUCUACUUAUUUACACUUGAAGAAGAAAGAAGCACGCAAGAUCGAGCCUCUACAGAUCAACAAUGAAUGCAUCGAGAAGGCACUAAUCCAACUUACAGGAGCAGUUAUGGAAGUUGGGUAUCUUCUAGAAGAGUAAAAUGUAUUCUUGUGGUUCUUAUUUUCUUUGGUCUUGCUUUUCUAGUCAAAAUUAUUGUUGGAGUUCAUGCAAAACGGAGGUACAUUUGGGGUCGUGUGUUGGAGUUGGCCUUACAAGUGGGACCGCAGUUGAGGAAACUGACUACCGGCAAAACCCCACCUCGCCCGUCGUGCGAUGGCUGAAAUUAGAGAAACGACGAGGUUGAAGAGAUUGCUCUAGCACGGACUCCGAGAAAUAAUAUGGUGUCAGAUGGAUGCACUACAAAAAAAUACACUUCCGUGAUGAUACGUGUUUGUCACAGUAGGUCGCGUUUUUUGUCAUGCAUGUACAUCCAUGACAAAUUUAUGACAGAAUCAAGAUAGUCAUACCUGUGCUGUCGUAGAAGUGUUCCAUGACAUUACCAAAAUUAUCAUCACGGAAGUGUCCACUUCCAUGAUGAUAAAUCGCGCGUCAUAGAAGUGCUUUCAUCAAGGAUGACCAACACGUGGCAUCCACCGUAACGGAAUGCCGUUAAGCUAUCGGGUCAGGUUUUGGAUCUGAUAACCCGUUAACAGCCCCGACCAAUGGGGAUUUUCCACGUGUAAAAUCAUCAUUGGCUGGAGGAAACACGUGUCGGCUCACCGUUGGGACAGAUGUCAUCCACUCAUUGGACGGAAGAUGCCUAUGGUACGUCGACACGUGGCACGGCCCAACAGAGGCCCAUUCCUGUGAAAAGGCCGGCCCAGUAAAAAUUAGUAGGCCAGCCCAUAUAAGGCCUACUUGUGUCAGGUCCAUUUAAGCCCAUGGCCCAUACGAGAUGAGCCAAUUUGGUCCGUCAACGGCCCAUUAAAGAUUUGACACCAUUGCAACCCAUCGUUGGUUUGAGCCCGUUAAUAGCCCGCUAUAUAUCUGGGCUCAAUAUCGGCCCGAUGAUAUUUCGGCCUGUUAACGGCCCGUUUAAUGGAUGGGCCAAUUUUCAGGAUGUACAUCUUUCGGCCUUUUAGCGACCCAUUUAAAUGUUGUGUAGUUUCUGGCCCGGUGUGUCUUUCAGCCUAUUGACGACCCAUAAAUCUGAUGGGCCAUUUGUUGUCGGACCUGAGUUUCGGCCUUUUAGCGGCCCAUUUAAGUGUUGGGCCAAUUUUCUGGCCCGGUGUCACUUUCAGCCUGUUGACGUCCCAUAAAUCAGUUGGGCCAUUUUUAGUCGGACCUGAGUUUUGGCCUUUUAGCGACCCAUUUAAGUGUUGGGCCAAUUCCCGGCCCUGUGUGACUUUCGGCCUGUUAACAGACCAUAAAUGAGUUGGGCCAUUUGUAGUCGGACCUUAGUUUUGGCCCUUUAACGGUCCAUGCCCUUCACGGUCCAAUAUCAGCCCGGUUUCUCUUUCGGUCUACUAAAGGCCCACAACACAGUUGGGCCAUUCACAAUUCGACCUGACUUUCAGCUCUUAGCGGCCCAUGGUCUUCAUGGUCUAGUACAAGCCCGCUGUCUCUUUCGGCCUGCUAAAGGCCUACAGUAUAGUUGGGCCAUAUAUAGCCCAAACUUAGUAAUGGCCUGUUAACGGCCCGUGAAAUAAACUGGGGCCACCUGUUGCCCGCUUCGAUGUCGGCCUGUUAACGACCCGGGAUGUAAGAGGGCCGACCAUUAAAUUUCGGCCUAGUAACGGCCCAUUAACUUAAUGGGCCCACUAAAGUUCGUACAUGUCUUUAGGCCAAAUUAGAUAAUUUGAGCCCAUUACAACGAGCAAUUAUGCACAGGACCAAAACCGAUCACGCAAAGGUACAGCAUACAGGGAAUAACGUUGCACAUCCAGCAUAUAUUACAGGAAAUUACAUCCACUGGGCAAUCAAAGAUUGAUGCCAGUGCAAAUAAAUGAGCAGAACCUAACCAUCUACAACAUCACAAGCUGCAACCUCAGCACAGAUUAUGCCCAUAAGCAUGUGGGCAAGUUCUUUCUGCUUUGCUACACUAUCUCCGAAAACAUUGAUCGGUUGUUGUGUCGCACGACUCUGCACCUCUGAUUCAUCCACCAUUUCCAUCAUUGCUUCAGCCAUUAAUUGGUUCACAAACAUACAUUUAUUCUGUUGCAUUCGAGACAGAGGAUACUGAACAGAUUCGGAUGGCGAUUUUGGCAGGCUUGUAUUAUUGAUAGUGGAGAGUGUCUCGACCACUGCAUCAUAACAUAAAUUACGACGGGAACCAAACAGAUUAAUCAUGAGUUAUUGCCAUAUUACCUGGCCUAGAUUUACUGGAAAGAAACAAUUGGGUUGCCUUGCUGUUUUUAGAGUUUGUCUUCUUAUCUUCAGCAGCCUGCACAAAAUUAACACACUAGCAUUGCUAUCAUUGGCCAAGUCAGAUAAUAGGAAAGCAACAUUGACACAACAAACGUUUGGGCAAGUAGCCUACACCAAAUUAACACAAUAUGGCACAGCUAUCAUCAGCCACGUAAGGUAGCACGAAAGCAACAUUGACACAAUGAAUGAAUGGGCAACCAGAGAAGCACUACAAUUCAGUAAUGUGCGUGAUAUGAGAUAGUACAUUCAUGCAGCUCAGUAUGCAAAACUACCAGGCAGUUUUCCUUACAAAAAUCAACAUUGGCGCCUUUAACAUUUUGCUACAACUAAUUUUAGAUUAGAUAAAGGUUAGAUUCACGCCGAUUAACAAAAUACAUGUUGAUGUAAAAAUAUAGUGAUAUACAACAGGUACUUACAUCAGCAUUGGAGCACAGAGAAUUCCCGCAAGAUAUUUUCCUCGAAUACGAUCCCAAUGGAGGAAGUCUUCUAUCGUUUAACCUUAUUUUCUAAAAGAGAGAUGGGUAAGAAACAUGUAGAAAAUAUGAUCAGAAUGCUAUAAAAUUUCAUGAUGCGAGGAUACGCACACACUUCUUAGAAUGGAGUUGACAUUCUUUUGCUGGACUGGAGCAGACUAGUUCUUUGGCCACUGGAAUCUGCUUAUUAUCAGUGGGAGUUGGGUUUCUCUAUGCCGGAGCAGUAUCUAUGAAAAAUGGAGUUGGUUUAUUAUCUCCUGGCGUUUGGAUCUUUUGCAAAGACCUGGUUUGUAACCCUUCAGAUUCUAACAGAGCCGUCUUCCCCUUGCAUGCCUUAUAUAGAAUAAUGGUGAUUCAGUUAUAAAACAUGCUACAACAGAGAUGGAAUAGGUAUUGAAGAAUAGAAAGGCAUGACAUAUUGACAUGUAUUCCCUCCAUCCGGAAAUAGAUGGACGGGUCUAGGCGUAUUUCAGUUCUAGAUACAUCCAGUUUUAUCCAUUUUUGCGACAUUUAAUCCGGACGGAGGGAGUAUGAUGUAAGAGCUAGGGAUACGACAGGACAACACAGUAAAAAAAACACUGAAAACCCCACUGCAGAACCAAAGUAUUCAAACCCACUGAUAUGAGAUAGUACACUCAUGCAGCUCAGGAUGCAGAACUAUCGGGCAGUUUUCCUUACAAAAAUCAACAUUGUGGCCUUUAAUCAUACAUUUUGCUACAACUAAAUUUAGAUCAGAUAAAGGUUGGAUUCACGCCGAUUAACAAAAUACAUGCUGAUAUAAAAAUAUAGUGAUAUACAACAGGUACUUACAUCUACAUUGGAGCACAGAGAAUUCCUGCAAGAAUCUUUCCUCACAAACGAUACCAUUGCAGAAAUUCUUCUACCUGUUAAGCUUAUUUUCUAAAAGAGAGAUGGGUAAGAAACAUGUAGAAAAUAUGAUCAGCAUGAUAUAAAAUUUCAUGAUGCAAGGAUACGCACACACUUCUUAGAAUUGAGUUGACAUAUUUUUGCUCGAUUGGAGCGGACUAGUUCUUUGGCCACUGGAAUCUGCUUAUUAUCAGUAGGAGUUGGGUUUCUCUGUGCUGGAGCAGUAUCUAUAAAAACUAGAGUUGGUUUAUUAUCUCCUAGCGUUUGGAUCUUUUGCAAAGGCCUUGUUUGUAACCCUUUAGAUUCUAACAUAGUCGUCUUCCCCUUGCAUGCCUUGUAUAGAAGAAUGGUGCUUUAAUUAUAAAACAUGCGACAGCAGAGAGAUGUAAUAGGUACUGAAGAAUAGAAAGGCAUGACAUAUUGACAUGUAUUCCCUCCAUCCAGAAAAAAAUGGAUGGGUCUAGGCGUAUUUCAGUUCUAGAUACAUCCUUUUUUAUCCAUUUCGGCAACAUGUAAUCUGGACGGAGGGAGUAUGGUGUAAGAGCUAGGGAUACGACAGGACAACACAACAAAAAAAACUAGUUGAAUGUAAAACUAUAUGCUAGUGGAAUACGUACAGAAAUAACCAAGGCAACAUACACAUGUAUGAUUGGGAAAAUAAGAUGGCAUUGCAACAGAGCACUAGAACAACACUUCAAUGUAAAAAAAUAUGGUAUGGCAGACAGAUGAAGUACAUACUGAUGAAUAACAAUGCAUAAGAUAUUCAGAAGCAUGAUGUCCAAAUUAAGCAAAUGGCAUUGCGAUAGAGUAGAAUGACAGUACUUGAAUUUGAAAACAUGUUAUCAUGAAUGGAAUAGGUACUGAAAAACAGGAAGGCAUGACAUAUUUACAUGCAUGAUUAGCAUGCUAAGCACAUGGCAUUGCAAUAGAGUAGAUACACUCCAGGACAUUAUAUGCAUGUUGUACCCAUAUCAUAGGCCAAGUUAGAGCAAGGACCUUGUGGGGUGAAGAGGAUUCAUCAUCUUUCUGCAAGUCUUCUGAAGAACUGCCUUUACAUGUUCCAUCAUAUUGGGUAUCAUUGACAUCAAGUUUAUUGGCCUUUACAUUGCUCCGUGAGGUUCUUGUGGAUAUAUCAGUGUGUGCAAUUAUAUCUGACAUGCAUGGAAGACAACUAGUAGUUAGAUUUAUGUAAAUGAGUGCCUGUAGGAGACGACAUAAAUAGUAGGACUGGGUUUAACUAGCAGCAACAGGUCUCAUAAACUAAAGGGAGAACACAGAUGAAAGCUACAGAAUAUGUAUCGUUUGUACUCAAGAUUAACUAGAUGGCACACAAAAGUAUUAAAGAACAACAUAGGUAAUACUAGAAGUGGUAUAAUACUAUAAUCACCAGCCUGUGGGAUAGCAUUGGCUGAUGGAUGAUAACUAUGGAACAACGUUACCUAAAGAACAAGUAUCUUAGCUGAACUAUGGAACAACAUGAACUCCUGAACAAGACCCAUAAGAGAUCAGCAUGAAUAUACAGUGAAAUGUGAUGAUCUAUUUUCCGUGCUUAGAUGAAUAACAAAGCCAUAAAUGUUGCACACAGGUAAGAUGUGGGUACAACCUAUCUGGCUGCCAUCCAUAGGAGUGAGCAUCAUGUGCUGACUUGUCGAUGGCCCUGCAGUUGUUGUGGUUGUCCAUGUCGGGCACGCGCAUUUGAUGCAGGGAACUAUUGAGUGGGGACUGUAGCUCCCUUCUAGUGUAUGCUUCCCUUGUUGGAGCAGCUGCGGUGAGUCGGAAGACGGUGUGUCUGAAGAUGCAGAUAACGCAUAAAGUUAAGAACGACAUAUCUCUUUGAUACGAAGAAAUACACUAAGAGAUCAACAGCAAGGUACAAGAGUGGUCACACAUCUGUUGACUGAAGACUAAAUUGGGGUCACACGAUUUUAUUUUAUUAUGGUACUGUCCGAUCUACGCCGGAUGGCUUGAUGGCCGUCUUGUGUCUCCCGGCUGACACUGUUCGGAAUCUUCCCCGAAGAGCCAGUGACCAACGGCAGAGCAGCCUGCCUACGCCGUCCGUGGCCCCAUCCAAAACCCCGCUCCCCGCCCCACCGCACCGCCGUGGUUGCGCCGCCCCCGGGCCAAUCCACAAAGACUCCUCGUCAUCCAGAUCCAGCGGCGGUAGUACCUUCAACCCACGCAACUCUAAAAGAUAUCCAUCUAAGCGCUGCUUCCGCGGCGAACUUGCGGCCCCGCACCCUUACGUUAGACACCAGCCAACCAGCAGCCUAGGAGCUCCGCCGCCUCGAGGGGUGCUGCUUCCCAUUGGGAAUCGAUUGGCCCAGAAUAAAAAUUCAGACAACUGACGCCUAAAUAAAGUGAUUUCAGAUGAGGGUGCGACCUAUCUGGCGGCAUGGUGAAGUAGGCAGGUCUAGUUGCCGAGUCGGUGAGGCCGGCGCGGUUGCGGUGGUGACCGGAGGCAGGGAAAGUGCAAUGUCGCGACGAUCGAUGGCUACGCGGAAGCAGCGCCAGGACUCUGGACGGAUCCGAAGUUGGAGCCGCUCCGGCGCCGUGAACAACGGCGGGGGUGAAUCGGCUCUAGUAUGGUUCACGCGACCAUCAUCGAGGCAGCACCAGCAGCACGGAGUAAGAGGCACACGACCCAGUGCAUGACGUCAAUUGAACAGCGUCUCCGGCAUUAGGGAGGAGGGCGGCUGUGAAAUUGGUGCGGUGGGGGGCGCCAUGGAGGUGGGGCNNNNNNNNNNNNNNNNNNNNNNNNNNNNNNNNNNNNNNNNNNNNNNNNNNNNNNNNNNNNNNNNNNNNNNNNNNNNNNNNNNNNNNNNNNNNNNNNNNNNNNNNNNNNNNNNNNNNNNNNNNNNNNNNNNNNNNNNNNNNNNNNNNNNNNNNNNNNNNNNNNNNNNNNNNNNNNNNNNNNNNNNNNNNNNNNNNNNNNNNNNNNNNNNNNNNNNNNNNNNNNNNNNNNNNNNNNNNNNNNNNNNNNNNNNNNNNNNNNNNNNNNNNNNNNNNNNNNNNNNNNNNNNNNNNNNNNNNNNNNNNNNNNNNNNNNNNNNNNNNNNNNNNNNNNNNNNNNNNNNNNNNNNNNNNNNNNNNNNNNNNNNNNNNNNNNNNNNNNNNNNNNNNNNNNNNNNNNNNNNNNACCAUGUCUUACGGACGCAUCUGUCUUAAAUGUGAGGGGGAGUUACAGCUCUACCCUUGCCUAUAGGCUUCUUGGCUUGGGUCUGUGUACUGAGGGUCGGGGAUAGUAGAGUAACUUUGCUUCUCCCCAAAUAGUGGGCGGGAUCGAUUUCAGGCGAGGAGGGCGUGUUUUGAACUAUAGUGGGUGCGAGCGAAUUCGGGCGAGGAGAGCGUGUUUUGAAAUAGUGGGCGCGAGCUAUUGCAGGCGAGGAGAGCGUGUUUUGCCGACCAUGGUUUAUGAAUUAUUCGGCACAUGUCGUUUCGGCCAAGGAGAAGGCGCGCUUGGAUGAAGUUAGGAACCUACCCUCGAUGUACAACGGGCAAUUGAUGCGUGUCCCACAUAGGACAGUAAUAUCGCGUCUCCCAUUUAUUUGCUCGGGCGAAUUCCACCGAGCAGAGAGGAUGUUUAAUGGUUCGUUCAAAUUUUGGGAGAACGAGCAUCCACGUCUACCUUACCAAGUCGAUUCGAAUCAAAUUUUGAAAUAUUAGCUUGCCACUUCUUUUUUAGAUGGAGAGAUGAUGCUCGGGAGUAAUGUGUUUUUACAUGCUCGUUGCUAGCGAUUUACUAUAUGACAAAUAGUUGAUCCACUAAAAAACGCGAAUCAAACCCAAAAUGAAAUAUCUCGAUUCAAUGAACUAGCUCGUUCAGUAGGUCAAAAUAGUGAACUAAAUCCAAAAUUGAACACCUCAAUCGAGUAGCAUGUUGUACAGUAUUAUAGUACUCCAUGAACAUGUUGAAAGUCAAAUUAAUGAACUUGUUUGAUAUACGCAUAUAUCUGUUCAUGUGUGGAUUGCAGACAACAUGGUCUCCAAUUUAAAUAUUUGAAUGCAAGUUUAUAUCAGUCUUUGAUGCAUAAAACGCGACCUCCCCCUCUCCCGGACUCCUGUUCUCUCUCUCUCUCUCACUCUCUCGCCGACAAUCUUCAAUUCUGUCGCACGCAUCCGACACAAAAACCUUGUUGGUCCCUCUCCCUUUCUCUCUCUCCCCCCUCUCUCUCUCUCUCUGUGUGUGUGUGUGUGUGUGUGAAAGUACAACUAUCCCUAGGUGGUUUUGGUAAUUCAUAACAACAUAUAGCUCAUUGAGCUAAUGCUAUUCCAAGACUAAUAUUUCAGGAAAGCUCAAUGAAUGGCAUGGCAUGGAUGAUGAAAGUGGAUCCCUCAAAAUACUAAGGACAAAGGAUUGGCUCAAGCUCAUUAGCUCAAGACUCUUCAUUUUAUAUUUUAGUGAUCCAAGAUCACAUUGAGCCUAUAGGAAAAGCCAAUACUAUCAAGGAGGGAUGAGGUGUUGCUUAAUGAGCCUCUUGCUUCAUGUGCUUAGUGAUAUGCUCCAAAACCCUCAUCUACUUUCUCACAUCCACAAAUGACCUAAACCCAAAGCCAAAAUCAGUCACACCGAUUCUUCCUAUCCGGGGACACCGAAUUCAAAUGUCAUAGCCACUGCCACAAACCCUAGGCAAAUCGGUUUUACCGAUAGGGAUCUCGGUCUCACCGAGAUGGGAUUGUAAUCUCUCUGUUUCCCUUUGUAACGUUUCAUUCAAACCAAAGUGAGCAAUCGGUCCCACCAAGAUUGCAAUGUAAACUCUCUGUUUCCCUUUUGUAACAUUUCGGUCUCACCGAAAAGAGCAAAUCGGUCCCACCGAGUUUACCUGACCAACUCUCUAGAAAGCUUAUUACCAAAAUCGGUCUCACCGAGUUUGUGUAAUCGGUCUUACCGAGAUUAAGUUAUGCCCUAACCAUAACCGAAUCGUUCUCACUGAGUUGCAUGUCAAUCCCACCGAAAAUCACUAACGGUCACUAGGUUUACUAAAUUGGUCCGACCGAGUCAGUUGAAUCGGUCCCACCGAGUUUGGUAAAUUGUGUGUAAUGGUUAGAUUUUGUGUGGAGGCUAUAUAUACCCCUCCACCUCCUCUUCAUUCAUGGAGAGAGCCAUCAGACUAAACCUACACUUCCAACUUACCAUUUCUGAGAAAGAACCACCUACUCAUGUGUUGAGGCCAAGAUAUUCCAUUCCUACCAUAUGAAUCUUGAUCUCUAGCCUUCCCCAAGUUUCUUUCCACUCAAUUAUUCUUUCCACCAGAUCCAAAUCCUAUGAGAGAGAGUUGAGUGUUGGGGAGACUAUCAUUUGAAGCACAAGAGCAAGGAGUUCAUCAUCAACACACCAUUUGUUACUUCUUGGAGAGUAGUGUCUCCUAGAUUGGCUAGGUGUCACUUGGGAGCCUUCGACAAGAUUGUGGAGUUGAACCAAGGAGUUUGUAAGGGCAAGGAGAUCGCCUACUUCAUGAAGAUCUACCCUAGUGAGGCAAGUCCUUCAUGGGCGACGACCAUGGUGGGAUAGAAAAGGUUGCUUCUUCAUGGACCCUUCUUGGAUGGAGCCCUCCGUGGACUCGCGCAACCGUUACCCUUCGUGGGUUGAAGUCUCCAUCAACAUGGAUGUACGAUAGCACCACCUAUCGGAACCACGCCAAAAACAUCCGUGUCUCCAACUGUGUUUGAAUCCUCCAAACCCUUCCCUUUACUUUAUUGCAAGUUGCAUGCUUUAAUUUCCGCUGCCUAUAUACUCUUUGCAUGCUUGCUUGAAUAGUGUGAUGAUUGCUUGACUUGUCCUAAGAUAGCUAAAAUCUGCCAAACUCUAAAAUUGGGAAAAGCUUAAGUUUUUAAUUGGUCAAGUAGUCUAAUCACCCCCUCUAGACAUACUUCAAGGUCCUACAAGUGGUAUCAGUGCUUUGGUCUCCAUUUGCUUUGAUUUCCAUAGCUUUUGGUGGUCAUAGCCUUGGUUUCACAACCUAUGAGAGUAUGGCGUCUAGCGAGGGAAAUUAUCACCGUAGAGGUCCUUACUUUCAUGGUACUAAUUUUGCUAGUUGGAAGCAUAAGAUGAAAAUGCAUAUUCUCGGACAUAACCCCGCCGUCUGGGCUAUUAUUUGUAUUGGCUUGCAAGGUGAAUUCUUUGAUGGGAGAGAGCCGAACCGUGAAGCUAAUGCGGAAGAAUUGAAGAUGUUGCAAUACAACGCUCAAGCUUGUGAUAUCAUCUUCAACGGUCUGUGCCCCGAAGAAUUCAACAAAAUUAGCCGUCUUGAGAAUGCAAAGGAAAUUUGGGACACUUUGAUUGAUAUGCACGAAGGUACCGAAUCUGUCAAGGAAUCCAAGUUGGAUGUGCUCCAAAGUCAGCUUGACAAGUUCAAAAUGAAGGAUGGUGAAGGUGUCGCUGAAAUGUACUCUAGGCUUGCUCUUAUUACAAAUGAGAUUGCCGGCUUAGGGAGUGAAGAGAUGACCGACAUAUUCAUCAUCAAGAAGAUCCUAAGAGCAUUGGAUAGAAAGUAUGAUACCAUGUGCACAUUGAUCCAAAUGAUGCCAAACUACAAAGAUCUCAAGCCAACGGAAGUCAUUGGAAGGAUUGUUGCUCAUGAGAUGUCACUCAAGGAUAAGGAGGAACUUCACAACAAGUCAAGUGGUGCUUACAAAGCCUCAAGUGAAGCCCCCACACCAUCAAGUGAGAAACAAACCUUCAAUGAAGAAUUGAGCUUAAUGGUGAAGAACUUCAACAAAUUCUACAAGAGUAGAAGCAAAGAAAGAAGCUCCAAGUCAAGGUCUUACCAUGACAAAAGAUCUUCUAGUCGAGAGCGCAAUUGCUACAAUUGUGGGAGGCCUGGACACUAUUCCAAUGAGUGUACGGCACCCUACAAAAGAAGAGAAGAUUCUCCAAAAAGAAGAAGUAGAAGAGAAGAAUCACCACCAAGAGAGAGGAGGAGUAGAGAUGAUCGUUAUGAACGAAGAUCCUCACGGAGAAGCAAAGAUUCAGAAAGGAAGGACAAGUCAUCAAGGAGAUACACAAAACGAAGACAUCAAGCUCAUGUUGGUGAAUGGGUUUCCAGCUCUGACUCCGACAAACACUCCUAGAGAAACUAUCACUCCGACUCCGAAUAUACUCAAGAUGAAGGUGUUGCCGGUCUAGCACUUGUGUCAACCAACUCCUACGACAUAUUUGAUUCACCAAAUGAAGGAAUUGGAAGAUGCUUCAUGGCCAACGGUCCAAAGGUAACACAUCCUGAGUAUGUUGAUUUCAAUAGUGAUGAAGAUGACUUGCUUGUGGAUGAUGAUUUACUUGUUGACAACUCUAGUGAUGAAUACUAUGAUGAAACGUCAAUUAAUCAUGCUAAACAAGAUAAAACGAAUGACAAUGAUAAGGAGAAGAUUGAGCUUCUAACUAAAGAACUAAACACUCUUAAGUUAGCUCAUGAAACUAUCUUCGAAAAUCGUCGAGAACUUUUAAGGGCUCAUGAGAAGUUACGCUUUGAAAAGCUCAAUCUUGAGCAAGAGCAUGAGUUCUUAAAAGCAAUCAAUGAUGAUCUCCGUAAGAAAAGUUCUUCUUACAUUGCCAAGCGUUUACUCCUAUCUACUUACAUGCCUCAAGUCAAGUCUAGUAACAAGUACAAGAAAGAUACUUCCUCUAGUAGUAACAAUAACAAUGUCAAAUCCAAUAUUGUUGCUUCUAGUAGUUCUCUUGAUUCCACUAAUGAUUCUCUUAGCCAAGUUACACUUGAGCAAGAAAAUAGCUUAUUGAAGGGAAUUAUAGAGAAAGGUGUUUACAAGAGCCUUGCCGGGAGUAAGCAAUUCGAGGAAAUUGUACACAAGCAAGGAAGGCACCGGAAGAAUCAAGGUGUUGGUUUUGAAUGAAAGUUCAAUGCCAAUGGAGUUGAGUGGGAAGAAUAUCAAUACCCCAAGACGAAGUUUGUUCCUCAACAAGUGAAGUAUGAUCCUACUUCCUUUAAGGGAACACAAGCUCAAGAUGAUCUUCCACCACAAGACCAUAAAGGCAAGGACAAGCUUCAAGAAGAGAUUGAUGCAUUUGAAGAAGCACCUAAGGUCUCGGUCAAGUGGAUUCCCAAGACUACGUCAAGUUCUACUUCAUCAAGUACAACUACAACUCCAAGGAUUCCCAUCAAGAUGAUGUGGAUCCCGAAGAAGAAGAACUAGAGAGUUCUUGAGGGUGACUCCGCCAACAUUCUUCACUCAUAUUAUUAUGGCAAGGACAAGUGCAAUCAACCUCCACAUCUUGCACUAGUUCAAGGAGUCACAAACCCUCAUGUUGGUAAGGCAAGGAACAAGGUAACCUAAUGUUUUCAUGGACAUCAUCUUGUGUGUGCAUCACUCUAUGUCUAUGGAUAUUCUUGUUUGUUCCUUGUGGGACUAACCCAUGUAGGUAUGUUGAAAGUGCAACUCACUCCAAUGGAUUGCUCCAAAUGAUCUACAUCAACAUUGAGCAUCCACAUCUUCAACACCUACAUGAAGUCAUCAUCGACAAAACCCAAGGUUAGUUCAUCCCUCUAAAAGGGGAUCUCACAUCUAGGGGGAGCUUAACUCUAAGACUUGAGUCAAAGCAACUGUAAUGGUGUGAACACAUCAAUGCAUUAUGUAAAAGUGGUAACCCCACUUGGGCUUAAAUGAUGAGUAUGACCUAUGAUCAAAUGUUUAUCAUUUGACUCCUAAGUCAAUAUACUCAUAUAUAGAUGACCUAGUCAUCGCCAAUUGUUUGAUAGAUGCUAGAAUUGGUUGUGCAUGCUUUGCUACAUAUUUCUUUUGCCAUCUUAUUGUGUGAGCAUGUUGGUGCAUAUUUUACUCAUUUAAGGACAUCCACUUGUUGUUUUGAUUGUUUGGUUCUUCCUUCUUUUGGCCAAGUGGAUGGACAAGAAUGCCUAAGAACUUUCUCUAGCUAUCUAUGCUUUUCUCGUCUCAAACUCUAUUCAUGCUACAUCACAAAAUUUGAUCAAGUCAGAUUCGAACCACUCUGUGUGAGGAGCACUCGGAGUCCCCGAUUCGUCAUAGACUUAAACUUCCAAAACUUCUUUGUGAUUCUCGGUCUACCGAUUCCUCCAUUUCGGUCCAACCGAGAUCACUAAGACAAUCUAGGUUUUCAAUCUCGGUGCAACCGAUUUGAACUUUUUGGUCACACCGAGUUGCUGUAACUGAACAUAGUUAUGCAUCUCGGUGCCACCGAGUUGUUCCACUCGGUCACACCGACAGGGUCGGGCUAUAUAUAGUCACGGGCAAAAUUUGAAAAUUUCUCCGAAACCCUUCGCCCAUGCAAUAGCUCGCUCUGCCUCCAAGGUCUCCGGAUCGUCUCCUCGUCGCCAGCAGCCUCCUGUCGCUGGUCUCUGCCACCGUCAACGGAAUUCAACCCCGCCGUUGCUGCCGUAGCGAGUUCAUCGCCAAGCUAGGGUAUGGAUUGAUCACUGUGCUAUCCUUGUCCGAUUCCUAGCACAUUGUGUUCUUAUUGAUUCUUGCCACGAUUGAAACACUCCGAUCCAAUCCGUAGAUUAGAUGAGAUUUGAAAAUUUAGGGUUAGUUUCCGCCGAAACCAUCUUGGACCCACCGAGUUGAAAAACUCGGUCCCAUCGAUUUGGCUUAUGCCAUUGCGCUAGUAACUCUCGGUCUGACCGAGAAUUGCUAAUCGGUGCGACCGAUUUUAGGACUUUGUGAAACCCUAGCAGUCUUGGUGCCACCGAACUGUGAUUCGGUCCAACCGAGUUCAUCAGUUUAGGUUCCAAAACUGCUUCGGUAUCACCGAGUUUGAAAAUCGGUUGAUCCGAAAUGCUUUCUGUGGAAAACUAAAACUGAAUUUUUUGAAUCAUUCUUUUGCAAAAAUCUCUGCAUUUUGUGAUGCUCAUCCACUCCAUCUCAUCUAUAACUCUUUAUAGGGUCAGCAGUCAGAGUUUGCAGCAUGUCAGACCAGAGUGACAGUCAGAAUAGGUCAGAAGGGCAGAUGCAAAUGAGUGAGGGCACUAGUCCCUCCAGCACUUCAGAUGAAGGCAUCAGGAGCACUCCUAGCAACCUGCCUAAGGCUGCUACCAGGCAAAGGAAGAAGAGAACUUUAGACUAUGAAGAUGAGGAUUAUAGAGCUGAAGAGGAUGAAGCUACUUCCAAGAAGGUAGUGCACAAGAAGGUGCUUAGUUCAACUGCAGUAAAGCCAGGCAUGAAGAUCAAAAGGCCUGCAGGGAGACAACCAAUGUCCAAAGCCAAGCAUCAACUCAACUGCCUGAGAUGCCUGAAGAGCCAGCUGCUGAAGGAAAGAAAAGGAAGGAAAGGGUCAAGAAGACCAUGGCCAGAGUUGUUGGGCAACCUUCCAUGAUGGAAGAAGAAGAGCUUGCUGCACCAGCACCAAAGGCACCAAAGCUUAUGGGAGAUGCUAUUAGAUCAGGGGCUGCAACAUCUAAGCCCAAGGAAGCACCCAAAGCUGCCCCCAAGGCCAAGUCUGCACCAAAGAGGAAUACCAGGAGUAUUCCAGCUGCUGAGAAGAACAAGGCCCCAAUGCCUGAGGUUGUUGAGGAGGAAGAUGAAGAAGGACAAGUUUUGAGGAAGCUCAAGCCCAAGAUACCAGACCAUAAUGAUGCCCAUCCUGUAGCUGAGGACAUGACCAUCAGAAAAGCUUCAGGGUUGAGGCUAUGGAGGAUGACAGAUCCAUAUGCCACAAGGAGAAGAACUGAUGUUGAUUACAGGUUCCAUACAAAGGAACAUCAGGCUUCUAUGAGACAAUCUUGUUGGACAAAAAGCCCAUUGUGUGUGAUAUGAGGUGGGUCGACUAGACCUACAUGAAGGAAAAUGAAGAACACUAUCCAGGAGUACAAGACAGUUUUGUUGCUUGUGGAGUUGCAGAUUUUGUUGGGCAGAAGCUCACCAAUUGGAACGAUGAACUCAUUAUGCAAUUCUACUCCACAGCACACUUCUAUCCAGAUGGAAGGAUAGUUUGGAUGUCUAAAGGUACAAGGUACCAGUCAACUGUUGAGGAGUGGGCAAAACUGAUAAAUGCCCCAAAGGAAAAUGAUGAUGACCUGGAUGUAUAUGCCAAGAAGAAAAUGGGACAUAAUACCAUGGCUCAUAUGUACUCCCUCCGUCCGGAAAUACUUGUCAUCAAAAUGGAUAAAAGGGGAUGCAUCUAGAUGUAUUUUAGUUCUAGAUACAUCUCUUUUUAUCCAUUUUGAUGACAAGUAUUUUCGGACGGAGGGAGUACAAGGAGAUCCCAGACAAAGCCCUAGAGACUUUCUCUUUUGGAUCAGUCCACUUUCUUAUGUCAGGGCUGCCUACAAUCAACUGGAUCCUAAGGCACACUCUAUUGCCUAAGUCUGGUGACCACAACAUGAUUAGAGGGCAUGCAAUCAACAUGUUGCAUUUGUUUGAUGUGCCUCAGAAAUUCAAGGUCAUGAGCCUUAUAGUAGAAACUAUUAAGAGGACUGCAGCAGAUCAUAAGAGGAGUUGUGGAUAUGCCCCUCAGAUUCAGGAGUUGAUUAACUCAAAGAUGGGCACAUGCAAAUAUCUAUUGGAUAGGGAACAUUUUCCUCUCUAUCCAGACUUUGAGGACAAUGAGGUUGUCAUGAAUGAAGAUGAACCAUCAUCAGUUCAAGAUCAAGAGAAGAAGGAGAAGGCAAGGAAGGAGAAGGCUGCCAAGAUGCCAACUCAAGAGGAGGCAUCUGAGUAUUUCUUGAAGAACAAGUAGGAGCAGCUUGGUUAUUUGAUAGCAUCAACACUGAGGAUUGAGAAGGGGUUGGCCACCUUAACUCAGAAUCAGGAGAGCUUGGAAAGAAUCAUGGAACAAAAAUUCUAUGAUCUUGAUGUCAAGGUAACUGAGAUUCAGUCAGUUGUGGAGCAGCUGCAGGAUGACAUGCAGGAGAGGAAGGGCAAGACUACCACUAAUGUAUUUGCCAGAGUGCCUAGAGUUCAGAGGUCAGCUGCAGUGCCAGUGACAGACACUAGAGCAACAUCAUCUGCACCAGCCACAGCUCCUACAGCUCCAGUGCAACCAGCUCCAGCACCAACUCCUCCAGCUCUGUCUACAUCAACUGAAGCCUUCAUCCUUGGAGUUAUCCGGACACCACCAACUGAAGAUCAAGCCUGAGAGUCGAUCUAACACUAUGCAUUUUCUAUGAACUUUUUGGUAACUUGUUGCCAAAGGGGGAGAAAAAUGUAUAGAUCAUAGGCUUCGAGAGAGAGAGAGUGUUGCUUUUGUUCUCUCUUGCUUUGGUGGUUUUAAACUUGUUUGUUUUUUGAUUGCUUGAGAUACUAUGCUAUUCUUGUGAGACAUUGAUGAUCAUGUGUUUGAUCAUAAGCUACACUUAUGCAUGUUUGAUCAUAUUAUCCUAUCUAUCCUAUGUGAUCAUUCACUUUGCUUGGUGAUGAGUGCAUGUAUUUAAUCUUUAUCAUUUUGAGCGCUCCACCAAGAUGUAUGUGACAUGGAAGAGUAACCCAUGAGCCUAAUUCCUUGUGCAUUUGCAGUCCAAAGCAAAUCUUAAACUAUGCACAAAUUUAGGGGGAGCUCUUGCUUAUCACAUACUUCUCAAAGCGACGAUGUUUUUCAAUCUUAUUAUCAUUUGUCGAAGCUUUGAUCUAUAUGUUGUCAUCAAUUACCAAAAAGGGGGAGAUUGAAAGUGCAACUAUCCUUAGGUGGUUUUGGUAAUUCAUAACAGCAUAUAGCUCAUUGAGCUAAUGCUAUUCCAAGACUAAUAUUUCAGGAAAGCUCAAUGAAUGGCAUGGCAUGGAUGAUGAAAGUGGAUCCCUCAAAAUACUAAGGACAAAGGAUUGGCUCAAGCUCAUUAGCUCAAGACUCUUCAUUUUAUAUUUUAGUGAUCCAAGAUCAUAUUGAGUCUAUAGGAAAAGCCAAUACUAUCAAGGAGGGAUGAGGUGUUGCUUAAUGAGCCUCUUGCUUCAUGUGCUUAGUGAUAUGCUCCCAACCCCUCAGCUACUUUCUCACAUCCACAAAUGACCUAAACCCAAAGCCAAAAUCGGUCACACCGAUUCUUCCUAUCCGGCGCCACCUAGUUCAAAUGUCAUAGCCACUGCCACAAACCCUAGGCAAAUCGGUUCUACCGAUAGGGAUCUCAGUCUCACCGAGAUGGGAUUGUAAUCUCUCUGUUUCCCUUCGUAACGUUUCGGUCAAACCGAAGUGAGCGAUCGGUCCCACCAAGAUUGCAAUGUAAACUCUCUGUUUCCCUUUUGUAACAUUUCGGUCUCACCAAAAAGAGCAAAUCGGUCCCACCGAGUUUACCUGACCAACUCUCUGGAAAGCUUAUUACCAAAAUCGGUCUCACCGAGUUUGUGUAAUCGGUCUUACCGAGAUUACGUUAUGCCCUAACCCUAACCGAAUCAGUCUCACCGAGUUGCAUGUCAGUCCCACCGAAAAUCACUAACGGUCACUAGGUUUACUAAAUCGGUCCGACCGAGUCUGUUGAAUCGGUCCCACCGAGUGUGGUAAAUUGUGUGUAACGGUUAGAUUUUAUGUGGAGGCUAUAUAUACCCCUCCACCUCCUCUUCAUUCGUGGAGAGAGCCAUCAGAAUAAACCUACACUUCCAACUUACCAUUUCUGAGAAAGAACCACCUACUCAUGUGUUGAGGCCAAGAUAUUCCAUUCCUACCAUAUGAAUCUUGAUCUCUAGCCUUCCCCAAGUUGCUUUCCACUCAAAUCUUCUUUCCACCAGAUCCAAAUCCUAUGAGAGAGAGUUGAGUGUUGGGGAGACUAUCAUUUGAAGCACAAGAGCAAGGAGUUCAUCAUCAAUGCACCAUUUGUUACUUCUUGGAGAGUGGUGUCUCCUAGAUUGGCUAGGUGUCACUUGGGAGCCUCCGACAAGAUUGUGGACUUGAACCAAGGAGUUUGUAAGGGCAAGGAGAUCGCCUACUUCGUGAAGAUCUACCGCUAGUGAGGCAAGUCCUUCGUGGGCGAUGGCCAUGGUGGGAUAGACAAGGUUGCUUCUUCGUGGACCCUUCUUGGGUGGAGCCCUCCGUGGACUCGCGCAACCAUUACCCUUUGUGGGUUGAAGUCUCCAUCAAUGUGGAUGUACGAUAGCACCACCUAUCGGAACCACGCCAAAAACAUCCAUGUCUCCAACUGCUUUUGAAUCCUCCAAACCCUUCCCUUUACUUUCUUGCAAGUUGCAUGCUUUAAUUUCCGCUACCUAUAUACUCUUUGCAUGCUUGCUUGAAUAGUGUGAUGAUUGCUUGACUUGUCCUAAGAUAGCUAAAAUCUGCCAAACUCUAAAAUUGGGAAAAGGUUAAGUUUUUAAUUGGUCAAGUAGUCUAAUCACGCCCCCUCUAGACAUACUUCAAGGUCCUACAGUGUGUGUGUGUGUGGGGGGGGGGGUCUUUCUAGUCCGCAUUCAUAUAUACACCAUCUAUAGGUCUCUCUCGCACACUAUGUAUGAUACUCUAGCUAGUCCAAGCUAGAUAUCUUGGGUGCACUCAUCGUACGCACACAAAUUCCUUGGCUCUUUGCCCGUAACUCUAUCACGCACCACUAUGUCGUCUCGAAGCUCUUCCCCCCUCUCUCAAACUCUCCAUCCACCUGGGUCACACAUACACAUGCAUAUCUCACUCGCACUCAAUAGGCCCAUCUAAAACUCUAUCUCUCUCCAUCGUUCUCUCUCCAUAUCACAUGCACACACACACACACACAAUCUCAUGCCCAGCUAGCCAAGUAUGAUGGUCUCUCACUUAAUUGUAGGCACACGCAGUCCCCCGUAUAUGUAUAUGACUAGCUAAUCUUAGUCUCCAUCACAAACAUGUGCAUGGUCUAUCUCGAUUUCUCUCGGGGCAUCUUUCUAUCGCGCACGCACUCCCUCGAUCUCCCACCCAUAUAGUCCCCUCACGAUCUCGAGGGGAUCUCUCUAUCACAAACACACCCUCUCUCCCUCCCCAUGCGUCCAUGCCAUCCAUGUGUCCCUCUCGACCUUUUUUCCUUGUUGGCCAGACCUCUAUUGGACAUGUGCUACAGGGGUGUCUCUCUCCGUUGCAAACAAUCACACACUAGCUAUCUUCGUGUAUCUCCUCGCCUCGCUUUUCCAUCUCGGAGAUGCAUGCGUGAUAUGUUCGCAUAAGAAACGAAAAAACACACACUCUCUCUAAUUUAUUGUUUGUUGUCACUUUCUCUUUCACACACAUACUCUUUUUGCACACUUACUCAUUCUCCUUCACACGCACUUGAUCUGUCUCGACUGAGGCACUCACCUCCGUCCAUAGCACAUAGAUUUAUUGAAAAGUCAAACAUCACAAAGUUUGACCAUGUACGUGGAGAAAAAGAGUUACAUCUAGUACGGCAAACAUAUACCAUUAGAUUCACCAUGAGAUGUAGUUUUGUAUGAUGUAUAUUUGGUAUUGUAGAUAUAAAUAACAUUUGCGUAAACCGGAUCAAAGUUUCCAAAGUUUGACUUCUAAAAAAUUUACAUGCACUGCAUUAUUGAGUGGAUGGAAUAUCUCUUUCCCCCUCUCAGCUAUCUGACGCACCACUCAGCAUUAUCGGGGCUCCUCAAUCUCUCUCAAAGUUUAUUGGUCAGUUUGGUUCGUGACCUGACCCUCAUGCCUUGAUGGUCGGUACUGCCUGGUGUGGAUGUGAGAUGUAAAAUAUUUCUGCCUGGCUAGGCUUGUGUGGUGCUGAAGCGUUUGGUUCAUGCCUGGGCCAGGCAAAGCAUCAACGUCCCAUCAAUCAAUCCAUGCAUCAAUUAUUUAAUGCUAAUAUCCAUCCAUGUUGCUGUUAGCCUCAUGGACGCAUGACCAGGCACGGCCAGGCGUUCGAAAUCGGUCGCUUGGGCCAGGCUACUUGCAGUGUCUGGAGUUCAGCCAGGCUAAUUAAAGUGCAAGGGAACCCAGCCCAGGCGGGCUUUCUUUUUCACAGGGUAGCAACCAAACAAGCGUGCAUGAAAUCCAGUCACAACCCCAGGCCACGCAAAAGAUGCUCACGACGCAAGCCAAACGGGCCUUAUAUCUCCGUGGUUCACACAUACACAUGUCUCGCUCGCGCUAUACAUAUAGACCCAUCGAACACUCUCCGCCCUUGUUCUCUCUCCAUGUGACACGCACCCCCCUAAGUACCAUAAUGCCUCACUCCAUCAUAGGCUCUGUUUGGAUCCAUGGGUUAGAGUUAGUUAGAGUUAGUUUGGGUUAGUUUGGAGUCAACUAACCCAAAAAGAUACAAACAGGAGGGUUAGUUUAGGUUAGAUGCAUCUAACCCAUCCAAAAAAACUAACCCAUCCAAAAGGUGCUUAUUUGGGUUAGUUCUUCUCGGGACCACUAAUAAACACUUUUUUCUCCCGCUCUCCCUGCAGCAGAUCCCUCCCCACUUUCUCGAAGCUUCUCGUCCUCUCCCUCCCUCCCUCUCGCACCGCCCAUGAAGGUGCCUCGCCGUAUUCGCGCUCCAUCUAACCCUGCCAUCCAAACACCUCUUUACUUAGAGCUAGUUCAGGGUUUGAAUCUAACUCUAACCUCUAACUGAGUUAGAGUAUCCAAACAGGGCCAUAGGCGCAAGCACUCCCCCCUCCUAAGUAUGAUUAUCUCUUACUAGCCAUCAGGAACACACGUAUUGUCUCCUUCCACCCAUACGUCUAUCUCGAUAUCUCUCGGGGCAUCUUCUAUAGCGCACACACACCUUGUCACUCGAUCUCCCACCCAUGUAGUCCCAUAACGAUAUCCAGGGGAUCUCUCUAUGACAAACAUACACUCUCUCCUCCCCAUGUCUGCAUUUUCUCCGUACGUCUCUCUCGACCUCUCUCCCUUGUUUGUCAGACCCCUCUUGGCCACGUGCUAGGGGUCUUCCUCUCUCGGUUCCAAACAACCACACACUAUCUCCUCACCUUGCCUCCAUUGUCGAAGAUGCAUGUGUGAUAUGUUUGCAUAAGACACGCACGAUUUUUCUCCACUUUUAUCGUGUGUUGUCCAUGUCUCUUUCACACACGCACACACACUUUUUUCACUCUCUCUCUCUCUCUCUCUCUCUCUCUCUCUCGUCAGGGACUCUGUCACGUCCAUAAGCAUAUGGAUGUUUUGAAAAGUCAAACCUCAAAAAAGUUUGACUAGGUAUAUGUGGAGAAAAACAUUUACAUCUGGAAUGAUCAUUAGAUUCAUCACAACAUGUACUUACUUCAUACUAUCAUUUAUCUUUGGUAUUGCCGAUAUAAGUAAUUUCUUUAUAAACUUGGUCAAAGUUUCAAAAGUUUGACUUUAAAAAAUGUUGUAACUACAUUAUCGAACGGAGGGAGUAGCUCUUUCUCUCUCUCUCUGCUAUCUCUCAUGGGCCUCCCCUCUCACUCGAACUCUCUAUACCGACGGAUUAUACGCUCACUGUGUCAGCGUAUAGCUCUGUAUAUUGUUUAGUUGACCAGUCAACCAAUCCACAUGCUGUGUUGUCAGCUCAUGUUCUGUAUCUUGGUGUGCUGGCCCUUGUGGCAGUGGGUGAAAAUAAGUAAACUAGAGGCCCAUCUGACACGUGGUGAAGGAAACAAAGUUGAAACCACUCGGGGUAGCACCCUACACGCUAGUAAAUUGAGGGCGCAUUGAGGACAAACUUCUUGUGCGCGAAGGACGCACUCGCGCACAAUUCACCACUACGCGGUGGCAUGCACAGAAGGACGCACUUGCGCAUACCCAACACACAACACACACCAGCACACGUGUACACCAGCGUCGCCGCCGGUUGAGAUGGAUGGCGAGGCAGCCAACAAGCGGAGGCCGCUUGAGCCAAAACCGCAUCCGGCGAGCCUGGACUUCAUCAGAACCCUCCCCGAUGACAUGCUGCUCGUCAUCAUCGGCCUCCUCCCCACCAAAUCUGCCGUGCGUACCGCCCUGCUCUCCCGGCGGUGGCGCCCCCUCUGGCGCUGCGUCCCCCUCAACCUCACCGUCGACAGAUGCCUGUGCGAUGGGGAUUGCAAACGCAUGGCCGCAGUCUCCAAGAUCCUUUCAUCGCACCCUGGGCCAGCCAGACGCCUUGACAUCCGCAUGUUCAGUACCAACUGCAAGGUCCAACCCAAGUUUGACGAGUGGUUCUUAUCCCCCGCCCUAGAUCACCUCGAGGAGCUCAGCUUAGAAGCUGGACGAUGUGGCUCUCUGCCGCCGUCCGCGCUCCGCCUCACGCCAACGCUGCGCCGCGCCAGCUUCAGCUCCUGCUAUCUUCCCCAGAUUAAUGUUGCGCCCGCCCUUCUUCUCCCUCAACUCAAGCAGCUCGACCUCUUCGAUGUUGUCAUCUCGAAGAAGGCUAUGGAAAACCUGCUCCGUAGCUGUACUGCGCUCGAGUACCUUCGUCUUGAGCAGAUCCACAGGUUCAUUAGCCUCCACAUCGCCUCGAUGAAUCUCCGAUGGAUUUAUGUGUCUUGCUGGCCCCACAACAAGAGAACAAUUGGGAAGAGAUCACUCCAGCUGUUCAAUGUUAUGGUCAUUGAGAAUGUGCCUUUCCUUGAGAGAUUGCUUGUAUCGGAUCUAGAAGGUCCAACAAAAAUCAGGGUCAUUAACGCGCCGAAAUUGACAGCGUUGGUGUACUCGUCUGCCAAAUUCUCCGAACUCUUUAUUGGAUCCGUAAUCGUUAAGGUACAACACUCAUCUUCUUCUCCGUAUUCUUGAAAUUCACAUUUUUAAAUUUCUUCUUGAUGUAUUUACGAUCGUCUUCCAGAAAAUGAUUCCCACAAGCUUGACCCAGUCCAUGCGCACAGUGAAGAUCUUAGCACUAAAAUCUAUCGGCCCCAAUCUGGAUCAAGUUGUUGGAUUCCUUACAUGCUUUCCAUGCACGGAGAAGCUACACAUCGAGGUGAAACUUCUUUCCUAUUAGUAAACGGUAAUCACAACGUAGCUCAAUUUUUUUCGUAAUUUUCCCAAAUUACGAUGACAAGUGUAGUGUUUAAAACUGCAUCUACGCACUGCACCGAAAGAAAUGUUUUUAGUAUUUUUUCUCACGUGAUCACCUGCAUCAUUUUUAUGCUGUACUACUAUAGUACCCUAGGCUAGUCAUAGUGUAAAGUAACUUAGACUACUCCAGUAACUCUAUGGUUACCCUAAGAGCAAGUACUACCUCUGUCCUGGUUUACUCUUCCAAUUUUGUAGUAUCAAAAUUUGACCAUAGAUUUAACUGACAAAAAGUUAAUGCAUGUCACUAAGAACUAUAUCGUUGGAUUCGUAUUUGAACAUAAUUUCAAAUGGUGUAAUUUUUAGUGACAUGCAUUGGCAUUUUCUUAGGUAAAUCUAUGGUCAAUAUUUUAUAUAAAUACGAGGUAUUAUUCCCUCCGUCCCAAAAUUCUUGUCUUACAUUUGUUUAGAUACGGAUGUAUCUAACACUAAAAUGUAACUAGAUACAUCCGUAUUUAGACAAAUUUAAGACAAGAAUUUUGGGACGGAGGGAGUACAAAAGUGGGCUAUGUAGGCCAAAACAUGUGCCAAAUUCACUUGUGAUGCAUUCGGCAUCGAUGCCCCUCCACUGUUCACCUGGUGCCCCAAUCUGGAGCACCUACUUUGCUCCGGUGCCAAAUUAACUCACGCAAUGAAAAAAACACCGCGUGGGAGAGAGAGAGGACUAAGGCAAUAAAAAAACACUUGUUUGGGAGAGUGAGAGGCUGGUGUAGUUGGUUUGAUUGAUUUGUUUAUACAUGUGGGUCUGUGUGCACAGCGGUGCCAACUCUCUCACAUCGUGAGAGUGGUGCCAAAAUCUUUUGAUUUGACAUCGAUGCGUAUUAUGUGGCGUACUUUUGCGAAAUAUGGCAUCGGCCACAUAGUGGAAGGCAACAAAUGCCCAAGCUCUUCAGUGCUCCUAGUUAAAUGAGAGGAAACAGAAACAAAGAGAGAGAGAGAGAGGGAGAGAGAGAGAGAGAGUGAAAAAAUAUCACUAGCCAGCCAACCCUAUCGUAUGAGCGAAUGAUAUUGGUACCUCUUGAUGACACAACAAUCGUAUGUAGCCAGUUGCUCUAAUAUGUUCUCUUCUUUUGCAGAUAAAAAAAGACCCGAAAGUGAAAAAUGUGCUGCACUAUAACUAUCUCAUCGAAUGCCUUGAUCUCCAUCUUACAAAAAUUAAUUUGAUCGACUACCGAGGCAGCACAUCUGAGAUUAAAUUGGCCAGGUUCUUUGUUCUGGAGGCAAGUGUGCUCAAGGUAAUGAGGUUUGGCGUUCUCUGGCACAACAAUGAAUGGCGUGCUGAUCACCGCAAGCGUCUAAGCCUAAAUGACAAAGUCUCCGCAGAAGCUGAAUUUGUUUUUGAAACAUCAAGUGGCCAGAGACUCGAAAACUUAUUUGCCCAUUAGUGACUUGUCAGGGCAGUGGAUUUUAGUUUGUACGAUAGCGCUGCAUCCACCUAAAGUAACGAAAGUUCUUACGUGAACUUCCUAGUAAUUCCCUCUUCCUAGGUGCAACAUUACUCCUAACAUUUGUCAUAUCAGUUUGAAACUUGUAAUAUCUCCGUGUCCUAUUCCUGCGUUUUCAAAAUCCUGCGAAUCAAAUAGGUCCUGAGUUGGUGAUGAUGUUGUGCCUCCCAUCUUUCACCAGUAGCCGUCGGAUCUAGAUCUGACGCAUACAAACCAAGCUUCUCCAUUUUUGCAAAAAGAUGCCCGCACUUGUUCCCUAUUUACAAACAACUCCUUGUCUCUCACAAUCAGCCUUAUCUCCUCCCCACCACAUCUAGAAGGCCGUGGAAAAAUCUGGCGUGAUGGCCGCUGCCGCAGCAGUCCACCCCCAAUCUUGGUGUUCCGUGCAAUGCACGGGCAUCUACGCACGAGAAAUUAUGUCGAAUAGGGCUAGUUGUAAGCAGGCUAGCUCUACAGCCAUGAUGAUAGUGACUGCAGACGGUGAGGCUGACUAUGGUAUGCCGAACACGGCGCCUAUACUCAGGUGUCAUCUCCGGCGCAUGGUCUUGUCACUUCACUAUGAGGAGCAGCAUGUAAUAAUUUGACCAACGGGUAGUACAGUGCUAGUACUCCUAGGAGUACUACAUUGGUAGUACUACUACUAGUACUAGUAGCACCACCAUCUGGAUUUAGGAGUACUACCACGUCCAUCUGGAUUUUAGUAUUUGACUAGCAAUAUCUAGUAAUGCAUGUCACAAAAAAUGUACUACUCCCUCUGUAAAUAAAUACAUGGUGUUUUAUUCCUAUCGGCGAGAGAACUUAAUGUUUUCUUGCUAACUAGAGUCUUAAUAGGAUUACAUGCAAUGAACUAAACACUGCAUGGCAUGUUUGGUAGUCUCAAGUCAUUGAAAGCAUGCACGGCCCACAUGUCUCAUUGGUUGAUAUGUCAUGAAAUAAGAAACAAGGAGGGAGUUAAUGCCCCGUGCCUAAGUGUUUUGGGAUUAUUUGGUUUUCGUAAUGUGACUUACACAACAUUUUUGUUUACAUGCAUUAACAUUUUAUUAGUUAAAUCAAAGGUCAAAACUUGGCGCAAAAUGCAAAGGGGACCAAUAAACCAGUAAACAUCAAACUUCUCUCGUUUGGCCCCAACUAGAGGUCCGGUGAGAUGACUAUACUGCACCGGCACGGAGGGGGGUGCAACUUCAUUGACUUACAGCAACUGCCUUUGGGUGAAUGACACAUGGGCCUAGGGGGUGGCUGGCCCACCUAUCAUACAGCCAAAGGCAGGUGCAGUAGAGGGCCGAGGAGUAGUAUGAAAUCCUACGCACCUACGCACGCUAACCAAGGGCAAGAGUGAUCACUCAAAUCGCAAGAUCAGUUGACUAGUAGAAGCUAAGCUAGACCCAUGGAGGCGAUGAGCGCGAGCAUCAGCCGGCUGUGCCAGAUGGUCCACGACGCCGGCCUGCGGCCCGGCAACGAGGAACGUCUCCAGGUAGUAUUGCUUGAGGCCGGCAGGGCGAGGGGCCGUUUGGAUGACAGCUUCGUCUCCUUGUUCGAUGAGGUCCUCGUCGGUUUCCUCGACAAGUUCACCGUCGUCAAGAAGCUCGCGGACGACUUUGAUGUAAGCCUUCAGCCGACGUGCCCUGGCUCUGCGAUGCCCGCCACCCUCAACGGCCACUAUGGUGACAACCUCUUCGACGCACUGGUGGCCCUGCGACUGCCCGCCGUCGCGCCGGAGAAUAUCCACCUUGAGGUCGCGCUCGCCACGCAGCGCCUGGUGCAGCAAGACACCAUGGACAUAAUCACCCAUGUCUACGCGCAUGCAAGAGGAGGACAAUAGGAUGCUGGCCAUCUUGGACCGCAAGGCAACCUUGGACGCACUAUUCAGAAGCACGUUGAGCUCGCCGCCAAUGCCGCUUCUCCUCACACAUCGGUUGGUGACCCGGCGCACUAGGGCGUGAGGAUGUCGUUGAUGGAUCCGUAUGUAUUUUUAUCUUUCCGUCAAAUCCAUGUAGUAGUAUAUGAUACUACAGUAAUUAUCUUACCUUUCGCAUCAACUUCAUAAUUUUCGUACGUACACCAUGCAUGAACGGCGCCGGAACCAAACUUCUCAUUACUCUAGGCAAAAUCAUUAUUUUCUAUCUAUUGAUCGCGCCAUGGAGCAGAACCAAAUUUUACAAGUUACGAGUUCAAAAGGAAAAGCCUGCCGUGUUCGCGUCGCACCCCCACACGGUUGGUCCGACAUGCCGCUCAAGGGGGAAUGCGUGCGGUGUUGCAUUUUCACUUACAAGUGGGACCGUAGUUGAGCAAACCGACUAUCGGCAAACCCCCACCCCGCCCACCGCGCGAUGGCUGAGAAAACAGGAGGGAGAAGAGAUGGCUGUAGCACGGACUCCAAGAAAAUUGGUGUUAGAUGGGACUCGUGUGGGUGGCGUGUGCCGUAGUGCUAGACGUGAAUGCUAGUUAUGGCCCAUGCCACCCCACUAUAUCGAGCCUAUAUCGAGGUACAGUACGUAGAACAAAUUUCCUGCAGUCCGUGCUCAACACUCCUCUAUCUCUCUUCUCAGCCAGCCAGUGGACGCGUGGAGACCAUCGUCUGUUUGCUCACAUGCGGUCCCACAUGUCAGUGAAAACGCAAGCGGACCCACUGAACCUGCACAUCUUUCACCUCGACGUGCUGGUGAUGAAAAACAAAUCCAAGAAAGAUCUUCGGUGGCCGCUUUUGAAGUUACUCAAGAGUAGUAAGAUUCUAUUUAUAGUUUAACUCAAGAUGCACAUCUCGUGGCUUCAACUUAUCAACUACCACUCUAUUUUCUUUCAUGACACGACCUGGAUGCUGGAUGUCCCACGUGUCGGCAAAAGGGGGAAGAACCCGACCAAAUCUUCGGUUGUGCUCUCGGAUUAGACUAGUUGUGCUAACUUAAAUUUUUUAUUGUGUACUCCCUCCGUUCCAAAAUACUUGACUUCCAUUUAUCCAAAAAUGGAUGUGCCUAUAUACUAAAACAUGUCUAGAUACAUAUAUAUUUUGACAAAUAGAAGGCAUGUAUUGUGCAACGGAGGGAGUAGAAUGGAUGCAAGUUUUUGUAUUGGGAAGAAGAGUACAUCCAUAUAUAGAUAGAGGCAAUUUAUUAGAUGCUCUAUCACUUUUAGCUAGCACAGAGGCUAUAGAUGAGAUUGAUGCACUUGUUGAUACUCCUACUUGGUAUGCGUGUUGCUGCUUAGACGCAGAGAAAAACAGACCGGAGGGAGUACUAGAAUAGAGGCUAGACAUGAGACUAGAUGCAAGGAAGCAACGUCUACUUCUUUACACUCGAAGAAGAAAGAAGCACGCAAGAUCGAGCCUCCGCAGAUCAACAAUGAAUGCAUCAAGAAGGCACUAAUCCAACUUACAGGAGUAGUAAAAUGUAUUCUUGUGGUUCUUGUUUUCUUUGGUCUUUCUUUUCUAGUCAAAAUUAUCGUUGGAGUUCGUGCAAAACGGAGGUCCGUUUGGGGUCGUGUGUUGCAGUCGGCCUUACAAGUGGGACCGCAGUUAAGGAAACCGACUAUCGGCAAACCCCCACCUCGCUCGCCGCGCGAUGGCUGAGUUAGAGAAACGAUGAGGUUGAAGAGAUUGCUCUAGCAGGGACUCCAAGAAAUAUGAUGUCAGAUGGAAGUCAUGUUGGUGGCGUGUGCCGUACUCCUGGACGUGAAUGCUUGUUCUGGCCCAUGCCACCCUACUACUACUACCACUUAGUACUAUAUAGUACUACUAGUAUCGAGGAUUCUAGGUGCUGGUUACGUAGUACAGUAUGGCUACAGUAAAAACACCCGCACGACGCGCAAAGCAUGUGAAGCUAGUACAAAUAGUGUACUACUAUUGUUGAUUGGCCCCAUCCGAUAACCUGUUGCAAUGCAGGUACAAUUAUGUAUUUGGAAAAUAUAUUUUUUGCCUCGUCGCACCACUCACUCACAGAAGCAACUCAAAAGCCAUUCAUAAAUUUAGUAAGUUUAUCAUAGGCAUAUCAUUUUAUUACAUACAACAGGUCAUCAACCCACAUCGACAACGAGGAUACAUUAUAAAUACUAAAGUUUUCACCACACAACAAAUAACAAGCAAUGAAAUGAACUUCAACUCAACCAUUCCUCGGUGUUGGAAAUGCUUGCUUUGAACCACAAGUGAUUCUCUGGGAUGGGCCAUCCAUUGUCGAUCUGGAGACCAACGCAGGACUGAUCAUCCAGGCUGAAGCGGCCUACUAUAUCAGUACCAGGGUAGGGAACCACCCAAAUGUCCGAGGUAUAGACACAAUUGCUUCUCAUAAAUGGUAGUAACAUUGUGUCAACAGCAGUUGGAUCGCCUUUCACCAUCAUUGGAUAGUUUUGUCCAAGGAAGAGCGAGUUUUCUCCAAGACUAUCAAUUAUGUACCAGGGAGAAGGAGUUGGUGCUAGCACACUAGUAUCCAUCCCGAAUACCAUGCAAUGGGUGUUGGAAUAGGUCCGAAGAGUGCGACCAUGGGAGACUACACCUGCUUCCUUAGCAGUAACAUCAUCAGUGGGCUGUAUACACACGAGAAGAGGUGACCCAUCGGAAUUAGUUGCCAGGCGCCAAAUAGUAUAUGGGUGCUGCUCGUCCUCAUGCUCGUGAUCAUCACCAUCAUCAUCUCCCCCUUGAUUAUAAAAAUCUUCAAGUAUAGGUGGUGGAAUGUUCACAGGACCUUGGAAACACAAGAAGAAGGUUAAUUAGUAAGGCUGGCCAUAGUGGGGGUAACAUACUACCUCUGUCCUGGUUUAUAGGUCCCUUUUAUAGUUUGUGCCAAAUUUUGACUAAAGAUUUAACUAACAAAAUGUUAGUGCAUGUCAAGAAAAAUUAUCUCAUUGGAUUCGUAUUUGAACAUAGUUUUGAAAAAUAUAAUGUUUGGUGACUUGCGUGAACAUUUUCUUAGUCUAAUCUAUGGUCAAAAUUUGGCACAAAAUACAAUGGAGACCAGUAAACCCGGACAGAGGUAGUAAGUAGUAUCAUGCACUUGGGACUCGCAAACAUGCUUAUGUGGCAGGCAAUUAAGGAAGAGAGAGAUGGUUAUAGUAACAUAGGUAGAUACCGUAACAUAAUAAAUGUGAUGCUACUAUGUGUCAUGCAUGGCAAUAAAUGAGACCACCUAUGAUACUAAUCUAAGAUACUAUGCACUAUAGAGGUAGUAACAUAAACUAGUAACAUAUGCAUGUUACUAGUCUAAGUUACUCCCCACUAUGACCAGCCUUGCUAACCCGCAUGCAUGUGGAUGAAACAAUUAUAAUUACGGUGGGAGACAAACGUACCGAAACAACGAGGAUGCCAUGCAAAAACAGUGCCACGAGUGGUGGCAGCAAACACAAGGCCCUCGUAUUGAAUUGCAUCACAGUACUCAUCCGUGUACAGAAACUGAUUUUUGAGAAAUAUCCAUCCAGUCAAACCACUGAUGACAGCAACAAGCUUGUCGAAGAUAGCAACAACUUCAUAGUUGUUGUAAUUCCAAGAGCGGUUGGGGACUCGAGAAAUUGCUAUCUUCUGUAGAAGACAAUCACCAUGAUUGUAUUUGAACGUGCGUACAAUACCGGCGUGCUCAACCUCUGGGCAGUCUGCUGAGAUUUUUGGAAGUGGAACCCGGUCACGAGUGUACACAUUCACAAGUUCCCACUCGCAGUUCGACCCAAUGUAAACAACCCAAUCUCCAUUUGCGCCUGCCCAAGCCUUGCCCUCAAGCGAUGGCAUCUUAACAUCAUACGUAUCAUUAUCAAGCGGCAUCAACUUGCACAGGGCGAGGCCUCGGCGUGACGGCGCCAGUCAUCAGGGUCACGGCGAAGAAGGUAGGGAGAUCAAACCACUCCUUGACUCUUGGGUUCCUUGUAAUGAUGUUAUUAGUUGAGUCGAGAAUGGGCUUGAACGAACCUGCCAUGCUAGCCGAGGUGAUGACGUCGCACCGAUCAAUGAGUUCCUCCACCACAUCAUCUUUCAGAUCGGGGCAAGAAUAACGGGGUCGUUUCCAUCCUGUUCCCUCCAUGGAGAAGACGAUCGAACAAUGGCAGAAGAAAGGGUGAAGGGCUGAAGGAAAAUGGAGGAGGGAGAGGAAGAGCGUGCGACAGCAGUUCCCAAUCGAUAGGAAAUGCGAAGAGUUGGUGGACGGUUGCCAGUUUGCCACGGUUCACGAAGGGGCGCCUCGGCCUACACGUCGGUUCGGAAAUACUCCUACUGCUCGCUGUCGUCUCACUGAUAUGUGGAACGGGACCACAUGUCAACGAGACAUGGUGUGUAACUUCUCGUGCAAAAUGCGAUCUGGCCGCGUUGGCCCGAGGUGCCGCAUUAGUUAUCGGCCUUUAUUUUUUUAAUGGCGCGUCGUUCAGUUUUGAAGCACGACUAACUGGUACUAUACGUAGAGAAAAUAUAAACUACUCUACCACUACUCCACCUCCAAUACUAGUAGUAUAAAGAAGAUAUAUAGGCUGGAGCUUCAGCGCUUUCUUGCCAAGGGCUGCCUACUUGCUUCUCACACUACCACCCUCUCUCCAGAUCUAAAAAGACGGGCCCUCUCUCCCUCCUCACCGGUGGUCACAGAUCCGCCGGGGAAGAAAAGGACGUGCAGCGGUGACGCACUCGUCGUCGACGAGCGAGGUCACGCACUGACGACAAGGCCGUCCUCUCAGGCCUAGCGCCUGCGCGGGAUCGCUGCUGUAGUGUGUGCGGAGGACGACGACCACGAGCGAAGCCACUUCCCGCCGACCCUCAAGUAUGCUACCUCUUUUCGAACCAUACCCUUGUUCUAUUGCCCCAUCUGGCACGUCGUUGCAUGUGGAUCUUUUUCCACUCCACCAUCUUCCCAAUUUGCUAUCCUCUGCUCUGCUGGCCACGCAGACGAAAACCAUAAUUUGCACUAUUAAAGGAAAUCCUACUUCAUGCAGACUAAUGCAUGUCUGGGUUGAAUAAGGAAAGGAAGGAAGACUGUACUGUCCAAGAGAGUAGGCAUCGAACCCGCAUCUAGGUUGAAAAGGGGAAAAUCAGUAGCUAAGGAACAAGUCUCGUGUCUCUUGGUUGAAGAAGGGUAGAAAGGCAUGACAACGCAAUAGAGAAUGAACAUGUCGAUCAGUUUGUUGUCCUCACAUAGGAAAAAGGUGGCUAAAGAGAACAAAGUUGGGACGUAAUCCACAUAUGCUGCCUGGAUAUUUGUUGCUCUGGGCAACCAUACCUCCCUCACCACUCUGCGUCCAUGGAGGUACAUCAUAUUUGUCUCUAAUGCCUAUCUACUACAUACCCGACAUCAUGAUGUAAUGUUAAGUCAUUUCCUUUUGUACAAUGUAACUAAAUUGUCAAGGCGGUGAUGGCAUUUUAUUUUAGUAGAACUGCACAAAAUUUGCUUAAAAGAAGAGGAAAGGUCAGGAAUGGCUUAGUUUUUCAGAAAAAAACUAUGUAUGCCUUCCUGACAUCAGCUGCUGUUGCUUUAUUUAUUCCUUCAAACAGGUGGUUAGAAACAGUCUUGCUACCUUUUCCCAUUAAGAAAUUAGAAUGCUUAUAUUUGUAAGUAUAUGCUUCAACUAGUGCCACUUUUAUAGUAAUCACACUUUCAAUAUCUAUGCAAAUAGGGAUGCUCGAUUUUAGUGGAGCUGCACAAAAAGUCCAACUAGUUCAACAUUAGGAGCAUGUUUUUUUCCAAACCUAUAUCCAAUUGGUGGCACUAUGAGUUGUUCAUUACGAAGGUACAUGGUUUGCUACUAUCUUGCUACUCUUUUUGUACUGUCAUUAGAUAGUAAUACUAGUGGUUUGCAUGUGAAUUUAUUGGCAGGGUGGACCUACAUUGGAGGUGCAGGACAGGAUUCAAUGAUUGGAUGCUCAAUUUCGGUUGUAUCGAUUUCACCUCUUCCAUCACUGCGAACAUGGUGUGGUAUAUGUUUACUAGUUGCUUGAUAUUUGUGUAGACAGAGAUGUCUGCCCGUUGCUAUUUGGGAAACAAACAAAGUGUGCGCAAUUUUGGUUGAACUGCACAAGAGAAUAAUAUAGUCACUGCUUGCAGUGCGAUUUGAAAAUAGACACAUAGAUUGGAUAGUUACUUCAUGGACUGUAGAAAAGUAGUACUGUACUAUUUACUGGCCAACAAUUGGUGCUUCAUUGCUUUGGUCUGAUUAUACAAUGGGCAUCAUUUUCCCUAAGUUAAAGUUUGUAUUCCAAAAAUAGUCUCGCGGUGUGAUCGAGAGAAGACCAAAUCAUAUUGCAGUGGAUGUUCCUCCAUCAUGUGUGGUUCAUUAUCAUGGUUCCAGCUGUUGGUGAAACCACUUACGUUUGCAAGAGGAAUUGUAGACUUCACAAACAAAUUUGUCUUUCAUUCUAUACUGAAUGUUGGCCAAGAGAAGCAUCCAUGUUAGUAGGAAGAACAGAUAUUUUUUCUACAUCUUUGCUUUUGGAGCUACAUAUUUGUAUAUGAUCUGUGAAUCAUUGAGAUGCAUUAACAUGUUGAUCUUAUGUAUGGGAAUCGUACUAGUUAGUUUUAGUUGCGACGCAAGAUCCAAACUGGCUGAUCUUUGCUUUUGGAGCUACAUAUUUGUAUAUGAUCUGUGAAUCAUUGAGAUGCAUUAACAAUUACUUAUUUCUGUUCACUCAGUGUUUACAAGUUACUAAUCGGUCACUAGCUAGCCUACUAAUGUGCUCCUGGCAGUUUUAUUUGCGACGCAAGAUCCGAAGUGGCAGUUUUUUGAAUAAAAAUGCCUACCUCUGAAGAAACUGACAAGCUACACUAUCCUACCUACUCGAUCCUACACGAAUAAAUAGUGGAUCACGCACGUACUACCAUGCUUCAUGCUAGUGCGACUUCUUCAUGUCAUGAUGAUGCAGAGCAUCCUUCGGUCAUCCCCAUGGACCUUCCAUCGUCUCACCAGGCACCAAGAGGACCCAUGACUAGAGCACGAGCCAGAGCUCUCGAGACCGAGGUGACUUCUCUCCUUUGUGAUAUCUCCUUUCCGGUUUGCAGGGCUCAAUUCAAGAAACGACCUACUCAAUUCUACACGAAUAAAUAGUGGAUCACGCACGUACUAGUACCUCAUUUCCGGUUUGCAGGGCUUAAUUCAAACCUCUCACCAACCAAGGUACUCCCUCCGUCCGGGUUUAUUAGUCCUGUGAGCAAAGCAACAAGACCAAGGCAUGGCAAUAAUUAACGGCAUGCAGAAGUUUAAGCCUAAUUAAUUCCAGCGAUUUAAGUGACUGCAUGCGUGCCCUCGGCUGCGACUCGUUGCAUGCUACUCCGCGUACUGGCUGCGAGCAAUUCUGAGUGCCUACAUGCAGCCGGCCGUAAUUAAGGCAGCUAACUGAUGCAAAAAAAGAUGAGCUUUAAUUGUUGCGGGCUUUUUAAAUUCAUGGAAUCAUUAUUGACAAGGAGGGAGAUGAUUCGAGUGCACUCGUUUGACCGCCAUGCCGGCGUGCGACCCAGACGGGACGGGAUGGCACAGUCAUAAUUUCAGUUUCUCUAGUUUUCGACGGCAAGUUGGCACGCUAAGCCAUUAUGCAUUGAAUUCCGAUGACCGUCGCGCUACCUUCCGCCUAUAAGUAUUGUUUCUCGGCCUUCUCCGGUGGCACCAUGACCCAACUCGCCAUAGCCUCAUAAGCCCCCACCGGCCCGACGUCGCUCGCCACGUCCGCCAUGCACCCGCCCGUCCGCGGUAGGCGACGCCGGAGGCGGUCACCACCGGAACUAGUGUUCGGUUUUUCACCGGAAGGCAGAUGGAGGGAGGAGGCAUUCUAUCUGUCUUUUGAUGGCAAUGCGGAGAUCGAGGAGUUGUUGGAGCACAACUGCCUGGCGGAGGAGAAGUAGUUGUUGGAGCGCAACCGCCUGGCGGAGGAGCUGUGUAUCGCUGAUUUGCGCCGCCAUCGGGACAUGGAGCAAUAGCGCACCGACGCUCUGAGUCGCGAGCAGAGCGCCCGCAACUAGGCCGACUACAUGGAGGCCAGCGCCCGGAAAAUAGCCCUGGAGGCUGUCGGGCACGCACGCGUUCGUGAUGCCAAUUUUUACUACCAGCUUGUCAAGUGGGUUUCCCGCUUGGAAGCCGAAGCUUCGGUGGACCACGCCGACAUGGAAAGGGCCAACGCGCGUGAGCAACGCGCCCUAUCGCACCUCUUGGAAGUCCGAGGCGAGGCGCAGGACGCCGGUGCCGGCGUUUAGCGUGUACCACAGAUGGCGGCCGGCAUCGUCUAGUUAGCUAAGAGUAAGUUAGUACUUGUACGCUACUAGAGCAUUAGUGGCAGUAGAUAGUUAACUUGGCUAUGAUGGUGGUCAACGUGGAAGUUCAGUACUCUAUAUGUGGAUCAGACCUGUUACUUUGCUCAGAAUGUUGAACUUUCUGUUUGAACGUAUGGAAUGGGCUGUUAUUUUUUAAAUGGGUUGUAUUUGUCCUCCACGGGUUUAGAGGCUGACUUGUGGGCCUAUCAAGUUGAUGCGUACACAACCAGGAGAUGAUUGUACGUGGAGAGGAUGACAACAGGGACCCGCCAAGGUCAUGGCAGUAUGCAAGAAAGUGCCUCCUUAUUUCAAGCCAAUAAAAAAUGGCUCUUCCUAGUGGACUUAUGACAUCUGGGUCCCAUGCCAUUGUCAACGUAGUCAAUAAAUGAGAGAAUUGCGCCACGAGCGGCUGACACCAGGGACCCAGCAACUCGCCCAGUUAUUUUUGUUUUGGGUUAAUUUGAUAAAUGCCACUCCAAAUCGGGUGUUUCCGAGAAAUGCCACUGCAAUUUCCAAACUUUGAAAAAUGCCAUUUCAUGCCAUUUCUAGUGGCAUUUUUCAAAGUCUAGAGUGGCGUUUUUCAAUGUUUGCAAACUGCAGUGGCGUUUUUCAAAGUUUGCAAAAAUUGCAGUGGCAUUUUUCAAAGUUUGGAAAUUGCACUGGCAUUUUUACGAAUCGCCAUAAUUGGAGUGGCAUUUAUCUAUUUUUUUUUGAGAUGGGAGCAGGGUGUCAACUGGGCUGUGCGGGACACUCUGGCCUGUCUAGACAGCCUUUUCUUUUUAUGUUUACCACAGACCAGCCCAGUAGUUUUUUUUCUUUCUGAAAAUGGCUAGCACAGUUUUUUUGUGAUUUGUCAAGUAAGUCGCUUUAUCAGGCCUGUUGGGUUGUAAAUCUUUCAAGACGAGGAGAGCUUCAUUCGGCUGGCCAAGAAAAUGGCCUAUCAGUAAUGAGAAAUGGGUUGUACAUUUUUAAAACACAUCAACCGGCAAUUAGUUUCAAAUAUCUUUUUUUCAUUUCGAGAUUUUAAAUUGCAUUGAUUUUUAUGCAUGGACAAUUUAUUGGAUUUUAUAUUGAUAUACAUUUAUUUUUAAAAGUCUGAAUGUGACUCGAUAUUUCGGGAUUAAAAACAGUUCAUACCGUGCCGACAUAUGCAAAAUUUCGUAUAAUUUUUUAACCAUGGCCACAAUAUGGGUUGUAAUGCUAAGAAAAAUAAUAUGGGCACCAAAAAAACCCGUAAGAAUUAGCAGAAGGGCUGUAAAUUAUUUGAAAUAAUGGCACAUGGCAUGUAUGCUGUUUUCCACUGAUUUGAGGCUUUCCUAAAAAAAAGGUUGACGCACAAGCAGUGACUGUUGGAUGUCCAUCCAACGGCCGUCGUGCUUCUUCAAUCUCUGCUCUUCCUGCUCCAGUCGCUCAAACAAGCGCCGGCGGGACUGCCUGCUCCCUCCUCCCCGCGGCCGGCUGUGAUGCCAUGCAGGCCUUACUGCCCCACCGUACUCCCAUCGCUGGCCUAGCCAUCCCUCUACUCACCCACACCUGAUGUUAUUCUCUGGCGACGGCAGACGAACCAGUAAACCCUCGUACAGUCGUACUCCCCUCCGUGUGGGAAACAACUGUCGAGUCUUCCCUGGCUCCGUGUCGUUCCCAUCCUAGGCCUCGCCGUUGUCCACUGCCCUGGUGCUCUAGGCGUGGCGUGGUCAACAUGGUCAACAACCGACAUGCAUCUGAAGUGGACUGUACGUAGAGAGGCUGACAUCUGGGUCCACGGCCGCACGCAAGGAAAUGCCUCCUUAUUACGCGUAAAAUAAUGAUUCCUCCACCUGACAUCUGGGACCCACCGAAAGGGCCUCUGUAUUUCGUGAAAAAAACAUUACCGCCGCUGACAGCUCGGACCUACCAGCUAUAUCUUCGCACGCAAGGAAGUGCCUCCUUAUUACGCACAAAAAAAUGAAUACUCCCCCUGCUAGCUGGGACCUAGUAUAGUGGGCCUACUAAGUUGACAGGGACGGAGGGCUUUGUCAACUUAGUCAAUAUGCACGAUUCUAGCUCGACUGACCGUACGAUGUCCAUCCAACGACCGUAGUGCUUCUUCAACCUUCUGUCUUCUUGCUCCAUCCGCCCAAAGCAGUGCCGGUCGUGCCGCCUGCUCCUGCCUCCCGUGGCCGACUGUGCUGCCACGGAGGCCUCAUCGCCCUCAUACUACUCCCACGGAUGGCCAGGCCAUCCCUCCACUCCACUCACCCACACCCCAUGUUAUUCUGCGACGACGGCAGCGCAGCUGAACCAGUGAACCCUCGUACUCCUCUCCGUGUGGGCAUCCACUACGCGUCUUCCGCGGCUCCGCGUCGUCCCCUUCCUCGUCCACCGCCAUGGUGCACUCGGCGUGGCGUGGUCAAUGUGGUCAACGAUCGAAUUCCAUCAGAAGAAUACUGUACGUGGAGAGGCUGGCAGCUGGGUCCACGGCAGCCGCAAGGAAGUGCCUCCUUAUUACACGAAAAUAAUUAUUCCUCCACCUGACAGCAGGGACCCACCGGACUGGCCACCAGUAUUUUGCGAAAAAAAACGUUUCCCCCCUGACUGCUAGGACCCACCGGACGGGCCACCGUAUUUAGCGGAAAAAACAUUUCCCCCUGACUGCUGGGACCCACCGGACGGACCAUCGUAUUUCACGAAAAAAACGUUCCCCCCGCUGUCAGCUCGGACCCACCGGAAGUGCCUCCUUAUUAUGCACAAAAAAACGAAUACUCCCCCUGCUAGCUGGGACCCACUAUGGUGGGAGGCUGACUUGUGGGCCUACUAAGUUGACUGGGACGAGGGCCUUUGUCAACUUUUGUCAAUAUGAAUGAUUCUAGCUCCAGUGACCAUACGAUGUCCAUCCAACGGCCGUAGUGCUUCUUCAACCUCUAGUCUUCUUGCUCCAGCCGCCCAAAGCAGCGCCGGUCGUGCCGCAUGCUCCUACCUCCCGUGGCCGGCUGUGAUGCCGCGGAGGCCUCACCGCCUCCUACUACUCCGGCCAGGCCAUCCCUCUACUCACCCACACCCCUGUUAUUCUGCGGCGACAGCAGCCUCACACUGCAGCCGGACCAGUGGACCCUCGUACUCCUCUCCACAUGGGCAUCCACUACCGCGUCUUCCCCGGCUCCGCGUCAUCCCCUUCCUAGGCCUCGCCGUUGUCCACCGCCCUGGUGCUCUCGGCGCAGCAUGGUCAACAUGGUCAAGGAACGACUUCCAUCAGACAUGGAUUGUACGUGGAGAGGCUGACAGUUGGGUCCACGGCCGCAGCAAGGAAGUGCCUCCUUAUUACGCGGAAAAUAAUGAUACCUCCACCUGACAGCAGGGACCCACCGGACAGGACACUGUAUUUCGCGAAAAAAUGUUUCCCCCUGACUGUUGGGACCCACCAACUACAUCUUCGCAUGAAAGGAAGUGCGUCCGGAAAAUAAACGAUUCGCCCCCCUGACUGUUGGGACCCACCAGCUACAUCUUCACAUGCAAGGAAGUGCCUGACAGUCGGGACCCACCUGGUCCAAGCGCACGUAGCAUUGUCAUUCUGGUCGCGAACGUGUAUGUAAAUACUGGUGGAUGUAGAGGCGCGUACGUGUCGUAGUAGAGGCGUGCACAUGUCGUACUAGAGGCGCGUACGUGUCGUAGUAGAGGCAUGCAUGUAGCAUGUACACGUACGUACAACGACCAGUGUGCAAGAAAGAAAAUACGGCCACGUAUGUGUACAUACGGGCGGGGUCUCGAACACCUACUCGCGCAUACGUACGGCCAGGGCUCGUGUACAUGGCUGGGUCGGAACGGAGAAACAGCAUCGUCGUCGUGUUCAUGGGGAGCCAACCGGCUGGGUCGGAACGGAAUGCGUCGUCGUGUUCAUCGAGAGGGCUUGGACGAAACAGGCGAUGGAAACGAGGCCUAGCGUACCGCAGAAUGGAGGAAACGGCCUUGUGUUCGACCAGCCACAUUCGAAACAGGAUCCUGCUCAUUGGGAGGGGUCUGGCGUACCACAAAACGGAGGAAACGGACUUCCUACGGUCGAAAUGGGGGUCCUGUUGAUCGGGAGGGGUGUGGUGUACCGCAAAACGGACGAAACGGACUUGUGUUGGAGCGCUACAGUUGAAACGGGCAUCCUGUUCAUCGGGAGAGGUGUGGCGUACCGCAAAACGGGACUCCACGGGAUACUGUUCAUCUCCAUCGUCGACCUCCUCCAGCCUCCACGGGCUACUGUCGACCUCCUCCAGCCUCCACGGGCUCCUGUUCAUCCAGCCUCCACGUGCUCCUCUUCAUCCAGCCUCCACCGCGCACUACUCCACGGGCUACUGUUCAACCACCCCUCCACGGGCACCCCUCCACCGUCUAUUGUUCAUCCAGCCCUCCACGGGGUCGUCCUGUUCAUCCAGCCCCAACCGGCUCGAUCGAUCGGGGUCCUGUUCAUUGAUACGUCUCCAACGUAUCUAUAAUUUUUGAUUGUUCCAUGCUAUUAUAUUACCCCUUUUGGAUGUUUAUGGGCUUUAUUUUACACAUUUAUAUCAUUUUUGGGACUAACCUACUAACCGGAGGCCCAGCCCAUAUUGUUGUUUUUUGCCUAUUUCAGUAUUUCGAAGAAAAGGAAUAUCAAACGGAGUCCAAACGGAAUAAAACCUUCGGGAGCGUGAUUUUUGGAUCGAACGUGAUCCAGAGAGCUUGGAGUGCAAGUUAAGAAGCUACCGAGGAAGCCACGAGAUAGGAGCCCCCCCCCUAUAGGCUCCGCCCCUUGUCUCGUGGGCCCCUCGGGCGUCCACCGACGUACUUCUUCCUCCUAUAUAUACCUACGUACCCCGAAAACAUCCAGGAACACCACGAAACAUAAUUUCCACCGCCGCAACCUUCUGUAUCUCCGAGAUCUCAUCUUGGAGCCUUCGCCGGCACUCUGCCGGAGGGGGAAUCAACCACAGAGGGCUUCUACAUCAACAUCCUUGCCCCUUUGAUGAGUUGUGAGUAGUUUACCACAGACCUACGGGUCCAUAGUUAUUAGCUAGAUGGCUUAUUCUCUCUUUUUGGAUCUCAAUACAAUGUUCUCCCCCUCUCUUGUGGAGAUCUAUUCAAUGUAAACUCUUUUAGCGGUGUGUUUGUCGAGAUCCGAUGAAUUGUGGGUUUAUGAUCAAGUUUAUCUAUGAAUAAUAUUUGAAUCUUCUCUGAAUUCUUUUAUGUAUGAUUGAGUUAUCUUUGCAAGUCUCUUCGAAUUAUUGGUUUAGUUUGGCCUACUAGAUUGAUCUUUCUUGCCAUGGGAGAAGUGCUUAGCUUUGGGUUCAAUCUUGCGGUGUUCUUACCCAGUGACAGAAAGGGUUGCAAGACACGUAUUGUAUUGUUGCCAUCGAGGAUAACAAGAUGGGGUUUAUAUCGUAUUGCAUGAGUUUAUCCCUCUACAUCAUGUCAUCUUGCUUAAUGCGUUACUCUGUUCUUAUGAACUUAAUACUCUAGAUGCAGGCAGGAGUCGGUCGAUGUGUGGAGUAAUAGUAGUAGAUGCAGGCAGGAGUCGGUCUACUUGUUAUGGACGUGAUGCCUAUAUACAUGAUAAUGCCUAGAUAAUCUCAUAACUACGCACUUUUCAAUCAAUUGCUCGACAGUAAUUUGUUCGCCCACCGUAAUACUUAUGCUAUCUUGAGAGAAGCCUCUAGUGAAACCUAUGCCCCCCGGAUCUAUCUCUUAUCAUAUUUGCUUUCAAUCUACUUUUAUUUGCAUCUUUACUUUUUGCAUCUAUAUUAUAAAAAACCAAAAAUAUAUUUAUCUUAUCAUACUAUCUCUAUCAGAUCUCACUUUUGCAAGUGGCCGUGAAGGGAUUGACAACCCCUUUAUUGCGUAGGUUGCGAGUUCUCAGUUUGUUUGUGUAGGUGCGUGGGACUUUUGAGGAGCCUCCUACUGGAUUGAUACCUUGGUUCUCAAAACUGAGGGAAAUACUUACGCUACACUUGUUGCAUCACCCUCUCCUCUUCGAGGAAAACCAACGCAAGCUCAAGACGUAGCAAUAAGGAUUUCUGGCGCCGUUGCCGGGGAGUUCUUCGCUCAAGUCAAGAUAUACCAAGUAUCCAUCACAAACCCAUCUCCCUCGCAUUUACAUUAUUUGCCAUUUGCCUCUCGUUUUCCUCUCCCCCACUUCACCCUUGCCGUUUUAUUCGCCCUCUCUUUCCCAAUCUCCUCCUCUCUUUUUCGCUCGCUUUCUUCCGCCUUGCUUUUGUUUGUUUCUAUGACUGAAAUUGGGGAGAUUAUCAUCGAUAUGGACAAUAAUGAUAACACAGAAAAUCCCGAGGCUCCGGCCGAUGAACCCCCUAUUUUGCAUACUAAAAAGUUUCGAAUCGGUAGUGGUAACAUCAUUGGCAAAGGUGUUAUUCAAGAUUUCUUUACUUGUGCCCGUGCUUUAGCUUCCAUGGGUUGUUCUAUUCUUCAUAGAACUAGUAGUCUUGCGGAUGCUAUCGCUAUGCUUGUAGUUGAACUUGAAUGACAAUUUAUGCAUAUGCAUCCUUGCAUACAAAGAAUUUUCCUAGAAUUCUCUAAUAUUGAGCAUUCUUCUGUUAAGCGUGCUGUUACUAUCUUUUUGGCUCAUGAGUUUAGAUUUAUCAUAAGAGAGGCCAAAGAAUUCUUUGCGCACUAUAGGGUGGACGUCGGUCGUCCUCCCAUAGAGGCGAUCCUCUAUGAUCAAGAGGAAUUUAGAGGUUUUCAAUCUUCUGACUAUGUCGCUUUUAAUGAAAACCUUAGAAAAAAGGUUCCUACCAAUGUCUUGAUUGAUUGCAUUAACGAACUUAAUAAUGUUUUUGCUCUUCGAAACAAUGGGCUAGGAUACUCUCUUGAGUAUAGGCUCACAAGAUUUUGCCAAAAGAAUGCUUUUAGUGAUGAAAUAGUUGUGCACUAUGAAGGGCCGAAGGAGGAACCCGUUCCUCCUGUGAUUGAUCUUGGGGACCUUUGUCCCACUAAAUUUAGCCCUUUUGAUUACUUUUGCUUGCCUCAGAGAAAAUUUGCUGCUGAACAUAGAGAAUAUGAGAUGAGCUUUCAAGAUCUAUCUUAUUAUUAUGGCACUCGUUAGAUCUAUCUUUGCUUUUAUGCUUAGCUAGGGGCGUUAAACGAUAGCGCUAGUUGGGAGGCAACUCAAUUUUCUUUAUGUUUUUUUGUUUUUGCUCCUGUUUAGUAAUAAAUCUUGCAUCUACUCUCUGUUUAGAUGUGUUUUUAUCUUUUAAUUAGUGUUUGUGCCAAGUAGAACCUAUAGGAUAACCUACGAUGGUAGUUGAUUUGAUUCUGCUGAAAAACACAAACUUUGCACUCACGAGAAAAAUUCAAUAAAUCACAGAAACGUGAUUUUGCAUCGAUUCUUUUUGCUGAUGAUAAAUAAACAAAUUUCCCAGUACGUACUAUUUUGGUAGGAUUUUUAGAGUUCCAGAAGUUUGCGUUAGUUACAGAUUGCUACAGACUGUUCUGUUUUUGACAAAUUCUGUUUUUCGUGUGUUGUUUGCUUAUUUUAAUGCAUCUAUGGCUAGUAAAUUAGUUUAUAAACCAUAAGGAAGUUGGAAUACAGUAGGUUUAACACCAAAAUAAAUAAAGAAUGAGUUCAUUGCAGUACCUUAUGUGGUGGUUUUGUUUUCUUUCACUAACGGAGCUUAUAAGAUUUCCUGUUGAGUUUUGUGUUGUGAAGUUUUCAAGUUUUGGGUAAAGCUUUUAUGGACUAUGGAAUAAGGAGUGGCAAGAGCCUAAGCUUGGGGAUUCCCAAGGCACCCCAAGAUAUUCAAGUAUAGCCAAAAGCCUAAUCUUGGGGAUGCCCCGGGAAGGCAUCCCCUCUUUCGUCUUUGUUCAUUGGUAACUUUACUUGGAGCUAUAUUUUUAUUCACCACAUGAUAUGUGUUUUGCUUGGAGCGUCGUGUACUAUAUUAGUCUUUGCUUUUUAGUUUACCACAAUCAUCCUUGUUGUACACACCUUUUUGGAGAAGCCUAUUUUAUUAGAAUUUGCUAGAAUACUCUAUGUGCUUCACUUAUAUCUUUUGAGCUUGAUAGUUUUUGCUCUAAUACUUCACUUAUAUCUUUUAGAGCAUGGUGGUGGCUUGAUUUUAUAGAAAUUGCUAGUCUCUCAUGCUUCACUUAUAUUAUUUUGAGAGUCUUUUAGAACAGCAUGGUAUUUUCUUUGGUUACAAAUUUGGUCCUAGAAUGAUGAGCAUCCAAGUUGGGUAUAAUAAAAACUAUCAUAGAAAUUGAAUUGGAUGCUAUGAUCAAUUUGUUGCUUGAUAAUUGUUUUGAGAUAUAAAGGUAGUAAUGUUAGGGUCAUGCUAGUGGAUAAUUAUGAAAUUGAGAAAUACUUUUGUUGAAGUUGGCAAGUGCCGUAGCAUGCACGUAUGGUAAAAGUUGUGUGACAAAUUUGUUGCAUGAGGUGCUCUUUUGAGUGUCUUCCUUAUGAGUGGCAGUUGGGGACGAGCGAUGGAAUUUUUUCCUACCAAUCUAUCCCUCUUGGGGCAUGCGUAGUAGUACUUUGCUUCGAGGGCUAAGUAGACUUUUGCAAUAAGUAUAUGAGUUCUUUAUGACUAAUGUGAGUCCAUGGAUAUACGCACACUCAUCCUUCCACUUUGCUAGCUUUUCUUAUUACUGCGCAACUCUCGUCGGUAUUAAACCCAUUAUUUACCUUCCUCAAAACAGCCACCAUACCUACCUAUUAUGGCAUUUCCAUAGCCAUUCCGAGAUAUAUUGCCAAGCAACUUUCCACUGUUUAGUUUAUUAUGACACGUUUCAUCAUUGUCAUAUUCCUCUUUGCAUGAUCAUGUAGUUGACAUCGUAUUUGUGGCAAAGCCACCUUCAUAAUCUUCAUACAUCUUGCUCUUGAUUCAUUGCAUACCUCGGUACACCGCCGGAGGCAUUCACAUAGAGUCAUAUCUUGUUCUAGCUUUGAGUUGUAGUUUUUGAGUUGUAAAUCCAUAAAAGUGUGAUGAUCUUCAUUAUUAGAGCAUUGUCCUAGUGAGGAAAGGAUGAUGAAGACUAUGAUUCCCCCACAAGUCGGGAUGAGGCUUCGAACUUUAUAAAAAUAAAAGAGGCCAAAGAAGCCCACCAAAAAGAAAAAAAAGAAAAAAAGAAAAAAAAAGAAAAAAGGAAGAAGAAAAAAAGAGAAAUAAAAAGAGAGAAAAAGAGAGAAGGGACAAUUGCUACUAUAUCUUUUUCCACAGUUGUGCUUCAAAAUAGCACCAUGAUCUUCAUGAUAGAGAGUCUCAUAUGUUGUCACUUUCAUAUACUAGUGGGAAUUUUUUCAUUAUAGAACUUGGCUUGUAUAUUCCAAUGAUGGGCUUCCUCAAAGUGCCCUAGGUCUUCGUGAGCAAGCAAGUUGGAUGCACACCCACUUAGUUUCUUUUGUUGAGCUUUCAUAUAUUUAUAGCUCUAGUGCAUCCGUUGCAUGGCAAUCCCUACUCACUCACAUUGAUAUCUAUUGAUGGGCAUCUCCAUAACCCGUUGAUACGCCUAGUUGAUGUGAGACUAUCUUCUCCCACUUUUUGUUCUUACAACCACCACCAUUUACCACCAUAGUGCUAUGUCCAUGGCUUGCGCUCAUGUAUUGCGUAAGAGUUGAAAAAGCUGAAGCGCGUUAAAAAGUAUGAACCAAUUGCUCGGCUCUUCAUCGGGGUUGUACAUGAUGGGAGUCUUUUGUGUAAUGAAAAUGAAGCAUGGCCUAACUAUAUGAUUUUGUAGGGAUAAGCUUUCUUAUGCUAUGCUAUUUUGAUAGGACAUGAUUAUUUGUUAGUAUGCUUUGAAGCAUUAUUAUUUUUAUGUUUUAUAAGCUUUUAUCUUCAAUCAUUUGGAUCUGAACAUUCAUGCCACAUUAAAUAAAAUUACAUUGAGAAUUAUGCUAGGUAGCAUUCCACAUCAAAAAUUUCUUUUUUAUCAUUUACCUACUCGAGGACGAGUAGGAAUGAAGCUUGGGGAUGCUUGAUACGGCUCCAAGGUAUCUAUGAUUUUUGAUUGUUCCAUGCUAUUAUAUUACCCCUUUUGGAUGUUUAUGGGCUUUAUUUUACACAUUUAUAUCAUUUUUGGGACUAACCUACUAACCGGAGGCCCAGCCCAUAUUGUUGUUUUUUUGCCUAUUUCGGUAUUUCGAAGAAAAGGAAUAUCAAACGGAGUCCAAAUGGAAUGAAACCUUCGGGAGCGUGAUUUUUGGAACGAACGUGAUCCGGAGAGCUUGGAGUGUAAGUCAAGAAGCUGUCGAGGAAGCCAUGAGAUAGGAGCCCCCCCCCUGUAGGGCACGCCCCCUGUCUCGUGGGCCCCUCGGGCGUCCACCGACGUACUUCUUGCUCCUAUAUAUACCUAUGUACCCCGAAAACAUCCAGGAGCACCACGAAACACAAUUUCCACCACCGCAACUUUCUGUAUCCGCGAGAUCUCAUCUUGGAGCCUUCGCCGGCACUCUGCCGGAGGGGGACUCGACCAUGGAGGGCUUCUACAUCAACAUCCUUGCCCCUCCGAUGAGUUGUGAGUAGUUUACCACAGACCUACGGGUCCAUAGUUAUUAGCUAGAUGGCUUCUUCUCUCUUUUUGGAUCUCAAUACAAUAUUCUCCCCCUAUCUUGUGGAGAUCUAUUCGAUGUAAACUCUUUUUGCGGUGUGUUUGUCAAGAUUCGAUGAAUUGUGGGUUUAUGAUCAAGUUUAUCUAUGAAUAAUAUUUGAAUCUUCUCUGAAUUCUUUUAUGUAUGAUUGAGUUAUCUUUGCAAGUCUCUUUGAAUUAUCGGUUUGGUUUGGCCUACUAGAUUGAUCUUUCUUGCCAUGGGAGAAGUGCUUAGCUUUGCGUUCAAUCUUGCAGUGUUCUUACCCAGUGACAGAAAGGGUUGCAAGACACGUAUUGUAUUGUUGCCAUCGAGGAUAACAAGAUGGGGUUUAUAUCAUAUUGCAUGAGUUUAUCCCUCUACAUCAUGUCAUCUUGCUUAAUGCGUUACUCUGUUCUUAUGAACUUAAUACUCUAGAUGCAGGCAGGAGUCAGUCGAUGAGUGGAGUAAUAGUAGUAGAUGCAGGCAGGAGUCGGUCUACUUGUUAUGGACGUGAUGCCUAUAUACAUGAUCAUGCCUAGAUAAUCUCAUAACUAUGCGCUUUUCUAUCAAUUGCUCGACAGUAAUUUGUUCACCCACCGUAAUACUUAUGCUAUCUUGAGAGAAGCCUCUAGUGAAACCUAUGGCCCCCAGAUCUAUCUCUUAUCAUAUUUUCUUUCAAUCUACUUUUAUUUGCAUCUUUACUUUUUGCAUCUAUAUUAUAAAAAACCAAAAAUAUAUUUAUCUUAUCAUACUAUCUCUAUCAGAUCUCACUUUCGCAAGUGGCCGUGAAGGGAUUCACAACCCCUUUAUUGCGUUGGUUACGAGUUCUCAGUUUGUUUGUGUAGGUGCGUGGGACUUUUGAGGAGCCUCCUACUGGAUUGAUACCUUGGUUCUCAAAACCAAGGGAAAUACUUACGCUACACUUNNNNNNNNNNNNNNNNNNNNNNNNNNNNNNNNNNNNNNNNNNNNNNNNNNNNNNNNNNNNNNNNNNNNNNNNNNNNNNNNNNNNNNNNNNNNNNNNNNNNNNNNNNNNNNNNNNNNNNNNNNNNNNNNNNNNNNNNNNNNNNNNNNNNNNNNNNNNNNNNNNNNNNNNNNNNNNNNNNNNNNNNNNNNNNNNNNNNNNNNNNNNNNNNNNNNNNNNNNNNNNNNNNNNNNNNNNNNNNNNNNNNNNNNNNNNNNNNNNNNNNNNNNNNNNNNNNNNNNNNNNNNNNNNNNNNNNNNNNNNNNNNNNNNNNNNNNNNNNNNNNNNNNNNNNNNNNNNNNNNNNNNNNNNNNNNNNNNNNNNNNNNNNNNNNNNNNNNNNNNNNNNNNNNNNNNNNNNNNNNCUAACGCUCACUGUUCAUCCCAGAGGCAGCAUCGAUCGGCUUCAGUUAGCAGCAGUAGCAAAGGAAUCGCUCGAUCGGGUUCAGUUAACAGCCAUCGAUUGAUCGCUCGGGUUCAGUAACGUGUAGCCUGCAGCGCAAUCGCUCGGGUUGAGUUAGAGCCCAACGCCUCGCUCGGGUUCAGUUAGAGCCAACGCCUCGCACACACGCGCGUACGUGUACGAGAGAAACGCGCAUCGCUCGACCCCCGACCAUCCACCGUAACCGGGAACUCCCCGAAAUUUUCCUCGCCCUCGCUUCUACCACGGUUUUUUCUGUCAUGGAAGACCCAAAGAAUGUCAUGCAGCUGCUUCUCCGGCCCGCCCAGGACGAAAAGCCCAUUUUUUGUCAUGAUUUUUUGUCAUAGAAGUAGGAGCCCACCACAUCUAUGAUGAUACCGGGUUUUGUCACAAUUAUCGUCAUAGAAGUGUCAUAUGUAUGACAGGAAAAAAAUCCGUUCAGCCCAAAAUGUCACGGAUGUGUCCUUUUUUGUAGUGAAAGUAGGAGAUUGAAGAUAGGGGAUGCAAUGGAUAGGAUCAACAAAUGGCUCACAAAUCCAUCCACAAACUCCCCUUCACAUAGAGGGGAGAUAGGACUUUGGGAGAGGUGGUAAGAUGCUCAAAAUGGUGUUAGGAAAGUGUAUGAACACCCCCCCCCCCCCCAAACCGGUGGGAGGAAGGAGCCCUUAAAUAGCCAAAACCCAAAACUAGCUAUUGUGACUCAACGGGCAGUUCCUGGACACCCUGUGCACAUGGGGAUUUAGACCCCGUGCCCAUGGUACAAGCCCGUGUGCACGGGGCCUCGUGCCCACAAGGGUCAAAAACCCCGUGUCCACGGGGUACCCAGAACAACAUGUAGCACCCCACUAAAACAGUGAUAACUUUGGCAUACAGACUCCAAAUUCGAUGAUCUUGGGUUCGUUUUGAAGCAAGGGAAAAGCCCAAGGUCCUCACAUAGAGAACCACCCAAGAUCAACAAGAAAGAAUGAUGCAAUUAAUGCAAAGGUUUGAGCUCUCUACAUGCGACGUGAUCAAGCUACUUGCCCGAAAGUCCCUCUUGAUAGUACGGCUAUCAAACCUAUAAUCCGGUCUCCCUCCAAGCACCAUGAGACCGGCAAAACUAGGAAAACCUAGCUAAGGUAUACCUUUGCCUUGCACAUUCAACUUGAGCUUGGUGAUGACUUUGACGCUUGCCUCAAGUUGGAAUCUUUUUCUUGUCCACAAUCACUUGGUGAACAUACUCGAAAUGCUUCCUCAUAUUGCAAUGAGGGAAGCCUUAACUUAAGCCCAUCUUCACAUGCACAUUAUCAUGAUGUGGACCGCAAGCUUCAAAGCAUAUAACCUUCGGCUUCUCAUCUUGCACUUGGACGCCUUGAACCCGAUGACCAUCACCACUUGAUGUCAUCGACACAUAGGCUACUUGAAAUCUCUCUUUUGAUGCAAGCCCAUGAGAAACACCUAACCCACAUAGACAUAGAAAGAACAUAGCAUGGGUUAGGUAGCAAAGCACAAUUCACAAUUACUUACCAUACCACUAGAUCACUUGAUCCCACGUAGUACAAAGAUUGCACUUUGAGAGUUGACCAUCUAAAUAAUCUUUGAGCUUCAUCUUGGUCACCCAACAUCUUUACUUCAAGUCCCAUCUUGGUUUCUUGAAAGCCACAAUGAACUCUUAAUUUCCCUUCAUCGCUUCAAGAAAGAGACCACCAAAUACUCUUUCAUGACCAUAUGAAGCUCCACUAUGAAUAUCAUAUUGGUCAUCAUUUGCUCUUCUAAAAACUCCGUCAUAAUCUAUUGAGAGGCACAAUGAAUUCUCCACUCUAGUUGCUUGCUUCAAGAGUUAAUCAACCAAAAACCCAACACAUGAGCUUACCAUGAUCUUGUCUUGAAACCAUAACUUGAAUUCUUCUAUUUGUUUAUAUUCUCAAGCUCUUGAUCCUUAAAAGCCCACAUAUGUCAAUCUUUGAGAUCCUCUAAUGAACUCCACCAUGAAUAUAUUUGGUUAGACAUUAAAAUCAAUCUUGAUGGCUUCAACAUAAAUCCCCCAAAGACCAACUUGAAGCCUCACUGAAUAUGGGAUCUCGAGUGCCAAAACCUAGGCCCCGUGUGCACGUGGGUCAGGGACCCCGUGCGCAUGGGGUAUCCAAAGAGUUGACACUCGACCGUGCGCAUGGGGUAUCCAGAGAGGAAUACCAUGAGGACUUCUUCGAAUGUUUUGAUGGCAUUCUUCUCACAUAAAUCCAACAUGCUUCAUGCAUCACUAUGGAACAUUUCUUCAUUAGGAUUCAAUGCACUCGAUGCUCCAUAGGAAUUUGUUAAUUAAUACCAAAGCUUAGAGCAAACAUAGAUUCAUAUAUAUGGACUUUAUCCUUGAUUCCAUCUAAUAUCCUUGAUGCACCAUCUAUGGACAAUUCCUUCACAUGUAUCUCAAUGAAAACAUUAGACCAUAGAGAUUGUCAUUAAUUACCAAAACCACACUUAGGGGCUACAUGCCAUUUCAACCGGGUAUUCAUCGGAUCACCGGGAGGGGUUCCAGGAGGCCCCCGGAGGUCUAUGGGCCUAAUGGGCCAAGGGGAGGCACACACCAGCCCACAAGGGGGCAGGCGCGCCCUCUCCCUGGUCGUCCGCCCUUGAGAAGGAAAGGGUGGAGGGCUAUCCCCUCCUGCCUUCCCCUCCUCAUGGGAGAAAGGAAAGGGGGGGGCACCGCCCCCUCUUGCCUUCUCCCUGACGCCAUACAAGGAGGGGGGCGCUAGAGGGCAGGAGCCCAAGGGGGUCGGUCGGCCAUCCUUGGGGCGCCUCCUCGCUGUGUCCCCUCCCCCCACUAUAUAUAUAUAUAUAUAUAUAUAUAUAUAUAUAUAUAUAUAUAUAUAUGAGGGAGGGGGCACCACAAAACCCACAACAACUCUUAGCCGUGUGCGGCACCCCUCUCCACAGUUUAGUCCUCCAUCCAGUUUCUCCGCAGUGCUUGAUACGUCUUCAACGUAUCUGUAAUUUUUUAUUGUUCCAUGCUAUUCUAUUAUCUGUUUUGUAUGUUUUAUAUGCAUUAAUAUGCUCUUUUAUAUUAUUUUUGGGACUAACCUAUUAACCUAGAGCCCAGUGCCAGUUCCUGUUUUUUCCCUGUUUUAGAGUUUCAUACAAAAGGAAUACCAAACGGAGUCCAAAUGAAAUAAAACUUUCGUGAUGAUUUUUCUUGGACCAAAAGACAACCAGGAGAAUUGGAGAUGUAAGUUAUAGGAGCCACGAGGCGGCCACAAGUACGGAGGGCGCGCCCAGGGGGUAGGGCGUGCCUCCCACCCUUGUGGGCCCCUUGUGCACCUCCUGGCCUAAUUCUUUUGCCUAUAUAUUCCCAUAUAUACCAAACCAACAGAAGCAUCCACAGAAACACUUUUCCGCCGCCGCAACCUUUUGUACCCAUGGAAUCCCAUCUAGGGGCCUUUUCCGGCGUCCUGCUGGAGGGGGAUUUGACCAUGGAGGGCUUCUACAUCAACACUAUUGCCCUUCCGAUGAAGCGUGGGUAGUUUACCACAGACCUACGGGUCCAUAGCUAGUAGCUAGAUGGCUUCUUCUCUCUCUUUGAUUCUCAGUACCAUGUUCUCCUCGAUGUUCUUGGAGAUCUAUUCGAUGCAAUACUUUUUUGCGGUGUGUUUGCCGAGAUCCGAUGAAUUGUGGAUUUAUGAUCAGCUUAUCUAUGAAUAUUAUUUGAAUCUUCUCUGAAUUCUUAUAUGCAUGAUUUGAUAUCUUUGCAAGUCUCUUCGAAUUAUCCGUUUGGUUUGGCCAAUUAGAUUGGUUCUUCGUGCAAUGGGAGAAGUGCUUAGCUUUGGGUUCAAUCUUGCGGUGUCCUUUCCCACUGACAUUAGGGGCAGCAAGGCACGUAUUGUAUUGUUUCCAUCAAGGAUAAAAAGAUGGGGUUUUCAUCAUAUUGCUUGAGUUAAUUCCUCUACAUCAUGUCAUAUUACUUAAUGUGUUACUCCAUUCUUUAUGAACUUUAAUACUCUAGAUGCAUGAUGGAUAGCGGGCGAUGUGUGGAGUAAUAGUAGUAGAUGCAGGCAGGAGUCGGUCUACUUGACAUGGACGUGAUGCCUGCAUUCAUGAUCAUUGCCUUAGAUAUCGUCAUAACUUUGCGAUUUUCUAUCAAUUUCUCGGCAGUAAUUUGUUCACCCACUAUAUUAUUUUCUAUCUUGAGAGAAGCCUCUAGUGAAACCUAUGGCCCCCAGGUCUAUUUUCCAUCAUAUUAGUUUCCGAUCUACUAUACUUGCAAUCUUUACUUUCCAAUCUAUAAACCAAAAAUACCAAAAACAUUUACUUCAUCGUUUAUCUAUCUCUAUCAGAUCCAACUUUUGCAAGUAACCGUGAAGGUAUUGAAAACCCCUUUAUCGCGUUGGGUGCAAGUUUGUUUGAUUGUUUGUGCAGGUAUAAAGUGAUUUGUGUGUUGUCUCCUACUCGAUUGAUACCUUGGUUCUCAAACUGAGGGAAAUACUUAUCUCUACUUUGCUGCAUCAUCCUUUCCUCUUCAAGGGAAAAACCAACGCAAGCUCAAGAAGUAGCAGGAAGAAUUUCGGGCGCUGUUGCCGGGGAAUUCUACACCAAGUCAAGACAUGCCAAGUACCCAUCACAAACUCUCAUCUCUUGCAUUACAUUAUUCGCCAUUCGCCUCUCGUUUUCCUCUCCCCCACUUCUAAAAUGAUUUUCGAAAACAUUUGCCUUUUCUUUACCCCUCUUUCGCCCAUCUUCUUUGCUUGCUUUUUGGUGUGAUCGUUUGUUGGUUUGGUUUGUUGCCAUCAUGUUUGAAUCUGGGGAGGUUAUCGUUGAAAAUCUUGAGGAGAAAUUUGAAUCUUGUUCUUUGGGUAAUGAAACUGCAAAUCCUCUCCUAAUUACAAAGCAAAAACUUUUCAUGUGGGUGACGGUAAUAUUAUUGGAAAAAGUGUUAUUCAAGAGUUCUUUGUUUGUACAUGAUCUAUGCCUAUUAAUAAAAGAUCUAUUCCUCUCGAUACAAAUUGUUAUGCGGAUGCCUUUUUUAUGCUUAUUGAGAAACUAGAAAGAAAAUUUGUGCACCUCCACCCCGCUUUGCAAAAAGUGUUUUACGAACUUCCUAACAUUAAUCAUCCUAUAGCUAAAAAGAUUGCAACUAUCAUUCUUAUGCGUGAAUUUGAUUUUAUACUACAAGAAGCUAGGGAUACUUUUUCUUUCUAUAAAAAGGAUGUUGAACACCCUCCAAUUGAGGAUAUCCUCCAUGACAAAGAAACUAUGCGUAGUUUGGAAUCUAGGGAUUAUAAGUCUUAUAGUGAAAACCUUAGGAGGAGAGUUCCCUAUGCAUAAAUCUCUCAAUCUUUGUACCUUGAGGCCUAUGAGGAAUUUGAUUGGAUUACGAGGGAUAUUCAUGUAGGAUUCAAUAGAGAUUGGUUGAAUAAAAUGAUGAAGGAACCCGUUAGAAACGAGAUACAUGUUCUUUAUGAUGAUAUUUAUGGUGAUGAUCCCGAUUACGGGUUUAUGAAUGUCAAAAUAACCAAUCAAAGUCCUUUUCAUGAUUUGAGUUCAUCUAAUAGAAGGGAAAUAAAGGAAAGGAUAGAUUUCUUAAGACGAGUUUUGGAGGAUUUGAUGAGAAAAGAAAUGCAUACCAAAGAUGACAAUACCUAGAUCUAUUCGUGUUUUAUGCCUAGCUAAGGGUGUUAAACAAUAGCGCUUCUUAGGAGGCAACGCAAUUUUAUUUUUGUUCUUUGCUUUUUGUUCCUGUUUUGCUUUGAAUAAUUCAUCUAGCCUCUGGUUAGAUGUGGUUUUGUGUUUUAAUUAGUGUUUGUGCCAAGUAAGACCUUUGGGAUAGCUUACGGUGAUAGCUGUUUUGAUCCUGCUGAAAAACAGAAACUUUUGCGCCCAGUAAAUAAUUUCCUGGAUUUUAUUGAAACAUGCUUUUGAUCUGAUUCUUUUUUCUCUAGAUUGGUACACAAAUUGCCCAGGUUUUCCUAAAUUUUCAGAAUUUUUGGAGUUACAGAAGUAUUCGAGAGUUACAGAUUGCUAUAGACUAUUCUGUUUUUGACAGAUUCUGUUUUCUAUGGGUUGUUUGCUUAUUUUGAUGAAUCUAUGGGCAGUAUAGGGGGUAUGAACCAUGUAAAAGUUGUAUUACAGUAGAUAUUACACCAAUAUAAAUAAAUAAUGAGUUUUCAACAGUACCAUAAAGUGGUGAUUUAUUUUCUUAUACUAACCGAGCUUAUGAGAUUUUCUGUUGAGUUUUGUGUUGUGAAGUUUUCAAGUUUUGGGUAAGGAUUUGAUGGACUAUGGAAUAAGGAGUGGCAAGAGCCUAAGAUUGGGGAUUCACAAGGCACCCCAAGGUAAUAUUAAAGGACAACCAAGAGCCUAAGCUUGGGGAUGCCCCGGAAGGCAUCCCCUCUUUCGUCUUCGUUUAUCGGCAACUUUACUUGAGGCUAUAUUUUUUCACCACAUGAUAUGUGUUUUGCUUGGAGCGUCUUGUAUGAUUUGAGUCUUUGAUUUUUAGUUUGCCACAAUCAUCCUUGUUUUACACACCUUUUGAGAGGGACACACAUGAAUCGUGAUUUAUUAUAAUACUCUAUGUGAUUCACUUAUAUCUUUUGAGCUAGGCAAUAUUGCUCUGGUGCUUCACUUAUAUGUUUUUAGAACACGGCGGUGGUUUUGUUUUAUAGAAAUUGUUGAACUCUCAUGAUUCACUUAUAUUAUUUUGGGAGUCUUUAAACAACAUGGUAAUUUGCUUUGGUUAUAAAUUUAGUCCUAAUAUGAUAGGCAUCCAAGAAGGAUAUAAUAAAAACUUUCAUAUAAAGUGCAUUGAAUACUAUGAGAAGUUUGAUUCUUUAUGAUUGUUUUGAGAUAUGAAGAUGGUGAUAUUAGAGUCAUGCUAGUGAGUAAUUGUUAAUUUGAGAAAUAGUUGUGUUGAGGUUUGUGAUUCAUGUAGCAUGCACGUGGUGAAUCGUUAUGUGAUGAAGUCGGAGCAUGAUUUAUUUUCUGAUUGUCUUCCUUAUGAGUGGCGAUCGGGGACGAGCGAUGGUCUUUUCUUACCAAUCUAUCCCCCUAGGAGCAUGUGCGUAGUACUUUUUUUGAUAACUAAUAGACUUCUGCAAUAAGUAUGUGAGUUCUUUAUGACUAAAGUUGAGUCCAUGGAUUAUACGCACUCUCACCCUUCCACCAUUGCUAGCCUCUCUUGUGCCGCGCAACUUUUGCCGGUGCCAUACACCCACCAUAUACCUUCCUCAAAACAGCCACCAUACCUACCUAUUAUGGUAUUUCCAUAGCCAUUCCGAGAUAUAUUGCCAUGCAACUUUCCACCAUUCCCUUAUUAUGACACGCUUCAUCAUUGUCAUAUUGCUUUGCAUGAUCAUGUAGUUGACAUCGUAUUUAUGGCAAAGCCACCUUUCAUAAUUCUUUCAUACAUGUCACUCUUGAUUCAUUACACAUCCUGGUACACCGCCGGAGGAAUUCAUAUAGAGUAAUAUUUUGUUCUAAGUAUCGAGUUGUAAUUCUUGAGUUGUAAGUAAAUAAAAGUGUGAUGGUCAUCAUUAUUAGAGCAUUGUCCCAGUGAGGAAAUGAUGAUGGAGACUAUGAUUCCCCCACAAGUCGGGAUGAGACUCCGGACGAAAAAAAAUAGGCGAAAAAAAGAGAAAGACCCAAACAAAAAAGAAUGAGAGAAAAAGAGAGAAGGGGCAAUGUUACUAUCCUUUUUACACACUUGUGAUUCAAAGUAGCACCAUGAUCUUCAUGAUAGAGAGUCUCCUAUGAUAUCACUUUCAUAUACUAGUGGGAAUUUUUCAUUAUAUAACUUGGCUUGUAUAUUCCAACGACGGGCUUCCACAAAUUGCCAUAGGUCUUCAUGAGCAAGCGAGUUGGAUGCACACCCACUUAGUUUUCUUUUGGGCUUUCAUAAACUUAUAGCUCUAGUGCAUCCGUUGCAUGGCAAUCCCUGCUCACUCACAUUGAUAUCUAUUGAUGGGCAUCUCCAUAGCCCGUUGAUACGCCUAGUUGAUGUGAGACUACCUCCACCUUUUUGUCUUCUCCACAACCAUUGUAUUCUAUUCCACCUAUAGUGCCAUGUCCAUGGCUCAACUCAUGUAUUGCGUGAAAGUUGAAAAAGAUUGAGAACAUCAAAAGUAUGAAACAAUUUCUUGGCUUGUCAUCAGGGUUGUGCAUGAUUUAAAUAUUUUGUGUGGUGAAGAUGAAGCAUAGCCCGACUAUAUGAUUUUGUAGGGAUAAGCUUUCUUUGCCAUGUUAUUUUGAGAAGACAUAAUUGCUUUAUUAGUAUGCUUGAAGUAUUAUUGUUUUUAUGUCAAUAUUAAACUUUUGUUUUGAAUUUUACAGAUAUGAACAUUCAUGCCACAAUAAAGAAAAUUACAAGGACAAAUAUGUUAGGUAGCAUUCCACAUCAAAAACUCUAUUUUUAUGAUUUACCUACUCGAGGGCGAGCAGGAAUUAAGCUUGGGGAUGCUUGAUACGUCUCCAACAUAUCUAUAAUUUUUUAUUGUUCCAUGCUAUUAUAUUAUCUGUUUUGGAUGUUUUUAUGCAUUAAUAUGUUAUUCUAUAUUAUUUUUGGGACUAUCCUAUUAACCUAGAGCCUAGUGUCCGUUCCUAUUUUUUCCCUGUUUUUGAGUUUCGUAGAAAAGGAAUACCAAACAGAGUCCAAACGGAAUAAAACUUUCGCAAUGAGGACAACCAGGAGACUUGGAGAUGAACUUGGAGGAGCCACGAGGUGGCCACAAGGACGAAGGGCGCGCCCCACUCUUGUGGGCCCCUCAUGCACCUCCUGACCUAAUUCUUUCACCUAUAUAUUACCAUAUAUCCCCAAACCAAUAGAAGCAUCCACGAAAACACUUUUCCGCCGCCGCAACCUUCUGUACCCGUGGGAUUCCAUCUAGGGGAUUUUUCCGUUGUCCUGCCGGAGGGGGAUUCGACCACGGAGGGCUUCUACAUCAACACCAUUGCCCUUCGGAUGAAGUGUGAGUAGUUUAUAGCUAGUAGCUAGAUGGCUUCUUCUCUAUCUUUGAUUCUCAAUACCAUGUUCUCCUCGAUGUUCUUGGAGAUCUAUUCGAUGUAAUACUUUUUUGCAGUGUGUUUGCCAAGAUCCGAUGAAUUGCAGAUUUAUGAUCAGCUUAUCUAUGAAUAUUAUUUGAAUCUUCUCUGAAUUCUUAUAUGCAUGAUUUGAUAUUUUUGCAAGUCUCUUCGAAUUAUCGGUUUGGUUUGGCCAACUAGAUUGGUUCUUCUUGCAAUGGGAGAAGUGCUUAGCUUUGGGUUCAAUAUUGCGGUGUCCUUUCCCAGCGACAGUAGGGGUAGCAAGGCACGUAUUGUAUUGUUUCCAUCAAGGAUAAAAAUAUGGGGUUUUCAUCAUAUUGCUUGAGUUAAUUCCUCUACAUCGUGUCAUCUUACUUAAUGUGUUACUUCGUUCUUUAUGAACUUAAUACUCUUGAUGCAUGCUGGAUAGCGGUCGAUGUGUGGAGUAAUAGUAGUAGAUGCAGGCAGGAGUCGGUCUACUUGACACGGACGUGAUGCCUAUAUUCAUGAUCAUUGCCUUAGAUAUCGUCAUAACUUUGCGCUUUUCUAUCAAUUGCUCGACAGUAAUUUGUUCACCCACCGUAUUAUUUUCUAUCUUGAAAGAAGCCUCUAGUGAAACCUAUGGCCCGCGAGUCUAUUUUCCAUCAUAUUAGUUUCCCAUCUAAUAUUCUUGCAAUAUUUUACUUUAUGAUCUAUAAAAAAAAUACCAAAAAUAUUUACUUUAUUGUUUAUCUAUCUCUAUCAGAUCUCACUUUUGCAAGUAAGAGUGAAGGGAUUGACAACCCCUUUAUCGCGUUGGGUGCAAGUUUGUUUGAUUGCUUGUGCAGGUAUUCGGUGAUCUGUGCAUUAUCUCCUACUGGAUUGAUACCUUGGUUCUAAAACUGAGGGAAAUACUUAUCUCUACUUUGCUGCAUCACCCUUUCCUCUUCAAGGGAAAAACCAACGCAAGCUCAAGAAGUAGCAGUGCUCAGCGAAGCCCUCCGGGAACGUGUUCACCAUUACCGUCACCACGCCGUCGUGCUGUCAGAACUCAUCUACUACUUCACCCAUCUUGCUGGAUCAAGAAAGCGAGGACGUCAUCGAGCUGAGCGUGUGCUGAACAUGGAGGUGUCGUAUGUUCGGUACUGGCUUGGUUGGAUCGCGAAGAAGUUCGACUACAUCAACCGCGUUAAUGAACGCUUCCGCUUUACGGUUUACAAGGGUACAUAGACACACUCUCCCCUCUUGUUGCUAUGCAUCUCCUUAAAUAGAUAUUACGUGUGCGUAGAAAUUUUUUUGUCUUCCAUGCAACGUUCCCCAACAGUGGCAUCAUGAGCCAGGUCUAUGCAUAGAUGAUAUGCACGAGUAGAACACAAAGAGGUUGUGGGCGAUGAUAGUCAUACAACUUACCACCAACGUCUUAUUUUGAUUCGACAGUAUUGAGGGAUGAAGCGGAAUGGACCAACCUUACGUGUCCACGCACAUGACACCGGUUCCACCGACUGACAUGCAACUUGUUUUGCAUAAAGGUGGCUGGUGGGUGUUUGUUUCUCCUACUUUCGUUGAAUGGAAUUUGACUACGGCAGGUCCUGGAAGAAGGUUAAAACAGCAAACUUGAUAAAUCACCAUUGUGGUUUUUGCGUAGUUAAGAACGGUUCUUUCUAGAAGCCCAUAGCAACCACGUAAAACUUGCAAUAACAAAGUAGAGGACGUCUAACUUGUUUUUCCAGGGCAUGUUGUGAUGUGAUAUGGUCCAGACGUGUUGUGAUAUACAUUGUUGUGUGAGAUGAUCAUGUUUUGUCAUAUCGACAACCUGCAGGAGCCUUAGGGUUGUCUCUUAAUUAUUGUAUGAAAUGCAACCGCCAUGUAAUAGAUUUACUUUUAUCACUAUGCGUUAGCAAUAGUUGUAGAAGCAAUAGUUGGCGAGAUGAACCCGACGCAACGAUGGAGAUCAAGGUGUCGAGCCAGUGACGAUGGAGAUCAUGACGAUGGUUUGGAGAUGGAGAUCAAAAUCACAAGAUGAUGAUGGCCAUAUCAUGUCACAUAUUUUGAUUGCAUGUGAUGUUUAUCCUCUAUGCAUCUUAUUUUUCUUAGAACAGUCGUAGCAUUGUAAGAUGAUCCCUUCACUAAAUUUCAAGAUAAAAGUGUUCUCCAGGAGUAUGCACCAUUGCCAAAGUUCGUCGUUUUGAAGCACCUCGUGAUGAUCGGGUGUGAUAGACUCUACGUUCACAUACAACGGGUGUAAGACAGUUUUGCACAUGCAGAAUACUUGGGUUAAACUUGACAAGCCUAGCAUGUACAGACAUGGUCUCGGAACACUGGAGACCGAAAGGUCAAACAUGAGUCAUAUAGUAGAUGUGAUCAACAUAGAGAUGUUCACCAUUAAUGACUUCCCCAUCUCACAUGAUGAUCGGACAUGGGUUAGUUGAUUUGGAUCAUGUAUCACUUAGAACUUGAGGGAUGUUUAUUUAAGUGGGAGUUCAUUAGUAAUUUGAUUAAUUGAACUUAAUUUACCAUGAACUUAGUCUUAAUAGUUUUUGCAUAUCUAUGUUGUAGAUCAUGGCCCGAGCUACCGUUCCCCUGAAUUUUAAUGCGUUCCUAGAGAAAGCUAAGUUGAAAGAUGAUGGUAGCAACUACACGGACUGGGUCCGUAAUUUGAGAAUUAUCCUCAUUGUUGCACAAAAGAAUUAUGUCCUUGAUGCACCGCUAGGUGACAGACCUGCUGCAGGAGCUACUACAUAUGUUAUGAACGUCUGGCAGAAUCGGUUUGAUGACUACUCGAUAGUUCAGUGUGCCAUGCUUUACAACCUAGAACCGGGACUUCAAAGACAUUUUGAACAUCAUAGAGCAUAUGAGAUGUUCCAAGAGCGGAAGUUGAUAUUUCAAGCCAAUGCCCAGGUUGAGAGAUAUGAAGUCUCCAACAAGUUCUACAGCUGCAAGAUGGAGGGAAAUAAUUCUGUCAAUGAACACAUACUCAAAAUAUCUGGGUAUCAUAACCACUUGACUCAGCUGGGAAUUGAUCUUCCAGUUGAGAGUGUUAUUGAUAGAGUUCUUCAGUCACUGCCACCAAGCUACAAAGGCUUCAUGAUGAACUAUAAUAUGCAAGGGAUGACGAAAACGAUUGUCGAGCUCUUCGCAAUGCUUAAGGCCGCAGAGGUAGAUAUCAAGAAGGAGCGUCAAGUGUUGAUGGUUAACAAACCCACUAGUUUCAAGAAAAAGGGCAAGGGAAAGAAAGAGAAUUUCGAGAAGAAUGGCAAGCAAGUUGCCACUCCCGUGAAGAAGCCCAAAGAUGGAAGCAAGCCUGAAACUGAGUGCUUCUACUGCAAAGGAAAUGGUCACUGGAAGCGGAACUGCCCCAAAUACUUGGCUGAUAAGAAGGAUGGCACAGUGAACAAAGGUAUAUUUGAUAUACAUGUUAUUGAUGUGUACCUUACUAAUGCUUGUCGUAGAGCCUAGGUAUUUGAUACUGGUUCGGUUGCUCAUAUCUGUUACUCGAAAUAGGAGCUACGGAAUAAACGAAGAUUGGCUAAGGACAAGGUGACAAUGCGCAUCAGGAAUGGUUCCAAGGUCGAUGUGAUCACCGUCGACACGCUACCUCUACAUCUACCUUCGGGGUUAGUUUUAGACCUCAAUAAUUGUUAUUUGGUGCCAGCAUUGAGCAUGAACAUUAUAUUUGGAUCUUGUUUAUUAUGAGACGGUUAUUCAUUUAAAUCAGAGAAUAAUGGUUGUUCUAUUUAUAUGAGUAAUAUCUUUUAUGGUCAUGCACCCUUGAUGAAUGGUCUAUUCUUGUUGAAUCUCGAUCAUAGUGAUACACAUAUAAUAUUGAUGCCAAAAGAUGCAAGGUUGAUAAUGAUAGUGCAAAAUAUUUGUGGCACUGUCGUUUAGGUCAUAUUGGUGUAAAGCGCAUGAAGAAACUCCAUAUAGAUGGACUUUUGGAAUCACUUGAUUAUGAAUCAUUUGAUACUUGCGAACCAUGCCUCAUGGGCAAGAUGACUAAAACUCCGUUCUCCAGAACAAUGGAGCGAGCUAAUGACUUACUGGAAAUAAUACAUACCGAUGUAUGCAGUCCGAUGAGUGUUGAGGCACGCGGUGGGUAUCAUUAUUUUCUGACCUUCACGGAUGAUUUGAGUAGGUAUGGAUAUAUCUACUUGAUGAAACACAUCUAAAACAUUUGAAAAGUUCAAGGAAUUUUGGAGUGAAGUAGAGAAUCAUCAUAAGAAGAAGAUAAAAUUUCUACGAUCUGAUCAUGGAGGUGAACAUUUGAGUUACGAGUUUGGCCUUCAUAUAAAAUAACGUGGAAUUGUUUCUCAACUCAUGCCACCUCGAACACCACAACGUAAUGGUGUGUCCAAACACCAUAACCACAUUUUAUUAGAUAUGGUGCGUUUUAUGGUGUCUCUUACCGAUUUACCACUAUUUUUUGGGUUAUGCAUUAGAGACAGCCGCAUUCUUGUUAAAUAGGGCACCGUCUAAAUCCGUUGAGAUGACACCGUAUGAACUAUGGUUUGGCAAGAAACCUAAGCUGUCGUUUCUUAAAGUUUGGGGAUGCGACACUUAUGUCAAAAGGCUUCAGCCUGAUAAGCUCGAACCCAAAUUGGAGAAUUGCGUCUUCAUAGGAUACCCUAAGGAAACUAUCGGUACACCUUCUACCACAGAUCCAAAGGCAAGAUCUUUGUUGCUAAGAAUGGGUCCUUUCUAGAGAAGGAGCUUCUAUCGAAAGAAGUGAGUGAGAGGAAAGUAGAACUUGAUGAGGUAAUUAUACCUUCUCUUGAAUUGGAAAGUAGCACAUCAGAGAAAACCGUUCCCGUGAUGCCUACACCAACUAGAGAGGAAGAUAAUGAUGAUGAUCAUGAAACUUCGGAUCAAGUUACUACUGGACCUUUUAGGUCGACCAGAGCAUGUUCUGCACUAGAGUGGUACGUACUCCUGUCCUGGAAGUCAUGUUAUUAGACCAUGGUGAACCUACAAACUAUGAAGAAGCUAUGAUGAGAUAGGAUCCAUGUAUGAGAACAAAGUAUGGACUUCGGUGGACUAGCCCGAUGAUCGGCAAGCCAUUGAGAAUAAAUGGAACUUCAAAAAGAAGACGGAUGCUGAUGGUAAUGUCACUAUCUACAAAGCUCAACUUGUCAGAAAAUGUUUCCGACAAGUUCAAGGGGUUGACUACGAUGAGACUUUCUCGCCCGUAGCGAUGCUUAAAUCUGUUCAAAUCAUGUUAGCAAUUGCCGCAUUUUAUAAUUAUGAAAUCUUGUAAAUGGACGUCAAAACUGCAUUCCUUAAUGGAUUUCUUAAAGAGAGUUGUAUAUGAUGCAACUAGAAGGUUUUGUCGAUCCUAAAGGUGCUAACAAAGUGUGCAAGCUGCAAAGAUCCAUCUAUGGACUGGUGCAAGCAUCUCGGAGUUGGAAUAUACGCUUUGAUGAGGUGAUUAAAGCAUAUGGUUUUAUACAGACUUACAAUGAAGUCUAUAUUUACAAGAAAGUGAGUGGGAGCUCUGUAGCAUUUCUGAUAUUAUAUGUGGAUGACAUAUUUGUUGAUUGGAAAUGAUAUAGAAUUUUUGGAUAGCAUAAAAGGAUACUUGAAUAAGAAUUCUUUAAUGAAAGACCCUGGUGAAGCUGCUUAUAUAUUUGGCAUCAAGAUCUAUGGGGAUAGAUCAAGAUGCUUAAUAGGACUUUAACAAAACACAUACCUUGAAAAAGUUUUGAAGAAGUACAAAAUUGAUCAGUCAAAGAAAGGGUUCUUGCCUAUGUUACAAGGUAUGAAAUUUAGUCAGACUCAAAGCCUGACCACUGCAAAAGAUAGAGAUAAAAUGAAAGUCAUUCCCCAUGCCUCAGCCAUAGGUUCUAUCAUGUAUGAUAUGCUGUGUACCAGACCUGAUGUGUGCCUAGCCAUAAGUUUGGCAGGUUUCGGUGUCAAAACAGGCGGAUCUCGGAUAGGGGAUCCCGAACUGUGCAUCUAAGGCUAAUGGUAACACGAGGCGGGGGACACAAUGUUUACCCAGGUUUGGGCCCUCUCGAUGGAGGUAAUACCCUACUUCCUGCUUGAUUGAUCUUGAUGAUAUGAGUAUUACAAGAGUUGAUCUACCACGAGAUCGAAGAGGCUAAACCCUAGAAGCUAGCCUAUGGUUAUGAUUGUUCUCCUCCUAUGGACUAAACCCUCCGGUUUAUAUAGACACUGGAGGGGGCUAGGGGUUACACAGAGUUGGUUACAAAGAAAGGAAUCUUCAUAUCCAAAUCGCCAAGCUUGCCUUUCACGCAAAGGAGAGUCCCAUCCGGACAUGGGAUGAAGUCUUCUAUCUUCUAUCUUCAUAUCCCAACAGCCCGGCAUACACAUAUAGUCCGGUUGUCCAAGGACCCCUUAAUCCAGGACUCCCUCAGUAGCCCCUAAACCAGGCUUCAAUGACGAUGAGUCCUGCGCGCAGAUUGUCUUCGGCAUUGCAAGGCGGGUUCCUUCUCUGAAUAGUCCAAAGUAGAUCUUGACCAAAAGAAUCGUGUCCGGCUCUGCAAAAAAAAAUUCCACAUACCAUGGUAGAGAGUACAGUAUCCCAUGAAUCCAAUCUGAUGACAGCUCAUAGCAUGACAUCACGCCGCGGUCGGGUCUUUAUUCGAACCAUUUUUAUCCUUCCCCUCCGUAUUUCGAGGCACGGUUUCAUUGGCACGUCUUGUCGAAGCAGAGAUCGUGUCCCCUUAUCACGGGAUUCUCACCAACGCGGGCGUGGGUAACCCAACCGUGCCAUCAGCACGACGCUUGGGAAAUAAGCAAGUUUUAGGGCGUACGGGGAGGCGCACGAUUUUUACUUCCUUUAUAAGGGGAUAAGGAUUCCCCUCUUUCACCCACGCCCUCUUCUUCCUCUGCUCAUUCAUCCUCGAGCUCCAACGCACAAGCACCCAUCUCUUCCGCCCCAAAAAGCACUCCCAUCAUGUCCGGAUCCGGAGCUGGAGGCAAGUGGAUGGACUCCUCCGUCAAGAAGGAGGACAUCAAGAAGCUCCGGGAGGCCGAGUACUUGUCCAAAGACAUCGCUCAUUGGCUUCCGGCCAAAGGGCAGAUCAUCCCUACCCCGGAGCCCCAAGAAAGGGUGGUAUUUCUUUCCCACUUCGUUCGCGGGCUGGGGUUCCCCCUCCACCCGUUCGUCUGUGGACUGAUGUUCUACUACGGGCUAGACUUCCACGACUUGGCCCCCAACUCCAUCCUCAACAUUUUGGCAUUCAUUGUCAUGUGUGAGUCCUUCCUCCGCAUCCCACCUCACUUUGGCCUAUGGCUGAAGACCUCCAAUGUGAAGCCCAAGGUGGUGAGCGGCGAACAAGCAGAGUGCGGAGGCGCUAUGGUGGGAAAGAUGCCCAAUGUCACCUGGCCCGAAGGCUCCUUUGUAGAGACCACAAAGGGGUGGCAAUCAGGGUGGUUCUACAUUACCGAACCGUGCGGCGCCAACUGGGCGGCGACCCCCGAAUUCUGAUCCGGAGUCCCCAUGCGGCUCACCUCUUGGCAAGAGAAGGGUUUAGCCUGGAGCUCAUUGGAAGAAGUGACUGGGCUCCAGACAUGUGUCCAGAACAUGAUUGACAAGAAAAUCAAGCUUGUGAACGUGAUCCAGGUCAUGCUCUUCCGCCGGAUUCUUCCGUGCCAGAGCCGGACUUGUAAUUUGUGGGAGUUCGACCCGGUCAAGCACCAGACACUACUGGAGCUCUUUGAUACGACACAUAAGACAUCUGGAAGGUGCUUUUUAAGGCCGGCGAGGUUCCACCGCCCACAUUCGAAGACCGCGAGCUUGCGCAAGACGCCGGGCUAAUCCGGUAAGUUCUUUUAUGUUUGCAAGAUAUAUCUUUUUGCCGGCAUAUCCGUGGGAGGAACCUAAGCCUCCAUGCCAAUCUCUCAGGCCUGGGUAACGAUCGUGGAGCAGAUCGAAUGUCCGACUCUGCUGCCCGAAGAUCAAUAAACGCCUCUUCUGACGAAGUUGCUAUUUCCGGCGCCUUAUGAGGUGUCGGAGAAGAAAACCAAGAAGGCGGCCAAGGGGACCAUAGGUGGUCUCCGACGCAAGGGAGUUUCAGACGUGACGUCUGAAGACGCCGAGGCGCACUCCUCCGCCGAAGACGACGGGGAGGNNNNNNNNNNNNNNNNNNNNNNNNNNNNNNNNNNNNNNNNNNNNNNNNNNNNNNNNNNNNNNNNNNNNNNNNNNNNNNNNNNNNNNNNNNNNNNNNNNNNNNNNNNNNNNNNNNNNNNNNNNNNNNNNNNNNNNNNNNNNNNNNNNNNNNNNNNNNNNNNNNNNNNNNNNNNNNNNNNNNNNNNNNNNNNNNNNNNNNNNNNNNNNNNNNNNNNNNNNNNNNNNNNNNNNNNNNNNNNNNNNNNNNNNNNNNNNNNNNNNNNNNNNNNNNNNNNNNNNNNNNNNNNNNNNNNNNNNNNNNNNNNNNNNNNNNNNNNNNNNNNNNNNNNNNNGAAGAGGAAGGCCUCCACAUAUGGGGAGGCCGAGGCGCCCAAGAAGGGAAAAAUCUCCCUUCCGGACUACUCCGCCGCAGCCACCAAUAGCAGCGAGGAGUGGGGGGCCAGGGUCAAGCCCCUGGCCAAAUUGUAAGUAUAUUUCCGAGCUUUUUCACCUUAUCGUUUUUAAUGUGUUAGACCAUGCAUCUGCAGUCCGGCCCAAUCCAACAUCGAGCUCUCCUCCUCUUCGAAGGGGUCGCUGGAUCCGUCAGUGAUGAACAGCAGGUCCCUUCCAACGGCCACCUCCCAUAAGGCCGCGGACAACACUGAUGUGUUGUCCCGAAGGAUACCGGGCCAAGGGAAGGCUGUUCCGGUGAUGCCGGAGGAAAGAAGUCUGGUCGUCGAGCACAUGGGGGGAAAGACCCCUAGACCCCGACGAUGAGGGCCGAGUCCAGUUCGGUCCUCAGCCAGAUACAGCUCCGGAGACCCAAGUGGCUCCGAAUUUGGGAAGGCAGUCUCUCCCUAACGAGGGGGGCAAGCCGCCUCCGCCGGUGACCUCUGUCCGCCUAGAGGCACCGGACAGAUUGUUGGAAGCGCUACAAGGCGCUUCCAUUAUGGAAGAACACCAUACUCUUAUGAGUACGGUGAUUGUGAAAGUCCAGGCCGCCAAAAACAGACUGACCGAAACCUGCCUUAGCCUUCUAACAGGCUUUGAGGUAAGUACUGUAGUUGUAAAAGAAUAUCACCUUGUAGACAGUAGCCCCUGAUGCUCUGUUCGGUGUUCGGAAAGAAAAACCAAACGGAGGAUCAAAAUAAUUUUCGCAGGAGUCUAACAUAGCAUGUCUAUGUGAACAAGCAGGCGUCGCUGCUACCCAUUGCCGCUCAUACUGCGGAGGUCUCUGACUUGACGCGGAAUCUGGAGCGGGCCGAGGAAGAACUCGGCCUCGUGAAGAAGCAACUAGAGGACGACCGAGGUCUACACUAACUGGUGCUUUAUAUUUGGGAAGGAUGAAAAGUUCAUACUGACUGAAGUGUCAUGAACUUUAUUAGGGGUCGCGACCAAAGUAGCGGCCCUUAAGAAGGCGUUGGCCGAGGCCGAGGACAAAGCGGCUAAGGAACGCGCCGCGCGCGAGAAGUAGGAGGCCCAGGUUGGCGAGGUCCAGCAAGAGCUUCAGGACGUUGUCAAAAAGUACGAAUCAUUGGAGCGUAAUUCGAAGAUUCAAGAGUCCGAACUUGCCAAGGCCCGCCAGGGCAUGCAAGAUGCCCGAGCCGAAGCCCAGAGCACCCUCCGGGAAAUCCAGGUGGCCCAGGAGAUCGCGGCGGGUAAGGCUUUUAUUAUGCAAAGCAAGUGUGUGAAUGAAACGUUCCCUUUACUUACCCGAAUUUGGAGUUCUACAGGAGCGUUUGCGGAUCUACCGUGUAGUAUAUCAGAUGCUGCCGAAUUCUUUCGAUCCGAAGAAGGGAGCUCUACGGAGAAGUUGUUCUAGUCUCAAUACCUUGGAUCGGAACAUCCGGUGCCCCUUAGCGACCAGCUAAAACAGUUGGUCGAGCUGCACAAGGUGGCCGAACUGGCAAUCACAGUAGUUCUCCCUUUACUACCCUAGUCGAUAUAGCGGAACGUAGGGUAGCAAGCACAGGAGCCGGGCAACCCAACUAUUGACCAAAGACAUGAUUCGGAGCCGAUGCAUAUAGUGCUAUAAGUUCGGGGUGCCGAACUAUACUAUAAACGUGUUCCGACUUUUUUGCCGUGUUAUGGGGACAAUGACGCCCCUGGCGAAUUAAGGCGUACCAUAAUGUAUGGGUGCAAUUGAAAAUAAAUGGACAAGAAAAAAUUGAAGUAAUGGGUAAACGCUGCAGAUUAUUUUUCAUUGUAAGUUGAUUGAUACGUCAAGGUGUAUCUAUACAAAGUAGUGCAAUAAGCAAAUAAGGCUAUUUAACAUGCCACGACCAAGAGCGAGUUGCGUGCGGGUAUUUAAAAUAGGUAUGACGAUCAUUAGCAAAGACCACCUGGGUAUCCCUUGUAUGUCCGAACCCCUAGCUUUCUUGGCGUAUCCGUCCCGCUACGGGUCCGAUGAACACGUUUAUCAAAAAAGGCCUUGAGAGGUGAAAAAACCUGAAAGAAAGAGAAAAAGUGAAGGUAUGCGGAUCCAGGAGCGGGUGAGCUGCAUUGUGGGCCGCAAUCUUAGUUGUGCCUCCGUCCAUGCCCAUGGUAUUUUAAGUGCGUAGUUGUGUACGCGCGGCACGAAUUUCGCCGCUUUAUUGGGGCUGGGAUGAAAGCUAGAUUGCUAGCUGAGCUGUGGACGAGCCGGAUGGUCCUGUUGCGGAGUAGCACGGACCCGCUUAACGGUGUCCGGGGGCUUUAUUGCCGAAUUGAGGUUUUGCCUAAGGAGGUUGUUCUAUACUUAUGGUGCAAGGGCCGCGGUAUGCUCCUCAGUACGGAGGGAGCGCUCCGUAUUUCCAUUGACUGUUAUAACACCGCGGGGUCUGGGCAUCUUGAGCUUAAGGUAGGCAUAGUGCGACACCGCAUUGAAACGGGCAAAUGCGGUUCGUUCGAGCAGUGCGUGAUAACCACUGUGGAAGGGGACGAUAUCGAAGAGUAGCUCUUCGCUUCGGAAAUUAUCCGGGGAUCCGAAGACCACUUCUAGUGUGAUUGAGCCCGUGCAGCAGGCCUCUACACCUGGUAUGACACCUUUAAAGGUGGUUUUGGUGGGCUUGAUCCUUGAGGGAUCAAUACCCAUUUUGCAUGUUGUAUCCUAGUAAAGCAGGUUCAGGCUGCUACCACCAUCCAUGAGGACGCGUGUGAGGUGGAAUCCGUCAAUGAUAGGGUCAAACACCAGUGCGGCUGAACCGCCGUGACGGAUACUAGUUGGAUGGUCCCUUCGAUCGAAGGUGAUCGAACAGGAGGACCAAGGGUUGUAUUUUGGGGCGACUAGCUCCAUCGCGUAGACGUCCCUUAGUGCGCGCUUCCGCUCCCUUUGGGGAUAUGGGUAGCAUAUAUCAUGUUCACCGUUUUCACUUGGGGGGGGGGGACUUCUUCUGUCCCCCUGUGUUCUGCGGUCGGGUUCCUCGUCGUCGUCACUUUGCGAUCCCUUUUCCUUGUUUUCAGCAUUUAACUUGCCGGCCUGUUUAAAGACCCAACAUUCUCUAUUGGUGUGAUUGGCUGGUUUAUCAGGGGUGCCGUGGCUUUGACAUGGACGAUCGAGUAUGCGGUCCAGACUGGACGGGCCCAGAUUGUUUCUUUUAAAAGGAUUUUUCCGCUGAUUGGACUUAGAGCCACUGAAUCCGGCAUUGAUGGUCGUGUCUUCGGUGUUAUCGCCAUUAUUUCGACGCUUGUGUCUGUUGCGUCGGGGCUUGCCAUUGCUGUCUUUGGCUUUGGAAGUGCCAGGUUUGCUUGAGAUGUUGUUGCUACGAGCUAGCCAGCUAUCCUCACCCACACAAAAGUGAGUCAUGAGCGUCGUGAGGGCUGCCGUGGACUUCGGCUUCUCUUGGUCGAGGUGUCGGGCGAGCCACUUGUCGCAGAUGUUAUGCUUAAAGGCCGCUAGGGCUUUGGCAUCUGGACAGUCGAUGAUUUGGUUCUUUUUAGUUAAGAACCGAGUCCAGAAUUUCCUGGCUGACUCUCCAGGCUGUUGGAUUAUAUGACUUAAGUCAUCAGCAUCCGGAGGUCGGACAUAAGUGCCCUGGAAGUUGUCAAGGAAUGUGUCUUCCAGGUUCUCCCAACUGCCAAUAGAGUUUCCUGGUAGACUGUUCAACCAGUGCCUAGCUGGCCCUUUGAGUUUUAGCGGGAGAUACUUGAUGGCAUGGAGAUCAUCACCGCAGGCCAUAUGUAUAUGGAUAAGGAAGUCCUCGAUCCAUACCACGGGAUCUAUUGUUCCAUCAUAUGAUUCAAUGUUUACGGGUUUAAACCCUUCUGGGAAUUCAUGCUCCAUUACUUCGUCAGUGAAGCGGAGGGGGUGUGCGGCACCUCUGUGUCGGGCUAUGCCCGAACGUAGCUCGAAUGGAGCCGGUCUGCGGUAUUCGGCCUGGACAGGUUUGUGCUUGUUAUAUCCGGCUUGGCGGCCGUCAUUGCACAUUGGGGCGCACCCCCGCGAUCCGUAGAUCGAUCUGGUUUGUCCUGCUCUAUUUUCCAAAUUGUACCGCGGGUCAUGUGUGUAUCCCUGAGCUGUUGUGUUUGUAUUUGUUCGGCGAGGUAGUGUCGGCUGGUGCUCGUGCUGAAUUGCCGUUUUAUCUCGGCCACGUGGUGGACGAUCAGCCGCAUUAUGCGCUGGUAGUGCCAGCUCUGGUGCCUCGUCAUCGAAUUGAGGUAGCAAUUUGCACUUUGGGUAACUUUUUGUUGGGCGUUCGAGUCUGUAUUCCUCGGCUCCCAGGACCUCGGUCCAUCUAUCAGUGAGCAGAUCUUGAUCAGCUUGAAACUGUUGCUGCUUCUUCUUCAGGCUUUUUGCAGUGGCUAUAACCCGGCGCUUGAAAUGCUCCUGCUCAACGGGAUCCUCUGGGACGAUAAAUUCUUCGUCGCCGAGGCUCACCUCGUCCUCGGAGAGGGGUAUGUAAUUGUUGUCUUCCGAGUCGUCAUUCACGGCCUGUUCGUCGGGGUUGGCUCGCCCAUCUUCCCGUCCAGCCUCUUCAAAACUUGGCUUGGCGGGGUCUUCGUUGUCUUCAGCAUCGUCCGGAGUGCUAUUCUCUCUUGUGCCGGUAUCGCUAUUUUUACCAUGGCGUGACUUAGAGCGGCGCCGCUGACAUCGGCACUUAGACUGCUUCUCAGGAAGUUUAUCCUCAACUGGAUCUUUUAUGUCAUCGCCAUUGUCUUCUUUGGGUGUAUCCACCAUGUAUAUAUUGUAUGAGGAGGCGACUGUCCAGCUCCCUAUUGGCGGUGGUUCCUGUUCUUCUCCAGCAUCGUCGUCCAUACCGUCGAUGUCUUCGUUGUCGAAAUCAAGCAUGUCGGUCAAAUUGUCAACAAUGGCUAUCAAGUGGGUGGUGGGUGGGUAACGAAGUUCUUCGUCGCCCGCUUGCCACUCAAGCCAGACAUAGUUCGGCCAAGGAUCUCCUGACAAGGAGAGGGACUUUAAUGAGUUUAACACAUCGCCUAAGGGCGAGUGUUGGAAGAUGUCCGCGGAGCUGAACUCUAAGAUCGGCGCCUGGUCAGAUUCGAUGGGUGCAGAUACGCGGGGUUCGGAGCCUAUGGCCGGAGAUGAGUCCGAGGCUGUGAUGACACAGGCCUCGUUGGAGGUUAGAUCUGUGUCCGUCUCUAGCACCGUUGAGUUUGCGGCUUCCGUGGCGAGGUUGAGCCUCCCGUCCCCGAAUGGCGCGCUCUGCUCUGGAUCUAGGGCCAGUGCAGUUACAUGCGCAAUCUCCCGCACGCCAUCUGAUGACAGAUUUAGGUCAUCUUCAUCGUGGCGGCGGGGCGCGACUGUCUUGGGCUCGAAUACGUCAAAGAUCAAGUCUCCGUGAAUAUCGGCGGUGUAGUUCAAGCUUCCAAACCUGACCUGAUGGCCAGGGGCGUAGCUGUCGAUCUGCUCCAGAUGGCCAAGCGAGUUGGCCCGCAGUGCGAAACCGCCAAAUAAGAAGAUCUGUCCGGGGAGAAAAACUUCACCCUAGACGACAUUGUUGUGGAUGAUUGAAGGAGCCAUCAAGUCUUAUGGUGGCGACACAGUGGAACUCUCAAUGAAAGCACCAAUGUCGGUGUCAAAACCGGCGGAUCUCGGGUAGGGGUCCCGAACUAUGUGUCUAAGGCUAAUGGUAACAGGAGGGCGGGGACACAAUGUUUACCCAGGUUCGGGCCCUCUCGAUGGAGGUAAUACCCUACUUCCUGCUUGAUUGAUCUUGAUGAUAUGAGUAUUACAAAAGUUGAUCUACCACGAGAUCGGAGAGGCUAAACCCUAGAAGCUAGCCUAUGGUUAUUAUUGUUCUCCUCCUACGGACUAAACCCUCCGGUUUAUAUAGACAUCGGAGGGGGCUAGGUUUACACAGAGUCGGUUACAGAGAAAGCAAUCUUCAUAUCCGAAUCGCCAAGCUUGCCUUCCAUGCAAAGGAGAGUCCCAUCCGGACAUGGGACGAAGUCUUCUAUCUUGUAUCUUCAUAUCCCAACAGUCCGGCAUACGCAUAUAGUCCGGCUGUCCGAGGACCCCUUAAUCCAGGACUCCCUCAGCAGGGAGGUACCAAAGUAAUCCAGGAGUGGAUCACUAGACAAAAUUCAAGAACAUCCUAGUACCUAAAAAGGACCAAGGAAAUUUUUCUCGGUUAUGGAGGUGACAAAGAGCUUGUCAUAAAUGGUUAUGUCGAUGCUAGCUUCGACACUGAUCCGGAUAACUCUAAGUCAUAAACCGGAUACGUAUUUAUAUUGAAUGGUGGAGCUGUCAGUUGGUGCAGUUCCAAGGAGAGUGUUGUGGCGGGAUCUAUGUGUGAAGCCGAGUACAUAGCUGCUUCAGAAGCAGCGCAUGAAGGAGUCUGGAUGAAGGACUUCAUAUCCAAUCUGGGUGUAAUACCCAGUGCAUCGGGUUCAACGAAAAUCUUUUGUGACAACACUGGAGAAAUUGCCUUAGUGAAGGAAUACAGGUUUCACAAGAGGACCAAACACAUUAGGAGACGCUUCAACUCCAUUAGUGAAAAGGUCAAGGAUGGAGACAUAGAAAUUUGCAAAAUACAUACGGAUCUGAAUGUAGCAGACCCAUUGACUAAGCCUCUUCCGCGAGCAAAACAUGAUCAAUACCAAGACUCCAUGGGUGUUAGAUUGAUUACAAUGUAAUCUAGAUUAUUGACUCUAGUGCAAGUGGGAGACUGAUGGAAAUAUGACCUAGAGGCAAUAAUAAAGUUGUUAUUAUUAUAUUUCCUUAUUCAUGAUAAAGGUUUAUUAUUCAUGCUAGAAUUUUAUUGACUAGAAACUUAAAUACAUGUGUGGAUACAUAAACAAAUACCGUGUCCCUAGUGAGACUCUACUAGACUAGCACGUUGAUAAAAAGAUGGUUAAGGUUUCCUAACCAUAGACAUGUGUUGUCACUUGAUAACGGGAUCACAUCAGAAUGAUGUGAUGGACAAGACCCAUCUGUUAGCUUAGCAUAUGAUCGUUCAGUUUAUUGCUAUUGCUUUCUUAAUGUCAAAUACAUAUUCCUUCGACUAUGAGAUCAUGAAACUCCCGGAUGCCGGAGGAAUAUCUUGUGUGCUAUCAAACGUCACAACAUAACUGGGUGAUCAUAAAGAUUCUCUACAGGUAUUUCCGAAUGUGUCUGUUGAGUUGGCAUGGAUUGAGAUUAGGAUUUGUCACUCCGUGUAUCGGAGAGGUAUCUCUGGGCCCUCUCGGUAAUACACAUCACAAGUAGCUUUCAAGCAAAGUGACUAAGGAGUUAGUUACGAGAUGAUGUAUCACUACUAGGGAAAAGCCUAUACAUAGGAUCUUACCAGCAGCGAGUUUUAAAAUAAGACGCUGCUGCAAUUUAUCAGUAGCGCGCUCCACCAGAACUCGCUGCUGAAAUAGAAGUAGCAGUAGCGCGCCUCCACUAAGCCACGCUACUGCUACAAUUCCCACGACCCUGCCACGAAGCUAGUUAUAGCAGCAACGUGUUAAUUAGAAGGGCGCUACUACUAGGUAGUUUAGUAGUAGCGCCUUUACCUAUACCACGCUACUGCUAAAACUAGCUACCUUCCACCACCCAUGCUCUCCUCUAUCCAAUCCACACUCACACUCACACUCACUCGACCUCCCCCUCAACCCCCCUCCCCCCGCGCCGGUCCUCUCCCGCCGGCCGCCGGCGCCUACCCCUCCUCCCUCUACGCCGUCGUCACCUCCUCCUCCUUGCUGGACUCGGUACCGCCCUCCUCCUCCUCCGUCCUUCCUCGACUCGCCGCCGGCCGGCCCCUCCUCGCUCCGCCAUUCCUCCUCCAUCCUACUCUCUCCUUCCUCCUCCAGUCGCCCCUCCUUCUCCCACCUCCCUCCUCCAUCCACAACCCCUCCUCCCUACUACAUUUUGAUUUAGUAGGCUAGUUCAUAUGCAACAUUUUGAUUUAGUUCAUAUGAUUUAGUUGAUUUAGUAGGCUAGUUGAUUUAGAACAUUUUGAUUUUGUUGAUUUAGUAGGCAAGUUGAUCUAGUAGGCUAGUUGAUUUAGUUGAUUUAUAGAACAUUUUGAUUUAGUCGAUUUAGUAGGCAAGUUGAUUUAAUAGGCUAGUUGAUUUAGUUGAUUUAUAGAACAUUUUGAUUUAGUUGAUUUAGUAUGCUAGUUGAUAGCUCUGAAGAUUUGGCACUUGGCAGUUGGUUCUAUUCUAGAAGGUGCUAGUAAGCUAUAAAAAUAUAACUGAAGAAGAACCAAAAAAUCACAUGCUACUAUUUUUAUUUCGUGUGAAGUGGAUUGUUAAUCCUUUGCUCAUAUUGCUUUAGGAAAAUGGCGCCACCACCACCACCACCAUGUCAAUUGUGCAAGUCAAGAUGCGCCAGCAGCCUUGCAACUGGCAAGCUGCUCGGCAUCUACUUCCAGCCGAGUUUUCGUCAUGCGGCGGUAAGAAAUUAUAUGAAAUGUAACAACUAUUUUAUUUUUAAUGUUGGUAUUACUGCAUUGUGUCAUUUUGCUUUUUUUACACAGAUCGUCCCAUGCAAUGUGAGGUUGAAAUUCAAUAAGCUGACAGGAGACAUUAUGACAUUUGAGGCUCCUGGGGGCCGUACACUAUGGAGGUCGAGAAAGGAUGAAAUAUUUCGCAGAUUGUAGGAGAUGGAUGGGCCCGUUUCCUCGCCCGCAUGAGUCUUACUGGUGGUGAGUUGAUCAGCUUCUCCUUCAGAGCAGAAAGACCCAAGUUGGUUGUCAUUUAUAUCAACCUGGUGGAAGAUGAUGAAGAUGACCAAGAUGAUGAAGAUAAUGAGGACCCACUUGAUGAAGAUGAUGAGGACCCACUUCAUGAAGCCAUCAUAGCUCAAAGAAUGAGGCUGAGUGACGAGGAGGUGUGCAACCUAUGGGACAUAAUUCCACCACGUGCUGACUUUGUCGGAGUGCCAUUCGUGACCCGCCUAACAAGUACCAUGGUCGAUCGACAUGAUAUGGUAUGUUAUACUUACAAAUGCAAAAUAUUCGAUGAUAUGAUUAGUGUGGAGUCCAAUGAUAUAUUGUGUGGAAUCUAGUCGAUGAUAUGCUUUAGUGUAGAGUUCGAUCACAUGCUUAUUAGUGUGGAAUCUAAGGAACUAUUAAUAGUGUAGGUAAUCCAUAUAUACUUAUUUGCAAGAGUAUGUGUGAGGCUAUUUAUUAAUUGACAUGUUUUUCUUAUUCAGAAAUUGGCAAAGAGCCUAUCUGUGAGUUAUGGUAUCGAGCCUGAUGAAGAAGGCUCAGCUGGACUACGCCUUACCGCAAGGGGCUCCGUCACAACCUGUACUUACCGCAUGGACACGGACAGUCGCACACACUUAAACUCGGUUGGGUGGAAGAGGUUCCUCGAUGGCAAGAAUCUUCGUGUUGGACAGGCCAUCCUAAUUACUAUCAGGAACACCAACCGCCCAGGCUUGAGGAUGAUGAUCGUCUUCGAUAUCAUCUAGAACUACAUAUGUGUGUGUGUGGAUAUGUCAUCUAGAACUACAUAUGAUGAUCGUCGUCGAUAUCAUCUAGAACUACAUAUGAUGAUCGUCGUCGAUAUGAUCUUGUACUGCUUGAGGAUGCAUGUUGACUAUACAUGAAAUUGUUAUCCAGUACUCCCUUCGUUCCAAAUUACUCAUCGUGGUUUGAACUAAAACCACGACGAGUAAUUUGGAACGGAGGGAGUACUACCUAGUACCUAUAAUGCUUUAUGAAAUUGAUAUAUAGUAGUAACUAGUAUCUGGAUAUUGCGGUUUACUGAAACCGAAACGGGGUAGGAAGCGGGGGGAAAUUGAUGAAAGAUAUAGCAGUAGCGAGGGGCUAGGAAUCCGCUACAGCUAACUAAUAGUAGCGUGUUCCAGAAAAGCGCUGCUGAUAUAGUCAAUAGUAGUAGCGCGGGUGCUGACCGCGCUAUUACUAACAGUUAGCUGUAGCACAGUAAUAGUAGUGCGGCUGCUCGUGCUGCUGAUAGCCUCAAAACCUGUGCUACUACUAGGGUUUUCCCUAGUAGUGUAUUACAGAAUGAGUAAAGAGACUUGCCGAUAAUGAGAUUGAACUAGGUAUGAAGAUACCGACGAUUGAAUCUCGAGCAAGUAACAUACCGACAGACAAAGGGAAUUAUGUAUGUUGUCAUUAGGUUCGAUCGAUAAAGAUCUUCGUAGAAUAUGUAGGAACCAAUAUGGGCAUCCAGGUUCCACUAUUGGUUAUUAACCGGAGAGGCGUCUCGGUCAUGCCUACAUCAUUCUCGAACCCAUAGGGUCCGCACACUUAACGUUCGUUGACGAUAUAGUGUUAUAUGAGUUAUGUGAUUUGGUGACCAAAUAUUGUUCGUAGUCUCGAAUGAGAUCACGGACAUGACGAGGAGCUUCGGAAUAGUCCGGAGGUAAAGAUUGAUAUAUAGGACGAUGAUAUUUGGACACCAGAAAGGUUUCCAAGUGAACCGGGUAUUCAUCGGAUCACCGGAAGGGGUUCCAGGAGGCCCCGAGAGGUCUAUGGUCCUAAUGGUCCAAGGGGAGGCAUAGACCAGCCCACAAGGGGGCUGGCGCGCCCUCUCCCUGGCCGCCGGCCCUAGAGAAGGAAAGGAAGGAGGGCUAGCCCCUCCCGCCUUCCCCUCCUCAUGGGAGAAAGGAAAGGGGGGGCACCCCCUCUCGCUUUCUCCCUGGUGCCAUACAAGGAAGGGGGCGCUAGAGGGCAGGAGUCCAAGGAGGCCGGCCGACCAACCUUGGGGCGCCUCCUGGCUAUCUCCCCUCCCUCCACUAUAUAUAUAUAGCCGUGUGUGACGCCCCUCUCCACAGUUUAGUCCUCCGUCCAGUUUCUCCGCACUGCUCGGCGAAGCCCUGCGGGAACGAGUUCAGCGUCACCAUCACCACGCCGUCGUGCUGCCGGAACUCAUCUACUACUUCGUCCGUCUUGCUGGAUCAAGAAGGCGAGGACGUCAUAUGUGUGUUGAACGCGGAGGUGAUGUAUGUUCGGUACUUGAUUGGUUGGAUCGCGAAGAAGUUCGACUACAUCAACCGCGUUAAUAAACACUUCUGCUUUACGGUCUACGAGGGUACGUAGACAUAAUCUCCCCUCUCGUUGCUAUGCAUCUCCUUAAAUAGAUCUUGCGUGUGCGUAGAAUUUUUUUUCCCAUGCAACGUUCCCCAAUAGUCGUAUCCCACCUUGAUCACACGAGUGGGUAUGAGAGGAAGACGAGGUCGUCGGACCAUCACAACACCACACGUAGAGUAUGAUUGGACUUGUGACAUAUGCACGUGUGUCGAGCAACUAGUGCUUCUCCUAAGACAUAAAAAGUCAAUAGUUUAUUAGUAUGCAAAAUUCGCUAAUCGACUUUUCUACCCAUAUGUAAUAACUUUGUAAUGCAAUAUUAUCUCAAAUUGGCGUUUUAAUCCUUCAAAUUGAGUGUGAUUAUUGAGUUGAUGUAACCAAAAAAUGAAGGUUGUGUUAUGACGACUCUAUGUUUGCGCAUAGCCAUUGCAACAUCUAACGUAUAUGGAGCACGCUCAAUAUCUCAUCGACUCUACAAGAAUUUAUCUUAGUUUAUAGUUUAAAUAAUUAUUAGUUGUUUGAUCAAUGUAAAGUCAUCGUGCAGUUCUUCUUCUGCCCAAGUUAUUAGGAAUGAAAUCGACAAAAUGACAUGUGGGUCCUACUUGCAGGGAAAAAAUGGAUGCUGCAUUACGACGACUUUGUGCUUCCACAUAGGCACGGCCCCCAUAUGCCAUAUGAUGAUUGCACUUGUGGUGACUCUGCUAGGGUCGAUCUAAGCAAUGGUACCAACGGGAAAAGACAUGUUUGCCAAGGCAGGAAAUUAGUAGGUUCCCUUCAAACUAAGCCAUAAGCCAAAAUAAAAUCUCUUAAGGACCUUCGACGUCUUACAAAUAAGCUAAUAAAAAAUCUUCUGCGUUUUUGGGCACGCAGAGAGAAACAACAAGGUUUACUAUGGAAUAACCAAGGUAUGGCCAUAUUUAAGACCUUUUUCAAAGGAAGACAUCAGAGAGAAAGAUUUGUUGCUUUCUUAGACAGGAAUGAUAGCUGGCGAACGUUUCCCGGGAGCCCAAUCCCGACGAACGCCUCCGGAACCAUCACAUUUGCAUCCAACAGUGGUAGUUUUCUGCCCAAAAAUUUAAUUUAAAUAAACUGCCAUGGCAGUUUUGUAAAAUGCCAACCUAGCCUCCCCUAAUACAUGUUCAAUUGCCACCCGGGCGUUCACAACUGCCAUGUCCAACAUUAAAAAAUGUAAGAGAGUCAAGUUGGGGUCUAUGUUAAUAGAGCUCUUAACUAGGGACAUGAUGAGUUAUGACAUGAAAUGUCUGGUUUGUAACAAACUUUUGUACCAAAAACUAAAGACCGAAUACAAUAAAGAAAGGGAAUUGAUAGUAAUUACUCGAUGAUUCACGAGAAGGACAAUUGUUGACUUUAAAAGGAUGAUUUAUUGAUUAUUUGUUUGGCGGAACCAAAAGUAAAAUUUGGUGUGGACAAGGAACCUGUAAAAACACCUAAUUUGUAGUAUGGAGAAAAGAGAAAUGAGGGAGGAAAUGACUACAAUUAUUAUUGUAACUAGUAGGUGUUUUUUUACUUCUUUGGCCCUUGUACAAUAGUUGUGUUACUUCAAACCAAAAAUCAAACUUAUCAAAAAAUGAAAUAUUUUUGGUUAAGUCUAUUUUUCGUAUUCAAUAUACAUGGUCGCAUACACUCGAUUUAUAUUAGUGAGAGGAGCAGUGCGCGUGCAAGAUCACUAACUUGAUAAAUUUAAAAAUAAACACAAAUAUUAUAGAAAUUUUAACAUGGCCCCAAACUAGUCUUCCGUAUUCUUUGGUCCAAGGGCCAUAUGAUCUUUUUUCUUACAAGAGGAAAUAUUAAUAAAAUAGGGAAAAAAGGCAUCAAUUAAUAAUAUGAAAAUAUAUUGCUAAGCGCUCUUGCAACAUCAAGUAUUAAGUUAAAUUCAGAACGGUACAUACUUUAACUUGUACAUACGUCAACAUGUUUGCAAAGUUAAUAAAUUACUAAUUUGACAUGUGAAUGUAAUUCUACAUAGAACUUUCAAUUAUUGCAUUUCUUUUCAAUCAAAUUUUAGUUUCUUCAAAACAAAAACUAAGAAUCCGUCCAGAAUAGCUUGUUCCACAUACACAAUUAACUUAGAUUUAUUUAUUUAUCGGAUUUGGUAAGGCACACACAAUUUGUCUGAGCCACACAUUUUUUUCAAUAUGUUAGGGAUUCUCUUCUUUGUUGAGGCUUCUUGAUACGAAAAGUGAUAUUUUAUAAAUUGUUUACUCCUUGCAGUCUAGAGAUGACAUGCGAAAAUCAAAGUUUCGCCUCCAUCCCGCCGGGGAUACUCCUUCGUCAUGCCGGUUGUUCGAUGCCAUUGUCAGUCAUUGCAUUCAUGUGAUUAUCAGCAGCAGGAUCGAGCUCCCUUUUGAGGAUCAGAUUGAUUACAUCGAGUUCUCGCUUUCCUUCUAAGUUGAAGAAGUUCUAGAAAAUGAUUACUUGUUCAACCAACUCAGACAGAUGCCUAAAGAGAAGUGGGUUGAGAUGUGGUCAAAGCUGAAAAAUGUCUCUAGUCACUAUGAAUUCCAAUAUCCCCCCAGGAAGGAUGAUGCGGUGAACAUGAUAUGGCGGCAGGUGAGGCACAAAAUCCCCGCAGUUAACCUUGCGAUCCACAGGAGUAGGAGACUAAAAGUUCCAGACUGGUGGUGAGCAUUUGGUGAAUUGUGUACAUAUUCUCAUAUCGAUGGCGAAACCGGCAUCAUUCAUAUGGUUCAUGACGAAGCCAUGGCGGUCAUUCCUUGUGCACCAUGACACUGGAUCCAGGAAGAUGUACUGACAGACACUAACAUUUUUGCCCCUUUUUGUUGAUCUUACGACACCGUAACCAUUACUCCCCCUUGAGGUCAUGAUAUAGUGAGAACGUGUAGUUAUGUUACAGAGCUGGCUUGCCCGGCAGAAGCAUGUGCAUUAGAAACACACUUACAAACAUGUGUACCAACAGACUGGAUGUUGCAAUGUAUUCAAGUAGAUAUAAUUUCUCUUA